This 99940-nucleotide long non-coding RNA is filed under the name Cucumis sativus (cucumber). Its description in RNAcentral is "long non-coding RNA (CSAT_LNC000182)". Lineage: Eukaryota; Viridiplantae; Streptophyta; Magnoliopsida; Cucurbitales; Cucurbitaceae. The record is from RNAcentral.
CCUAGUAGGUUCUUAGAGUUCUUCACCCAUCAUGGCAGCCGGUAGAGAGGGAGAGAAAAAAAAAAGAGGGAGCCAAGCCAGCCGCUUAGGUCAAGUAAAAUGCGCGCCGAGAUUCCCCGGUUUCAGAAUUUUCGUGGGGAUUCUCUCCGCUUUUCUUGCCUAAGCAAAACCCGACCCCGCCUAGUAGGUUCUUAGAGUUCUUCACUCAGCAUGGCAGCCUGUAGAGAGGGAGAGAGAAAAAAAAGAGGGAGCCAAGCCAGCCGCUUAGGUCAAGUAAAAUGCGUGCCGAGAUCCCCCGGUUUCAGAGUUUUCGUGGGGAUCCUCUCCGCUUUUCUUGCCUAAGCAAAACCCGACCCCGCCUAGUAGGUCCUUUUAGUUCUUCACCUAGCACGGCAGCCGGUAGAGAGGGAGGGAGAAAAAAAAGAGGGAGUCAAGCCAGCUGCUUAGGUAAAGUAAAAUGCGCGUCGAGAUUGCCUGGUAUCAGAGCUUGCAUGGGCAACCUCUCCGCUUUUGAUGGAAUUUGAUGAAAUGCUUAUGUCGAAAGUAGGUAUUUCUCUACAGAGUCCUAAUGGUCAUAGAAAUUUAUUAUGUUUUGUAUUUAUUUUACUUUGUUGUCAAGAAUCAACUUCUUUUCUGAUUUGUAUGUUUAUGUAUAUGUUGCAUCUCUGUCUUGUUAUCAUGUUGUAUUUCAUUGUACUCAAUAGUCUGAUUUGCAUUUUUUAUUUGUGUUAAUAAGUGUUCGUGUAAUUGCAAUUUUGUUCUUGAAGAUAUUUUGCUUGAAUCAAGUUAGUUCUCUCUAUAAGGAUCAUUUUCUUGUAAGGUUAUAACUUCUUGUCCAAUUUUUCCAACUCACAUUUCAACUUGUAACAGGUGAAUCUCUUCCAAAUAAGAGCUUAAAAAGAAAAAACAAUUGGAACCUUUAACCAUAAAAUCAAGGUACUGCAUCUUAUUUGCAAUGAAUUGCUAUAAUUUUGUAGAGACUCCACAAAUAAAAUACUAAAUUACCCAAACAGUUGGCAAACAGAGACAACACUCUGUAGAUCUUUAUUUAUAUAUAAAUGCCAAAAGAUACAGUAGAAGGAAAUAUAGAAGAAAGCAAUAAAGAUGAUAAUAUCAUGUCAAACCUCCCCAGGAAAAGAUAGUAGUCCUUCCUAGACCUAGCAGCCUCUACAGACCAAAUGAAGACAAAAAGUUAACCUAGCCCCCAAUCCCGAUAAGGCCUUAUUUAUAGCUCUUUUCUCAUUCUUCCCCGUGGGCCCCACUCUCAUGUUCUUUUCCUAAUAUUCUCCCCUUUUCUGCUGCGUGAGCUUUUACGUUUUUACCCCUCCUUUUGUAUGUAUGGAUAAUAGGGGGCCUUACAAUACCCCUCGGUUCCAGGUUCACCUUGUCCUCAAGGUGAAAGUCAGGGAAUUGUUGGUUCAUUUGGAAAACAGAUUCCCAAGUUGUUUCACUGUCCGGCAGCCCUUUCCACUUAAGUAACCAUUCAUUUCCUCCCAAUUCCCGAUUCCAACGGACUCCCAACACUGUUUCCGGCCAUAAUUGUAACUCAAACUCUUCCGUUAGCCUAGGUUGCUGGUGUUGAACAGCUUGUUGACUACCCAGUUUCAGUUUUAACUGAGAAAUAUGGAACACAUUGUGGAUACUGGCUUCCGGCGGUAACAUCAAUCUGUACGCAACUGCUCCUAUUUCUUCAGUAAUUUUGUAGGGUCCGUAAUAUUUAGGUGCUAACUUUUCACACUUCUUCCGAGCCAAGGAGCGUUGCCGGUAAGGUCUCAAUUUCAAGUAGACUUCAUCUCCUACCUUAAAUUUUAACUCUCUUCUAUUUCGAUCAGCCAUUUUCUUCAUCCUGUUCUAGGCUACACACAGGUGUUCUUUUAAGGCAUUGAUGGCUAAGUCACGUUCCUUCAGCAGCGUGUCAACCUCAUUAUUAGGAGUUUUCUUGUAACCAUAGGAUAACAGGGGAGGAGGCGGUCUGCGGUAUACCGUCUGGAAAGGGGUCAUUUUGGUGGAUGCAUGGAAGGUGGUAUUAUACCACAAUUCUGCCCAUGGAAUCAGUCUAUCCCAUUUUUUUGGUUGUUCAUUACAGAAGCAUCGCAGAUAAGUUUCGAGACAUCUAUUUACCCUUUCUGUCUGCCCAUCAGUUUGUGGGUGAAACACGGUACUCCUCUUUAGAAUAGUUCCCAUGGUUGCAAACAGUUCCUUCCAAAAAUUACUAAGAAAGAUUUUAUCCCGAUCUGUGAUAAUCGACUUAGGAAUGCCGUGCUUGCUUACUAUUCUGUCGAUGAAUAUGGAAGCAACUUGCUUGGCUGAAAACGGAUGUCUCAAUGAUAUAAAGUAAGAAUACUUACUCAGCCGAUCAACUACCACCAUGAUCACAUUAACCCCUCCAGCUAGUGGCAACCCCUCAAUAAAAGUCCAUGGUCCAAUCUUCUAAGAUUCUGUCAGGAAUUGGAAUUGGUUGAAGUACCCCAGCUGGUUUGGUUGCUUCGUAUUUGUUUCUCUGGCAGAUCUAGCAUUGUUCCACAUAUUUCUUUAUUUCAGCCUUCAUACCCCUCCAAUAUAGUUCUCCACUGAUCCUCUUGUAAGUUCUUAAAAAUCCAGAAUGUCCCCCGAGGAUAGAAUCGUGGAAAGUAUGUAGGAUCUUGGGUAUAAGUGUAGAAGUUUGAGAUACUACCAUUCUCCCCUUAUAGAGCAAUCUUCCUUUUUCCACUUGAAACUUGCUUCCUUCUUCUGCAUUUUUCUUCAGAUUUUCCAUAAUUUUCUUAAGUUCAGCAUCAUUCUCAACUUCCUGCUCGAUUAGUUUCACAUCAAUGAUUCCAGUAGUUGUCAAGCUGUGCAGCUCCACCAGUUGCUCCAUUCUAGAUAGGGCGUCCGCUGCCUUGUUCUGAUGUCCGGGUUGAUAUAAAAUCUCGAAAUCAUAUCCAAGGAGCUUUGUCAACCAUUUCUGGAAUUGGGGCUGUACCUCUCUCUGUCCAAGCAAGAAUUUAAGAGCCUUUUGAUCUGAAAGUAUGGUGAACUUCCUGCCCAGCAAAUAAUGCCUCCAUUUUUGAACUGAUAGAACUACAGCCAUCAACUCUCUUUCAUAGAUGGAUUUGUUUUGAGCCCUUGUGGAUAACUUCUGACUGAAAAAGGCAAUCGGGUGGCCAUUUUGAGAGAUCACCGCUCCUAACCCUACGCCAGAUGCAUCAGUUUCGAUAAUAAAGGGAAUGUUCCAAUCUGGUAAUGCCAACACUGGUAGAGUAGUCAUUGCUAGCUUCAAAUUUUCGAAGGCAGUAUUUGCUUCUUCAUUCCACUUAAAAGCAUUCUUCUGUAAUAACUUGGUUAGCGGUGCAGCGAUCUCUCCAUAACCCUUGACAAACCUCCUAUAAUAUCCUGUCAGUCCUAAGAAGCCCCGCAGACCAGAUAUAUUCGUUGGUGGUGGCCAAUUAAUCAUCUUCUUGAUCUUAUCCUCAUCUGCCUCAACUCCUCUUUUGGAUAUCAUAUGUCCCAAGUACUGUAUUUGAGAAUGGGCUAUAACGCAUUUUUUUUUGUUAGCAAACAGCUGGUUAUACUUCAAAACAUUGAAUACCAUGCCCAAAUGCUUUGCGUGUUCAUCUAUAUCCGCACUAUAAACCAGUAUAUCAUCAAAGAACACCAAAACACAGCGCCGAAGGAAAGGUUUAAAUACCUGGUUCAUCAAAGAUUGGAAGGUUGCCAGAGCAUUCGUGAGACCAAACGGCAUUACUAGAAACUCAUAGUGCCCUUCAUGUGUGCGGAACACAGUUUUCUCCACAUCUUCCUCUUUCAUUCUAAUCUGGUGAUAACCAGAUUUCAGAUCUAAUUUCGAGAAAACCGUUGCCCUAUUCAGCUCAUCUAAUAAUUCCUCUAUCACAGGAAUUGGGAACUUAUCCGAUACUGUCGCCUGAUUUAACUUGCGGUAAUCGACACAAAAUCUCCAUCCACCAUCUUUUUUCUUCACUAACAACACCGGGCUGGAGUAAGGGCUAUGACUAGGGCGAAUAACCCCUGCUUGAAGCAUCUCGACCACCAGUUUUUCUAUUUCUUCUUUCUGCACAUGACCGUAUUUGUAAGGUCUUACGUUGAUAGGUUUAUGGUCAGGUAGGGUUAAUAUUCGGUGAUCAUAGCUCUUUUUGGAGGUAAUUUCUUCGGUGUCUCAAAUAUCUCCGCAUAAUACUUGAGCAGGGAUCGGAUCAUAGAUAUUUCCUCCUCAUCUCCUUUUAAUCUUGUCCCCAGUUCAUAUUCAUUCUCUACUUCCAUCUCAUAAUUCUGGAAUUCUAAGAGGAAGCCUUGAUCUUCUAUAUGUAAGGAUUCAACUUGCUUACUUCACUAUUUCUCCCUUACAAUGGCCAAAAGCAGAGGUAGCCCUCUGCUAUCUUUAUUUAUAUAUAGCCAAAAUGAGUACAGAAAAACAUAAAGAUUCAAGAAAAACAAGGAAUAAUAAAGACAAACCCAGCUUCCUCUAGGGAAAGACUGGAUAUUCAUCUAGGCUAAGCAGCCGCCAACUUCAGGAUAAAAAUAAAACCUACCUCCCCUAGACCUAAAAAACCUAUUUAUAUUCCUUCUCUCAUCUUUCUCUUAUUUCUGUGCCUGGGCCCCACCUGCAGGAUCUCCUCCUCUUUUUCCUUCCUCAUUAUUAAUUUGUCCAGUAACUUUUCUGCCCCUCCUUUGAUAUGUAUGAAUAAUUGGAGGUCUUACAAUACCCCGGGGCUCCAAGUUCACCUUGUCCUCAAGGUGAAACUGAGGGAACUGCUGAUUCAAUAGGUAAACUGAUUCCCACGUUGCUUCACUGUCUGGUAAGUUCUUCCAUUUGAUCAGCCACUCAUUGCCUCCUAGCUCCUUGUUCCACCUUAUUCCCAGCACGUUUUCCGGCCACAAUUGUAGUUCAAAAUCCUCAGUUAGUAUAGGCUGUUGUUGCUGGAAUACAUGUUGUUUUCCCAACUUCAGUUUCAGUUGAGACACGUGAAAGACAUUGUGAAUGGCGGCCUCGGGCGGUAGUUGCAAUCGAUAAGCGACCUCUCCUAUCUCUUCAAUAACCUCAUACGGCCCAUAAAAUUUUGGGGAUAGCUUUUCACAUUUCUUCCGAGCUAGUGAUCUUUGUCGAUAGGGUCGUAGUUUCAAAUACACUUCAUCCCCAAUUUUGAAUUUGAGCUCCCUGCGGUUUCGGUCUGCCAUUUUCUUCAUUCUAUUUUGAGCUAUGCAUAGGUUUUCCUCCAGUGCAUUGAGUGCUAAAUCUCUCUCCUUCAACAUGACUUCUACGUCAUUGUUAGGAGAUUGCUUCCAUCCAUAUGACAGCAGUGGCGGGGGAGUUCUUCCAAAAACAGAUUGGUAAGGAGUAGUUUUGGUGGAUGCGUGGAAGGUUGUGUUAUACCAUAAUUCCGCCCAAGGGAUCAGUUUAUCCCAUUUCUUCGGUUGUUCAUUGCAAAAGCAUCUCAAAUAGGUCUCUAGGCAUCUGUUUACCCUCUCGGUUUGUCCAUCGGUUUGGGGAUGGAAUGCCGUGCUUCUCUUCAAAAUGGUGCCCAUGGUAGUGAACAACUCCUUCCAGAAAUUGCUAAGGAAGAUCUUAUCACGGUCGGUAAUAAUGGACUUGGGUAUUCCAUGUUUGCUGACCACUUUUUCCAAAAAAAUUGAAGCCACUUGCUUGGCUGUGUACGGGUGUUUCAGAGGCAAGAAGUAGGAGUACUUACUUAGGCGGUCGACGACUACCAUAAUCACGUUGUAACCUCCUGCUAUUGGCAGCCCUUCAAUAAAAUCCAUGGUCCAAUCCUCCAAUAUCUUGUCGGGGAUAGGAAUGGGUUGCAGAACUCCCGCAGGCUUAGUAGCUUCGAACUUAUUACGUUGACAAGUGUCACAUUCUUCUACAUAUCUCUUGAUAUCAGCCUUCAUUCCUUUCCAAAAUAGUUCCCCACUCAUUCUUUUAUAGGUUCUCAAGAAUCCCGAGUGCCCUCCUAAUAUGGAAUCAUGGAACGUGUGUAGAAGACUCGGAAUGAGGGAGGAAUUUCGUGGCAGCACCAUCCUUCCUUUAUAUAGCAGCCUGCCAUUGUUCCACUGGUAUUUCCCACCUUGAUCCACCUCUCCCUUAAGUUCGGCAAUAAUUUUCUGAAGUUCUUGAUCCAUUUCAACUUCCUUCUCUAUUAUCUCUAUAUCAACUAUGCCUGUGGUUGUCAUUGUAUUUAACUCCACCGAAUGGUCCUUCCUUGAGAGAGCAUCCGCCACCUUAUUCUGCAGACCCGGCUGGUAUAAGAUCUCAAAGUCAUACCCCAAAAGUUUUGUGAGCCACUUUUGGAAUUGAGGCUGAACUUCCCUCUGUUCUAACAGAAAUUUCAGAGCCUUCUGAUCUGAAACAAUUGUGAACUUUCUGCCCAGGAGAUAAUGUCUCCAUUUUUGCACCGAAAGGACAACCGCCAUCAAUUCCCUUUCAUAGAUCGACUUACCCUGGGCCCUUGGGGACAGUUUCUGGCUGAAGAAUGCGAUGGGAUGACCAUCUUGUGAUAAAACUGCACCUAAACCUACUCCUGAAGCAUCAGUUUCGAUUGUGAAGGGCUGAGACCAAUCCGGCAAUGCUAAUACCGGUAAGGUUGUCAUUGCUAGCUUCAGCUGGUCAAACGCUAUUGUAGCUUCCUCAUUCCAAUGGAAUGCAUUUUUCUGAAGUAAUUUGGUUAAGGGUGCAGCUAUUUCUCCAUAGCUUUUCACAAAUCUUCUAUAAUACCCAGUCAGUCCAAGGAAUCCCCUCAGCCCAGUUAUAUCUUUCGGCCGUGGCCAAUUUACCAUACUGCGAAUCUUGUCCUCAUCAGCCUCCACUCCUCUGCUGGAAAUCAGAUGACCCAAAUAUUGAACUUGGGAAUGAGCAAUGACACAUUUAGACCUAUUUGCAAACAAUUCAUGGUCCCUCAAGAUAGCAAAAACCAUUCCUAAAUGUUUCAUGUGUUCAUCUAUGUCCACACUAUAAACUAGAAUGUCAUAAAAAAAAACCAGGACACACCUUCGAAGGAAUGGUUUGAACACCUCGUUCAUGAGAGAUUGGAAGGUGGCAGGAGCAUUCGUAAGGCCGAAAGGCAUCACCAAGAACUCAUAAUGUCCUUCAUGCGUGUGGAAAGCUGUUUUCUCCACAUCUUCCUCCCUCAUCCUAAUCUGGUGGUAUCCAGAUUUAAGGUCUAACUUUGAGAAAGCUGUCGCACCAUGAAGUUCAUCUAAGAGUUCUUCGAUCACGGGAAUUGGAAAUUUAUCAGCCACCGUUACUUGAUUGAGUUUCCUGUAAUCUACACAAAAUCUCCACCCUCCAUCUUUAUUCUUCACUAAGAGGACCGGGCUCGAAUAUGGGCUGCGGCUUGGACGAAUCACCCCAGCUUGUAACAUUUCUAACACCAAUUUUUCAAUCUCUUCCUUUUGUACAUGGCCAUACUUAUAUGGUCUUACAUUAAUUGGUUUCUGAUCGGCCACGGUCAGAAUGCGAUGGUCUAUGGCUCUCCUUGGCGGUAAACCCGUGGGCAACCUAAAGACAUCUGCAUAUUGCUCGAGCAAUCGCUGAACCAUGGGUAAUCCUUCUUCCCUUCCCUUCAAUUCAGCUUCUGUUUCCGAUUCUCCUUCAUAGUUUACUUCAUAGUUUUGGAAUUCCAAGAGGAAUCCUUGGUCCCCGGAUUGCCACGUUUUCUCUAAGGUUCUCAAUGAACAUUCUGACUUCGUUAGAGAAGGGUCACCUUUUAGGAUUAUUCUUCUACCCUUCAUCCAAAACGUCAUGGUUAGGGAUGGCCAGUGAACCUUCAUGGUUCCUGUCGAAUCUAGCCAUUGCAUCCCAAGCACCAAGUCUACCGUUCCUAACUCUACCGCUAGGAAAUCUGCUACGAUUGUUAACUCUUUUAACUUCACCUUCACCCUCUUGCAAAUCCCACUUCCUUCACAUUGGUUGUCAUUCCCAAUGGUAACUCCAAAACGAGUUCCCGGAUCGAUGCUCAGCUGUAGUUCAUCUACCAACACUUAGCUGAUGAAGUUAUUGGUCGCCCCGCUGUCAAUCAGAAUAACUACUUCCCUUCCGUUCACAUGUCCUUUUAAUUUCAUCGUCCCCUUUGAUGUAACUCCCGUGAUCAACCUCAAUUCAAUAGGGUUAUCCAUAUUCAAUUCCAGAUGAUUCAGUUCUAUUACUUCGCUUGCCUCAUCCUCUGUAUCCUCUUCCCUUUUGUGGUCUUCUUCCUCAUUUAGUAUAAGGAGCAUCAACUCUCUUUUUUCUCUCCCUUUACAUCGAUGGCCUGGGGCGUACUUUUCAUUACAUCUGAAACAAAGCCCCUUAUCCAGCCUUGCUCUAAAUUCCGUAUCCGACAGCCGUUUAAUUGGGAGAUCUUUUUUCUGGUAAUCAUUUUUCAAUGGAAUAGUUACCUGCUUCAUCACAAACUCUGUCUUUUUACUUUCUGUCUUCUCAUUUUUUCCUUGAAAUUUGCUGCUGUUCUCAUUCCUUUUGGGCUCAACUAUAUCCAACUCUUCCAUCGCCAGUUUUAAUGCUAUAUUCCUAUCAUUCGCCAGCUGAGCUUCCUUCAUACAUUCCUCUAAAGUUUGAGGGUGUCUGCUGAUUACUUCCGCUUGCAGUGAGGGUUCCAGACCCGUUAAAAACGCAUCCAGCAGAACACUUUCUGCCAUGUCCGGGAGGGGGCUGAGUAUGUAACAAACUUCUUAACGUACUCGCUGUAUGAGACUUCUUGCUUAAUACGGAUUAAUCUUGCCCCCAAGCUCUGCUGUCCUGUAUCAUUAAAGAAAUCAAACAUCCUUUCCUUCAAGUCCUCCCAAGAUUCCACCCUCUUUCUACGAUUACUCCAUCUAAACCAGUCUACCUCUUCCUGUCCAAAACUCACGACUGCUACUUUGACCUUCUCAGCUUCCGGUAAGUCAUUUAUAUCAAAAAAAUGUUCUGCUCGGUACGCCCAGGAUUCAGGGUUCACCCCUGUAAACAGUGGCAUUUCUAAUUUUUUGUACUUACUUCGGUCUGCGCUGCUUCCACCCGACUCGACUGUGGUUCCGGCCUCUUCCAGUUUUCCCUUCAGUUUCAACCUGAUGUCGUCCGUAGUCCCUGCUUCUUCUUUUUUCUUAGCACCAUGGUUUUCUCUUAGCUCGCCUGUCAUUCGAUCCAUCGAUUUCUUCAUUUCCAGCAUCAUCUCCUUCAGACUCAUAAUUUCCUUUUCAGUACCUUCUACCCGAUCUUCUAUCUGUCUUUGAGCCAUCAGACGCGUGAUCACCCCCAGUGUGGAGGCUCUGAUACCAAUAUAUAAGGAUUCAACUUGCUUACUUCACUAUUUCUCCCUUACAAUGGCCAAAAACAAAGAUAGCCCUCUGCUAUCUUUAUUUAUAUAUAGCCAAAAUGAGUACAGAAAAACAUAAAGAUUCAAGAAAAACAAGGAAUAAUGAAGACAAACCCAGCUUCCUCUAGGGAAAGACUGGAUAUUCCUCUAGGCUAAGCAGCCGCCAACUUCAGGAUAAAAAUAAAACCUACCUCCCCUAGACCUAAAAAACCUAUUUAUAUUCCUUCUCUCAUCUUUCUCUUAUUUCUGUGCCUGGGCCCCACCUGCACGAUCUCCUCCUCUUUUUCCUUCCUCAUUAUUAAUUUGUCCAAUUACUUUUCUGCCCCUCCUUUGAUAUGUAUGAAUAAUUGGAGGUCUUACACUAUAUCCCACGUUUUUUCCAAUGUCUUCAAAGAACAUUCAGGUUUCACUAAGGAUGGAUCUCCUCUUAACACGAUUUGCUUGUCUUUUGCCCAAAAGGUCAUGGUUAAUGAUGGCCAAUGUACCUUCAUUGUGCCGGUGGUAUCUAGCCAUUGCAUCCCUAAAAUCACGUCAAUAUUUCCUAGUUCCACCACUAGAAAAUCAGUUAUAACUGUCAUUUCUUUCAAUCUCAGUUCCACCUUUCUGCAAAUACCUUUCCCUUUACAGCGGGUCCCGUCUCCAAUAGUCACUCCAAAUUGUGUACCGGGUUCAAUGUUCAACCCUCCUUCCAUUGCCACUGCUUCAUGGAUGAAGUUGUUCGUAGCUCCACUGUCGACGAGAAUCACCACCUCCCUUCCUUUUACAUGCCCCUUCAGUUUCAUUGUCCCUUUGGAUGUUAACCCCGUGAGUGUCUUCAAUUCAAUUUCGGUGGUUUCAGCAACAACUAACUGGUUCAGCUCCAUUACUUCUUCGGUCUCUUCCAUUUUGACUUCCUCCCCGCCACUCUCUUCUUCGUUAAGUAUAAAUAACAUUAAUUCCCUUUUCUCUCUCAUCUUGCAUCGGUGUCCCGGUGAGUACUUCUCACUGCAUCUAAAACACAAACCCUUGUCCAAUCUUGCUCUGAAUUCCGUGUCCAAGAGUCUUUUAACUGGAGGUUCAUUUUUCUGGUAGUUUCCUUUAAUGGGAAUAGUGACUUGCUUCAUGGGGAACUCAGUCUUCUUUGGUGAACUUUUAUCUUGACUGCUUUGUCCCUUGCUUGAGCCUCCUCCUUCCCUAGUCACACUGUUUACCCAUUCUGCCUUGGCUAAUUUCAAGGCUAGGUUUCUGCCACUUACCAGUUGUGCCUCCUUCAUACAUUCCUCUAAGGUUUGAGGAUGUCUACUAAUAACUUCUGCUUGAAGAGCCGGUUCUAGACCAGUCACGAAUGCAUCUAAGAGCACGCUUUCAGCCAUGUGCAGUAGUGGUGCAGAAUAUUGUACGAAUUUCUUGACAUGAUCAUUAUAGGAUCCAUCUUGUUCUAUUCGAAUCAGCCUUGCACCUAAGCUCUUCUGCCCAGAAUCUCGAAAAAAUUCAAACAUCCUUACCUUCAAAUCUUCCCAUCCUUCCACCUUCUUUCUAUGGUUACUCCAACGGUACCAAUCGAUUUCAUCUUGUCCGAAACUAACCACUGCUACUUUAGUAUGCCAUCCAAAUUAACUUUCUCCAUGGAUACUCUUCACCACUUUAGCCCAAAGGGAAUUCUUUUCAUUUAUAAAUCUCCAUCCCCAUUUAGCAAGAAGGUUGCAUUUUUUUAACGUUGCACCAUCGACGCCGAUUCCACCAUCCUCUUGCGAACAAGACACCACCUUCCAAUUAAUCACUUUAUGAAUCAUCUUUUCUGGCAUUAAGAAUAUAGACAUAUAGUGUGUAGGUAUAUGUGAAAAAACCGACUUACAAAGUGUGUCCCAACCUCCACUAAAGAGACAAUAUCUUUUCCACUUAUCUAGUUUAACUUGGAUUUUAUCUAUUUCUUGAAAUUACAUAAGGAGUAGAGAGAGGGCUCCAAGCCGAAGCAGUUAUGGAAAACAUCUCCAAUUUACAGCAAGUUAAAGCAAAAACAAAAAAAAAAAAACCGCAGUUCAAAAAAACUGGGCAUCUUGCUUCCUUCUAAUUGAAAGUUCUGCUGUUUCUGUCAAGUCAAAUUGACCACAAAAUGCUCAAAUGAGAUUCUUCAAUAGGAAUACAUAAAAAAAAAAAAUAUGUAAAAGAAUUUUCAAUGUUUAAUAUAAUAUGUAAAAUAAUUUUCUUAUAUUGGAAUUGGCAGAUGGCUGAGGGCCUUCGUGAAACGUGGGAGAGAAGCGAUAACAUUAUCGUUCAAAAAAUUCAGGAGUAAGUAUUUAUGUGAAAGGCCAUAUUCUUUGGCCAUUUGACCUUAUUUAUGAUUGAAUUAUUUGGAUGGAAAUGAUAAACUACACAUUAUUGUCUGCUUGAGUUGUGAUCUUGAUUAUGGGCUAUUUGGUAUUUUGCCUACAAACUGUAUAGUUAAUUAUCUGUUAGCUUUUGUUUUCCUGUCACAGCUUUAUGUUUCUGUGGCUAAUUGUAGCCAAAAGUUUUAUUUAUCGAUCUUAUUUUUCACAGCAUAAAUGAAACCGCGUUUCAAGCAUCAAAUGCUGCUACAUCAUUCAAGGAAAUUCGUCGUAGAGGUCCGUAAGUUUUUUCCUUUGGUGCUGUGAUACUAACCUGUUUGAAUAAAGGAAUCUGACUUGGUCUUUUCCUCUUUAACAUUAUGGAUUAGGUCUUUCUCUUUACCAAAUUUCGUAGCUGAACUUUAAGAAGCAAUCAAACCGGUGUUAACUUCUUAUAUAAAGGUUAGUGCUAACUGCUAAGCUUAUUUCUAAGAUGAAAGAUGCUUUUAUCCCCUCCCCAAAGAAUAUCAUUACUAUUUAUGUUGUAUAUCUGCUAACUAAUUCUUGCAUAGCAUCUGGUUUGAUAAAUAAAGUAAAGUUUCUGACAUGGAGGUUUUCAAGUUGGAAUAUAUAUUUAUGUUUUAGGUAGAUUCCCAAACUUUGAAGAAACGCUGCAGUACUGAGGUAAUUGAACGUUGUAAGGCAGAGCAUUGGGCUUACCGGAGCCAAGGUAUCUUCUUCGAUAACAAGUAAGGAUAGUCCUGAUACUACCUUUCUUUUGUUAUUGAAGUUUAUUGUUCCUUCUCUCUUGUUUGGUGGUUGUGCACCUAUAUUGAUUUGUACUUCUGUUAAUUAAUUAUAGUCCUUCUCUCUUGUUUGAGUAAUUAUUGUCUACCAUUUUGUUAGCAAAGGCUUCCCAUGGAAAUUUAGUUUGUUGUGCUGCAUGUCCAAGAUGAUUUUCGUGAUUUUAGUUUUAGAUACAUAAAAGGGAUUUUGCAUCACAACAUGAAUGACUAUUUCUAAAUAUGAACCUACAAUAACCCCAAAUGAAUACCGGAUUAAAUUGGAAACAGGGCAGAUAGAGAGUGAGAUGGAGAGUGUUUGUGUGUGCUUUAGAGUAGUUUUAAGCACAUUUUUUAGAUUUGUUUAACACUAAGUUUGUUUCACUUGCACAAUUGGUUGCCAUUUUAGGUCUCAAAGUGCAUUUUCACUCAUUUUGAACUUUUUGUUAGUUUGUGAGUUACGAACUUACACUUAAGCACUGUUAGGUCGUUUCAAACACAUUUUGUGUUUGUUUGGAACUAAGCUUGUUUAGACAUUUGAUUGACAUGUUGGGUCUCCAAGUGCUUUUUUCCACACUUUUUGAAAUUUUGGUAGGUUGUGAGUCACGAACUUACGCUUGAGUAUUGUUUGGUCCGUUUGAAAGCUUAGACACAUUUUGAACUCUUUUUAAGAUAACUUGAAACUAAGUUCAUUGCACUUACAUACUUCGUUGCCGUUUUGGGUCUCGAAGUACCUUUUUCACACUUUUUGAAAUUUUGGUAGGUUGUGAGUUACAAACUUACCCUUAAGCAUUGUUUGGUUGUUUUGAAAAUUCAAGUGAUAGUUACACACGUUUUGAAUACAUUUUAGGUUAGAUUGAGUUUGUUGCACUUGGUUGUCAUUUUUGGUCUUGAAAUGCUUUUUUCAAACUUUUUGGUAGAUUAUGAGUUACGAACUUACACUUAGGAUUUGCUAAAUCGUUUUGAAAACUCAAGUAAUACAUAGACACGUUUUGAGCACGUUUUAGGUUGGUUUGAACUAAGUUUGUUGCACUUACACACUUGGUUGCCAUUUUGGGGAUUGUAGUGCUUUUUUCACAAUAUUUGAACUUUUUUCGUAGGUUAUGAGUUACGAUCCUACACGUAAGCUGUUUUAGGACAUUUUGAAAGUUCAAGUGAUACUUAGACACGUUUUAAACUCGGUUUAGGUUAGUUCGAAACUAAGUUUGUUGACCUUAUCCAAUUGGUUGCCAUUUUCGGUCUUGAAGUGCCCUUUUCACACUUUUUGAACUUUUUGGUAGGCUAUGGGUUACCAACUUACACUUAAACUUUGUUAGGUUGUUUUGAAAGUCCAAGUGAUACUUAGACACGCCUUGACCACUUUUUAGGUUGGUUUGGAACUAAGUUUGUUGCACUUGCGCACUUGGUUGCCAUUUUGGGUCGUGUAGUGUUUCCUUUUUUUCCAUACUUCUUGAACUUUUUGGUAGGUUAUGAGUGAUGAAUUUACAAAUAAACAUUCUUAGGUCGUUCUGAAAGUUCAAGUGAUACUUAAACACGGUUUGAAAUUUUUUUAGAUUUGUUUAAGACUAAGUUUGUUUCACUUGCAUACUUGGUUGCCAUUUUAGGUCUCAAAGUGCAUUUUUCACGCAUUUUGAUUUUUUUGUUAGUUUGUGAGUUACGAACUUACACUUAACGAUUGUUAGGUCGUUUUAAACACAUUUUGCGUUGGUUUGAAACUAAGUUUGUUGCACUUACACAUUGGAUUGAAAUGUUGGGUCUUGAAGUACUUUUUUUCACACUUUUUGAAAUUUUUUUAGGUUGUGAGUUACGAACUUACGCUUGAGUAUUGUUUGGUCGGUUUGAAAUCUUAGACACGUUUUGCACUCUUUUAGGAUGGCUUGAAACUAAGUCCGUUGCACUUACAUACUUCGUUGCCAUUUUGGGUCUUGAAGUGCUUUUCUUACACUUUUUGAAAUUUUGGUAGGUUGUGAGUUACAAACUUACACUUAAGCAUUGUUUGGUGGUUUUGAAAGUUUAAGUGAUACGUACACAUGUUUUGAAUACAUUUUAGGUUAGAUUGAUUUUGUUGCACUUGGUUGUCAUUUUUGGUCUUGAAAUGCUUUUUUCAACCUUUUUGGUAGAUCAUUACGAACCUACAUUUAGGAUUUGCUAGGUCGUUUUGAAAACUCAAGUAAUACCUAGACACGUUUUGAGCACGUUCUAGGUUGGUUUGAACUAAGUUUGUUACAAUUACACACUUGGUAGCCAUUUUGGGUCUUGUAGUGCUUUUUUCACACUAUUUGAACUUUUUUCGUAGGUUAUGAGUUACGAAUCUCAACGUAAGCUGUUUUAGGUCGUUUUGAAAGUUCAAGUGAUACUUAGACACAUUUUGUUCAAGUGAUACUGUUUUAGGUCGUUUUGAAGUGAACUUUUUUCUUCUUGUAUUGACUGUUUUACUAUUUCUUCAUGGUUUGUAUUCAUGGUAUUUAGUUUCGUACUGAAUCUUUCAUGUUCUGGUAAACAUUGCAGAAACACAUAAUUUCAUCAAUCUGUCAAAGAGUUGAAGGAGAAGACAGAAGAACUUAAAGGUCACAUGAAGACCUAAAAGUUAGGUAAUUUUUUGAAAACUUUUUUCUUUGUCUUGCUUAGUUUUAGUGGUAUUUGUUAACAGGCUGAGACAUACUCUUGUAUGCCAAGGCUGGGUGGCCAAUUCAAUGGAUGGCCUGAGACGGUGAAAUGACGAGUGUAGACAAUCGAGCAGAUUUACAAGUAGGAGGAUGGUGUUUGGUCUUACUCAAAAGCUACUGCUAGAAAGGUGAUUCUCCCUUUAUUUACACAUGUUAUCUAUAUUUAAUUACUGUUUUUAUGUGAUGGUGAAUAAAUAUUUAAGUUGUUUCAAGUUUGUACAUCAUGCUUGAGUUAAUACAUUUCUCAACUCGCACUAAUUUUAAAGUUGAGACUAAGUUUGUUGCACUUACACACUUGGUUGCCAUUUUGGAUUUUGGAGUGCUUUUUCUACAUUUUUUGAACAUUUUGGUAGGUUAUGAUUUAUGAAGUAAGACUAAAGCAUUAUUAGGUCGUUUUUAAAGUUCGAGUGAUACUUAAACAUUUUUUGAACACCUUUUAGGUUGUUACAAACUAAGUUAGUUUUACAUACAGCCAUGGUUGCCAUUUUGAGUCUUGAAAGAUUUUUUUUCACACUUUUUGAAAUUUUUGGUAAGUUAUGAGUUAUAAACUUACACUUAAGCGUUGUUAGGUUGUUUGAAAACUUAUACGUGUUUUGAAUACUUGUUAAGUUUGUAUAGAACUAAGUUCGUUGCACUUACACACUUGACAUUUUGGGUUUUGGAGUGUCUUUUUAAAAAAUUUUGAACUUUUUGCUAGUUUAUGACUUAUGAACUUGUAUUGAAUAUUUGUUAGGUCGUUUUGAUAAUUCAAGUGAUACUUAGAAAAUGCAACCGAGCUUAAACAAUUCCGCUCAUUUUUCUAAAAUUUUUAGUUUAACCUAUUGAAUAAAAUUCGAUGGAAAUUCUUGUUUUCUUUUUGUAGGAAUAAAAGGAAAUGAAAUAUAACCAAACUUGGGAUCUUUGCAAACAAUCUUCCAUGAAGAAACUAGGCUACAAGUGGUUUGGGGUUUGGGUUUUUAGGGCUUAGGGCUUUUAGGGCUUUUUGGGCUUAUGGCUUAGGGCUUUUAGCGCUUUUAGGGCUUUUAGGGCGCUUAGGGCUUUUAGGUUUUAGGGCUUAGGGCUUUUAGGGCUUAUGGCUUUAGGGUUUAGGGUUUAGGGGUUUAGGGUUUAGGGCGCUUAGGGCUUUUAGGGAUUUUAGGGCGCUUAGGGAUUUUAGGUUUUAGGGCUUAGGGCUUUUAGGGAUUAUGGCUUAGGGCUUAGCGCUUUUAGGGCUUAGGGCUUAGGGCUUAGGGCUUUAAGGGCUUUAAGGGUAUUUAGGGAUAAGGGAUUUUAGGGCUUUUAGGGCUUUUAGGGCAUUUAGGGCUUUUGGGGCUUUUAGGGCUUUUAGGGCUUAGGGCGUUUGGCUUAGGGCUUUUAGGGCUUAGGGAUUAGGGCUUGGGCUUUUAGGGCUCGGGCUUUGGGCUCUUUGGGCUUUUAGGACUUUUAGUGCUCUUAGGGCUUUUUGGGCGCUUAGGGCUUAUGACUUUUAAGGCUUAGGGCUUUGGGCUUUGGGCUUUUAGGGCUUUUAGGGCUUUUAGGGCGCUUAUGGCUUUUAGCUUUUAGGGCUUAGGGCUUUUUGGUCUUUUAGGGCUUAGGGCUUAGGGCUUAGGCUUUUAGGGCUUUCAGGGCUUGGGCUUUGGGCGUUUAGGGCUUUUAGGGCUUUUAGGACGCUUAGGGCUUUUAGGUUGUAGGGCUUAGGGCUUUUAGGGCUUAUGGCUUUUAGGGCUUAGCGCUUAGGGCUUAGGGCUUAGGGCUUUUACGGCUUUUACGGCUUUUACGACUUUUAGGGCUUUUAGGACUGAGGCCUUAGGGCUUAGGCCUUAGGGCUUAGGCCUUAGGGCUUAGGCCUUAGGGCUCAGGGCUCAGGGCUCAGGGCUCAGGGCUUAGGGCUUAGGGCUUAGGGUUUAGGGUUUAGGGUUUAGGGUUUAGGGAUUAGGGCUUAGUUCUUGUGCUUUUAUUGCUUAGGGCUUAGGGCUUGUAGGGCUUAGGGCUUAUGGCUUAGGGCUUGGGCUUUUAGGGCUUGGGUUUUUAGGGCUUGGGCUUUGGGCUUUUAGGGCGUUUAGGGCUUUUAGGGCGCUUAAGUCGUUUAUGGCUUUUAAGGCGUUUAGGGCUUAGGGCUUUGAGGGCUUAGGGGUUUUGGCUUACGACUUAGGGCUUGGGAUUUUAGGGCUUAGGGCUCGGGCUUUGUGCUUUUAGGACUUUUAGUGCUCUUAGGGCUUUUUGGGCGCUUAGGGCUUAUGACUUUUAAGGCUUAGGGCUUUGGGCUUUUAGGGCUUUUAGGGCUUUUAGGACUUUUAGGGCUUUUAGGGCGCUUAUGGCUUUUAGCUUUUAGGGCAUAGGCCUUUUUGGGCUUUUAGGGCUUAGGGCUUAGUGAUGUAAUUCAAAGUUGGAUUGAUUUUUCAAAAGAAUUCUCUGCCAAUAAUGGCUAAGAUAAGGGGUAUUUAUUGAGAAUUUGUAAGUAGUUACAAUUAGUUGAAAUAACUGUUUAUGAAACAGCCUUAACUGUUAAACAGUUUAACUGUUUAAACUGUUUUACUAACUAACUACAGCUGUUUAACCAUAGCUUUAUUCUAUAUUACAUCACUUAGGGCUUAGGCUUUUAGGGCUUUCAGGGCUUGGGCUUUGGGCGUUUAGAGCACAAUUACUUCCAGUCUCUGGUCGAUAAGUACCCAAGGAAGGUAAAUUCCAGCGAAGAAAGUCGAGAGCUCCUUAGUUGAUCACAAAUCCUUCCAAAUUCUUUGUUCGUAGACUAAUUUGAAAUUCUUCCAAUAUGGAUCCAUGCUGUCUUUUAUAUCCAUAAGAUACCAAUUAGAUUGUGUUAAUUAUUGUUUAUAAGAAAAUAAGUUCAAUAGAAAAAAAAAUAUAUAGCAGAAGAAGCGCAUGAAUAAGAAAGAAACAAUAAGGAACAAUAAUUACUUCCUCCAGCCCUUCGCCAGCAUAUGGUUGAGGGAACAGCAUCACCAAACUUAUCCUCAAAAAUCAGUUUUCCAGACUUGAUAUUCCAUAGACGAAAUUUGCAGUCUUCUCCACCUAAAACCAGAAUAUAUUUGGUGCAAGCUCAUGUUACCAGGAACUCCGAGAUUUCUGAAUAUAAAGAAAUUGAGCAUGCACUGAAAUGAACUACCAGAUGUGACAAACGUCUCGGUGGGAUCAACUCCAAGCUGUACACGGGUUAUGGAAAACAUCUCCAAUUUACAGCAAGUUAAAGAAAAAAAAGAAGAGAAAAACAGCAGUUAAAAAAAACUGGGCAUCUUGCUUCUUUCUUAUUGAAAGUUUGGCCGUUUCUUUCAAGUCAAAUUGACCACAAAAUGCUCAAAUGAGAUUCUUCAAUAGGAAUAUGUAAAAAAAAUAUAAUAUGUAAAAGAAUUUUUGUGAAACGUGGGAGAGAAGCGGUAACAUUAUCCUUCAAAAAAUUCAGGAGUAAAUAUUUAUGUGAAAGGACAUAUUAUUUGGCCAUUUGACCUUAUUUGUUAUUGAAUUAUUUGGUUGGAAAUGAUAAACUACACAUUAUUGUUUGCUUCAGUUGUGAUCUUGAUUAUGGGCUAUUUGGUAUUUUGCUUACAAACUGUAUAGUUAAUUAUCUGUUAGCUUUUGUUUUCCUGUCACAGCUUUAUGUUUAUGUGGCUCAUUGUAACCGAAAGUUUUAUUUAUCAAUCUUAUUUUUCACAGCAUAAAUGAAACUGUGUUUGAAGAAUCAGGUGCUGCUACAUCAUUCAAGGAAAUUCGUCGUAGAGGUCCGUAAGUUUUUUCCUUUGGAGAUGUGAUACUAACCUGUUUGAAUAAAGGAAUCUGACUUGGUCUUUUCCUCUUUAACAUUAUGGAUUAGGUCUUUCUCUUUACCAGAUUUCGUAGCUGAACUUUAAGAAGCAAUCAAACCGGUGUUAACUUCUUAUAUAAAGGUUAGUGCUAACUGCUAAGCUUAUUUCUAAGAUGAAAGAUGCUUUUAUCCCCUCCCCAAAGAAUAUCAUUACUAUUUAUGUUGUAUUUCUGCUAACUAAUUCUUGCAUAGCAUCUGGUUUGAUAAAUAAAGUAAAGUUUCUGACAUGGAGGUUUUCAAGUUGGAAUAUAUAUUUAUGUUUUAGGUAGAUUCCCAAACUUUGAAGAAACGCUGCAGUACUGAGGUAAUUGAACGUUGUAAGGCAGAGCAUUGGCUUACCGGAGCCAAGGUAUCUUCUUCGAUAACAAGUAAGGAUAGUCCUGAUACUACCUUUCUUUUGUUAUUAGAAUUUAUUGUUCCUUUUGUUGGGGGCUUGGUGGUUGUGCACCUAUAUUGAUUUGUACUUCUGUUAAUUAAUUAUAGUCAUUCUCUCUUGUCUGAGUAAUUAUUGUCAACCAUUUUGUUAGCAAAGGCUUCCCAUGGAAAUUCAGUUUGUUGUGCUGCAUGUCCACGAUGAUUUUCGUGAUUUUAGUUUUAGAUACAUAAAAAGGGCCUUUGCAUCACGACAUGAAUGACUACUUUUUAAUAUGAACGUACAAUACCCCAAAUGAAUGCUGAAGUAAGUUUAUUGAUGUAUGUAAUUUACAACAAUCUUUUUGAACUUUUUGGUAGGUUAUGAAUUACGAACUUGUAUUGAAUAUUUGUUAGGUCGUUUUAAUAAUUCAAGUGAUGCUUAGAAAAUGCAACCGAGCUUAAACAAUUCUGCACAUUUUUCUAAAAUUUUUAGUUUAACCUCUUUAAUAAAAUUCGAAGGAAAUUCUUGUUUUCUUUUUGUAGGAAUAAAGGAAAAUGAAAUAUAACCAAACUUGGGAUCUUUGCAAGCAAGCUUCCAUGAAGAAACUAGGUUACAAGGGGAGGUCUUCUGUUCUCCUUUUUUUUUCUUUCCAUCCGUAGAAUCUUGCUUAAAAUGCUUUGAGGACAAUGCAAAUUUUUAAGUGGGGGGUGGGGUUGUAGCCUUGCACAUUCCAUGUCCUUUGGGAAAUUUUCAUUUUGCAAAUUUUGCUAAAAAUGUCAAAAUUUAGAAACUUUUGCAAUGCUCUAUGCUUAGAAUAAGUACCAUGUCUACUUCGCUUUUUAGCAUAAAAAAGCAUAUAUGCCUAACCCAUGAGAACAGAGCUCGGAUUUGUGAUUGUAUUUGUUAUUUGAAUAUGUUACAUAUGUUGAAAAUGCAUAUAUUGAUAGCUUAGAAAUGAGUAGAACACUUGGUUCAUUUUCUGAAUAUUGUGAAUUAUGUACAUAAUAAUAUGUGCGGUUGCCUUUUUUAUCUCAAUUUUAAUCCCCUUUUUUGCCAUCUUCUACUGCCUUUUUUAUAUUAAUUUUAAAUCCCUCUUUUGGCCAUACACAUUUGUAUAAGAUUGUUUGAAAGCAAAAUAUGAUUGUUAGGUCAAGUAGAAAGCAAAGUCGGCAAGUUCUUAGAGUUCUUCACCCAACAUAACAGCCGAUAAAAACAAAACAAUACGACCAAGCUGCUUAGAGUUGCAAAACCGACCCCCGCCUAGUGGGUCACUAGAGUUCUUCACCCAGCAUGGCAGCCGGUAGAGAGGGAGAGAGAAAAAAAAGAGGGAGCCAAGCCAGCCGCUUAGGUCAAGUAAAAUGCGCGCCGAGAUCCCCCGGUUUCAGAAUUUUCGUGGGGAUCCUCUCCGCUUUUCUUGCCUAAGCAAAACCCGACCCGCCUAGUAGGUUCUUAGAGUUCUUCACCCAUCAUGGCAGCCGGUAGAGAGGGAGAGAGAAAAAAAAGAGGGAGCCAAGCCAGCCGCUUAGGUCAAGUAAAAUGCGCGCCGAGAUCCCCCGGUUUCAGAAUUUUCGUGGGGAUCCUCUCCGCUUUUCUUGCCUAAGCAAAACCCGACCCGCCUAGUAGGUCCUUAGAGUUUUUCACCCAGCAUGGCAGCCGGUAGAGAGGGAGAGAGAAAAAAAAGAGGGAGCCAAGCCAGCCGCUUAGGUCAAGUAAAAUGCGCGCCGAGAUCCCCCGGUUUCAGAAUUUUCGUGGGGAUCCUCUCCGCUUUUCUUGCCUAAGCAAAACCCGACCCCGCCUAGUAGGUCCUUAGAGUUUUUCACCCAGCAUGGCAGCCGGUAGAGAGGGAGAGAGAAAAAAAAGAGGGAGCCAAGCCAGCCGCUUAGGUCAAGUAAAAUGCGCGCCGAGAUCCCCCGGUUUCAGAAUUUUCGUGGGGAUCCUCUCCGCUUUUCUUGCCUAAGCAAAACCCGACCCCGCCUAGUAGGUCCUUAGAGUUUUUCACCCAGCAUGGCAGCCGGUAGAGAGGGAGAGAGAAAAAAAAGAGGGAGCCAAGCCAGCCGCUUAGGUCAAGUAAAAUGCGGCCGAGAUCCCCCGGUUUCAGAAUUUUCGUGGGGAUCCUCUCCGCUUUUCUUGCCUAAGCAAAACCCGACCCGCCUAGUAGGUUCUUAGAGUUCUUCACCCAUCAUGGCAGCCGGUAGAGAGGGUGAGAGAAAACAAAGAGGGAGCCAAGCCAGCCGCUUAGGUCAAGUAAAAUGCGCGCCGAGAUCCCCCGGUUUCAGAGUUUUCGUGGGGAUCCUCUCCGCUUUUCUUGCCUAAGCAAAACCCGACCCCGCCUAGUAGGUCCUUAGAGUUCUUCACCCAGCAUGGCAGCCGGUAGAGAGGGAGAGAGAAAAAAAAGAGGGAGCCAAGCCAGCCGCUUAGGUCAAGUAAAAUGCGCGCCGAGAUCCCCCGGUUUCAGAAUUUUCGUGGGGAUCCUCUCCGCUUUUCUUGCCUAAGCAAAACCCGACCCGCCUAGUAGGUCCUUAGAGUUCUUCACCCAGCAUGGCACGGUAGAGAGGGAGGGAGAAAAAAAAGAGGGAGCCAAGCCAGCUGCUUAGGUCAAGUAAAAUGCACGUCGAGAUUGCCUGGUAUCAGAGCUUGCAUGGGCAACCUCUCCGCUUUAGAUGGAAUUUGAUGAAAUGCUUAUGUCGAAAGUAGGCAUUUCUCUACAGAGUCCUAAUGGUCAUAGAAAUUUAUUAUGCUUUGUAUUUAUUUUACUUUGUUGUCGAGAAUCAACUUCUUUUCUGAUUUGUAUGUUUAUGUAUAUGUUGCAUCUCUGUCUUGUUAUCAUGUUGUAUUUCAUUGUACUCAAUAGUCUGAUUUGCAUUUUUUAUUUGUGUUAAUAAGUGUUCGUGUAAUUGCAAUUUUGUUCUUGAAGAUAUUUUGCUUGAAUCAAGUUAGUUCUUUCUAUAAGGAUCAUUUUCUUGUAAGGUUAUAACUUCUUGUCCAAUUUUUCCAACUCACAUUUCAACUUGUAACAGGUGAAUCCCUUCCAAAUAAGAGCUUAAAAAGAAAAAACAAUUGGAACCUUUAACCAUAAAAUCAAGGUACUGCAUCUUAUUUGCAAUGAAUUGCUAUAAUUUUGUAGAGACUCCACAAAUAAAAUACUAAAUUACCCAAACAGUUGGCAAACAGAGACACACUCUGUAGAUCUUUAUUUAUAUAUAAAUGCCAAAAGAUACAGUAGAAGGAAAUAUAAAAGAAAGCAAUAAAGAUGAUAAUAUCAUGUCAAACCUCCCCAGGAAAAGAUAGUAGUCCUUCCUAGACCUAGCAGCCUCUACAGACCAAAUGAAGACAAAAAGUUAACCUAGCCCCCAAUCCCGAUAAGGCCUUAUUUAUAGCUCUUUUCUCAUUCUUCCCCGUGGGCCCCACUCUCAUGUUCUUUUCCUAAUAUUCUCCCCUUUUCUGCUGCGUGAGCUUUUACGUUUUUACCCUCCUUUUGUAUGUAUGGAUAAUAGGGGGCCUUACAAUACCCCUCGGUUCCAGGUUCACCUUGUCCUCAAGGUGAAAGUCAGGGAAUUGUUGGUUCAUUUGGAAAACAGAUUCCCAAGUUGUUUCACUGUCCGGCAGCCCUUUCCACUUAAUUAACCAUUCAUUUCCUCCCAAUUCCCGAUUCCAACGGACUCCCAACACUGUUUCCGGCCAUAAUUGUAACUCAAACUCUUCCGUUAGCCUAGGUUGCUGGUGUUGAACAGCUUGUUGACUACCCAGUUUCAGUUUUAACUGAGAAAUAUGGAACACAUUGUGGAUACUGGCUUCCGGCGGUAACAUCAAUCUGUACGCAACUGCUCCUAUUUCUUCAGUAAUUUUGUAGGGUCCGUAAUAUUUAGGUGCUAACUUUUCACACUUCUUCCGAGCCAAGGAGCGUUGCCGGUAAGGUCUCAAUUUCAAGUAGACUUCAUCUCCUACCUUAAAUUUUAACUCUCUUCUAUUUCGAUCAGCCAUUUUCUUCAUCCUGUUCUAGGCUACACACAGGUGUUCUUUUAAGGCAUUGAUGGCUAAGUCACGUUCCUUCAGCAGCGUGUCAACCUCAUUAUUAGGAGUUUUCUUGUAACCAUAGGAUAACAGGGGAGGAGGCGGUCUGCGGUAUACCGUCUGAAAAGGGGUCAUUUUGGUGGAUGCAUGGAAGGUGGUAUUAUACCACAAUUCUGCCCAUGGAAUCAGUCUAUCCCAUUUUUUUGGUUGUUCAUUACAGAAGCAUCGCAGAUAAGUUUCGAGACAUCUAUUUACCCUUUCUGUCUGCCCAUCAGUUUGUGGGUGAAACGGCGGUACUCCUCUUUAGAAUAGUUCCCAUGGUUGCAAACAGUUCCUUCCAAAAAUUACUAAGAAAGAUUUUAUCCCGAUCUGUGAUAAUCGACUUAGGAAUGCCGUGCUUGCUUACUAUUCUGUCGAUGAAUAUGGAAGCAACUUGCUUGGCUGAAAACGGAUGUCUCAAUGAUAUAAAGUAAGAAUACUUACUCAGCCGAUCAACUACCACCAUGAUCACAUUAACCCCUCCAGCUAGUGGCAACCCCUCAAUAAAAGUCCAUGGUCCAAUCUUCUAAGAUUCUGUCAGGAAUUGGAAUUGGUUGAAGUACCCCAGCUGGUUUGGUUGCUUCGUAUUUGUUUCUCUGGCAGAUCUCGCAUUGUUCCACAUAUUUCUUUAUUUCAGCCUUCAUACCCCUCCAAUAUAGUUCUCCACUGAUCCUCUUGUAAGUUCUUAAAAAUCCAGAAUGUCCCCCGAGGAUAGAAUCGUGGAAAGUAUGUAGGAUCUUGGGUAUAAGUGUAGAAGUUUGAGAUACUACCAUUCUCCCCUUAUAGAGCAAUCUUCCUUUUUCCACUUGAAACUUGCUUCCUUCUUCUGCAUUUUUCUUCAGAUUUUCCAUAAUUUUCUUAAGUUCAGCAUCAUUCUCAACUUCCUGCUCGAUUAGUUUCACAUCAAUGAUUCCAGUAGUUGUCAAGCUGUGCAGCUCCACCGGUUGCUCCAUUCUAGAUAGGGCGUCCGCUGCCUUGUUCUGAUGUCCGGGUUGAUAUAAAAUCUCGAAAUCAUAUCCAAGGAGCUUUGUCAACCAUUUCUGGAAUUGGGGCUGUACCUCUCUCUGUUCAAGCAAGAAUUUAAGAGCCUUUUGAUCUGAAAGUAUGGUGAACUUCCUGCCCAGCAAAUAAUGCCUCCAUUUUUGAACUGAUAGAACUACAGCCAUCAACUCUCUUUCAUAGAUGGAUUUGUUUUGAGCCCUUGUGGAUAACUUCUGACUGAAAAAGGCAAUCGGGUGGCCAUUUUGAGAGAUCACCGCUCCUAACCCUACGCCAGAUGCAUCAGUUUCGAUAAUAAAGGGAAUGUUCCAAUCUGGUAAUGCCAACACUGGUAGAGUAGUCAUUGCUAGCUUCAAAUUUUCGAAGGCAGUAUUUGCUUCUUCAUUCCACUUAAAAGCAUUCUUCUGUAAUAACUUGGUUAGCGGUGCAGCGAUCUCUCCAUAACCCUUGACAAACCUCCUAUAAUAUCCUGUCAGUCCUAAGAAGCCCCGCAGACCAGAUAUAUUCGUUGGUGGUGGCCAAUUAAUCAUCUUCUUGAUCUUAUCCUCAUCUGCCUCAACUCCUCUUUUGGAUAUCAUAUGUCCCAAGUACUGUAUUUGAGAAUGGGCUAUAACGCAUUUUUUUUUGUUAGCAAAACAGCUGGUUAUACUUCAAAACAUUGAAUACCAUGCCCAAAUGCUUUGCGUGUUCAUCUAUAUCCGCACUAUAAACCAGUAUAUCAUCAAAGAACACCAAAACACAGCGCCGAAGGAAAGGUUUAAAUACCUUGGUUCAUCAAAGAUUGGAAGGUUGCCAGAGCAUUCGUGGAGACCAAACGGCAUUACUAGAAACUCAUAGUGCCCUUCAUGUGUGCGGAACACAGUUUUCUCCACAUCUUCCUCUUUCAUUCUAAUCUGGUGAUAACCAGAUUUCAGAUCUAAUUUCGAGAAAACCGUUGCCCUAUUCAGCUCAUCUAAUAAUUCCUCUAUCACAGGAAUUGGGAACUUAUCCGAUACUGUCGCCUGAUUUAACUUGCGGUAAUCGACACAAAAUCUCCAUCCACCAUCUUUUUUUCUUCACUAACAACACCGGGCUGGAGUAAGGGCUAUGACUAGGCGAAUAACCCCUGCUUGAAGCAUCUCGACCACCAGUUUUUUUAUAUUCUUCUUUCUGCACAUGACCGUAUUUGUAAGGUCUUACGUUGAUAGGUUUAUGGUCAGGUAGGGUUAAUAUUCGGUGAUCAAUAGCUCUUUUUGGAGGUAAUUUCUUCGGUGUCUCAAAUAUCUCCGCAUAAUACUUGAGCAGGGAUCGGAUCAUAGAUAUUUCCUCCUCAUCUCCUUUUAAUCUUGUCCCCAGUUCAUAUUCAUUCUCUACUUCCAUCUCAUAAUUCUGGAAUUCUAAGAGGAAGCCUUGGUCUUCUAUAUGUAAGGAUUCAACUUGCUUACUUCACUAUUUCUCCCUUACAAUGGCCAAAAACAGAGGUAGCCCUCUGCUAUCUUUAUUUAUAUAUAGCCAAAAUGAGUACAGAAAAACAUAAAGAUUCAAGAAAAACAAGGAAUAAUAAAGACAAACCCAGCUUCCUCUAGGGAAAGACUGGAUAUUCCUCUAGGCUAAGCAGCCGCCAACUUCAGGAUAAAAAUAAAACCUACCUCCCCUAGACCUAAAAAACCUAUUUAUAUUCCUUCUCUCAUCUUUCUCUUAUUUCUGUGCCUGGGCCCCACCUGCACGAUCUCCUCCUCUUUUUCCUUCCUCAUUAUUAAUUUGUCCAAUUACUUUUCUGCCCCUCCUUUGAUAUGUAUGAAUAAUUGGAGGUCUUACACUAUAUCCCACGUUUUUUCCAAUGUCUUCAAAGAACAUUCAGGUUUCACUAAGGAUGGAUCUCCUCUUAACACGAUUUGCUUGUCUUUUGCCCAAAAGGUCAUGGUUAAUGAUGGCCAAUGUACCUUCAUUGUGCCGGUGGUAUCUAGCCAUUGCAUCCCUAAAAUCACGUCAAUAUUUCCUAGUUCCACCACUAGAAAAUCAGUUAUAACUGUCAUUUCUUUCAAUCUCAGUUCCACCUUUCUGCAAAUACCUUUCCCUUUACAGCGGGUCCCGUCUCCAAUAGUCACUCCAAAUUGUGUACCGGGUUCAAUGUUCAACCCUCCUUCCAUUGCCACUGCUUCAUGGAUGAAGUUGUUCGUAGCUCCACUGUCGAUGAGAAUCACCACCUCCCUUCCUUUUACAUGCCCCUUCAGUUUCAUUGUCCCUUUGGAUGUUAACCCCGUGAGUGUCUUCAAUUCAAUUUCGGUGGUUUCAGCAACAACUAACUGGUUCAGCUCCAUUACUUCUUCGGUCUCUUCCAUUUUGACUUCCUCCCCGCCACUCUCUUCUUCGUUAAGUAUAAAUAACAUUAAUUCCCUUUUCUCUCUCAUCUUGCAUCGGUGUCCCGGUGAGUACUUCUCAUUGCAUCUAAAACACAAACCCUUGUCCAAUCUUGCUCUGAAUUCCGUGUCCAAGAGUCUUUUAACUGGAGGUUCAUUUUUCUGGUAGUUUCCUUUAAUGGGAAUAGUGACUUGCUUCAUGGGGAACUCAGUCUUCUUUGGUGAACUUUUAUCUUGACUGCUUUGUCCCUUGCUUGAGCCUCCUCCUUCCCUAGUCACACUGUUUACCCAUUCUGCCUUGGCUAAUUUCAAGGCUAGGUUUCUGCCACUUACCAGUUGUGCCUCCUUCAUACAUUCCUCUAAGGUUUGAGGAUGUCUACUAAUAACUUCUGCUUGAAGAGCCGGUUCUAGACCAGUCACGAAUGCAUCUAAGAGCACGCUUUCAGCCAUGUGCAGUAGUGGUGCAGAAUAUUGUACGAAUUUCUUGACAUAAUCAUUAUAGGAUCCAUCUUGUUCUAUUCGAAUCAGCCUUGCACCUAAGCUCUUCUGCCCAGAAUCUCGAAAAAAUUCAAACAUCCUUACCUUCAAAUCUUCCCAUCCUUCCACCUUCUUUCUAUGGUUACUCCAACGGUACCAAUCGAUUUCAUCUUGUCCGAAACUAACCACCGCUACUUUCACUUUUUCUGCUUCCGGUAGGCUAUUAAUUUCGAAAAAAUGCUCAGCUCUAAACACCCAUGACUCAGGAUUUUCCCCGGUGAAAAUCGGCAUUUCCAGUUUCUUAUAUUUGCUUCGGUCGACAGUUACUACAUUGUUUUCCCCUGGAUUGUCGGCUUCUUCCCAUUUUCCUUUUAACUUCAUGACUGAUCCAUCAGAAGUUCCGGAUUCAUCUCGCCUUUUGUAGCUGCUGUUUUCUUUCAUUUCAUCAGCCAGUCUAUCCAUGGAUUUCUUCAUUUCCAGAAUCAUUUCCUUCAAGCCCAGUAUUUCUUUCUCUGUUCCAUCUAUUCUUUCUUCUAUUUGCCUUUGCGCCAUCAGUCGCGUCACCACCCCAGCGUUUGGGCUCUGAUACCAGUUGUAGAGACUCCACAAAUAAAAUACUAAAUUACCCAAACAGUUGGCAAACAGAGACAGCACUCUGUAGAUCUUUAUUUAUAUAUAAAUGCCAAGAGAUACAGUAGAAGGAAAUAUAAAAGAAAGCAAUAAAGAUGAUAAUAUCAUGUCAAACCUCCCCAGGAAAAGAUAGUAGUCCUUCCUAGACCUAGCAGCCUCUACAGACCAAAUGAAGACAAAAAGUUAACCUAGCCCCCAAUCCCGAUAAGGCCUUAUUUAUAGCUCUUUUCUCAUUCUUCCCCGUGGGCCCCACUCUCAUGUUCUUUUCCUAAUAUUCUCCCCUUUUCUGCUGCGUGAGCUUUUACGUUUUUACCCCUCCUUUUGUAUGUAUGGAUAAUAGGGGGCCUUACAAAUUUCUUCCAACACUAUGAAACAUUUAUGUUAUAGUUUUAUUAUUGUAAACAUUUUUGCUAAACAUCAUUGUAAUUUCCAAACACAACUCUGCCAAAGUUCCCAAGAUAGUUCUAUAGCAAUGUUCCACAGGCUAUCUUGCAAGUGAUGUGGAACUCCUUUGCUUUUUUGAAUAGUAAGCUGGCCUUCCUCUUUUGUUAUGCUUUGUUUUGUUCUUAAUACUUGCUUUUAUCUUCGCCUAUUUCAUUCCUAGUUGAUAUAUUACAUAGUCCUCUUAAAUCUACAUUCUUUUUCUGUUUUAUGAUUCGCUUGAGUUUAAUGACUAACUUUGGCAAAAUAAUGUUGAACUAUAUUACAUGUUUUGCAUCUAAACCUCAAUUGAAAAGGUUUGUUACCUGUAUCAUUAUAAGGUUUCCAUCCAUCUUUCUUAGGCCAUCAAUGAAGUUUUUGCUUAGAUCUAUCUUAGUUCGGCCUCUUUAAAAUGUUACUCCAUACAAGGAAGAUCGAAAGUUGUGAUUACAAAGUGUAGAUUUGUAUUGUAUAGUUGCCUUAGUUAUUUUUUUAAUUAUUCUUUUUAGACGUUAUUUCCUUUUAUAAUUAGUUCUCUUUAGUUAGAAUUUCUAUUAAAUUAUACUUGCCUAUUAUCAAGUCCUUUUUCAUUAAUAAGAGAAAAUGGAGUUUUUCUCAAAUAACAAAAAGUGAUUAUUUAAGAUACUAUGCUAAAGGGAACACAUCCAAUUACCAUGUUGAGAAUAUUAUCUUUGCCUAUUGAAGGUCUUGGAUUCUUGGUCAACUUUGAAUGCGAAUUUUUCUUAGUUGAUUAUUAAAUAUCAGGGUAAAAAGAUCUUAUAUUGUAAUGUUGUUUUGCUUCACUUGCAUCAUACACUAAAACACAAGAUUAAAAAAAAAGUUAUAUUUAGACUUUUGUAUGGUAGAUUAGGUGUUCUCUUUGAAUUGGUGUUGGUAUUGGCUUUCUAAUUAUGAUAUGAUUUUGGGAACCUUUGAAUUAUGUUCUUCAAACCUUCUCUCUUCGAUUGAAGCUUAUUAUAUUUUAUCGUUGUUAGUAUGUUUUUUUUUUUCCAUUUUUUCCCUUCUAAUAUUUUUAUUUGAUAUAUAAUGUGCAUAAAAGAGAAAGUAGUUAAUGUGUUUUACAUUGUUGUGUUGUGCAAAGUUGGUGCUGUUGGUUCAAAUAUUUAAGAUUUGGUGAAGCACUUGGAAUAAGUUCAAACUUUUAAUCUGUAGGAUAAUUUACUUUAUAAGAAUCACACAUUUACCUUUUUUUUCUUUUUUGAAGUAGGAAAGGAGCCUCUUCAUUAAGCUGAAAAUGAAUAGACAAGACAAAAGGUAAUACAAAGAAGCCCUAGGAUCAGUGAGUGCACUAGGACAUCUCAUCUAUGUUGACACCUACUUAGCAUUCUCACCAUAUCGAGACUUAAACCAAAAGACUAAACCAACGACAAGGUUUGGAAUAGAUCAUACAAACUGCCCAAUAACUAUACAACAUAGAUUUAAGACCACUAGAAAUCCAAAAGAAAUAAAAUAAGAGUACAGUAGUGGACUAAGAAUUAAAAAUGAAAGUCGGCCAAUUAUGACUUAUAUCUUGUAUGGAGAAAUCUUUGAAGUCUUUUGAAAGAGAGCAUCAAGAAGAAGCAUUGAUUCUAGCCAUUUCGACUCGAGUUGUCCAAGAGGAAGCUUUAUUUUGAAAUGUUAGCUGAUUAUGUUCAAACCAAAUUUCUGGUAAAAUGGCCUUCACUGCAUUUAACCAAAUCAAUCUUGGUUUCUUCUUGAGAAUGGGACAUGAAAUAAGCUGGACCGCGUUCUCCUAAAUCUAUAGUCGAAAACCCAAUUCAAAUGAAGAUAGCCAAGUAAGUCAAACCAACACUUCUUUUCAUGUAAGCAGGAGAAGAAAAUAUGAUGUAAAUCUUCUAAAGCAUGCAAACACAAGGGACAAAUAUUAGGAGAUAAACUGUGAGAGGAAGGUUUCAUUUGCAAAACUUCUGCACAGUUCAUAGUCCAUUUCGCUUUCUCCAAAGCGUGAUAUUCACUCUUCUAGGGCUUUUUGUCUUCCAAAUUGUCGAGUAUAAAUGUUUUUCAAUUGGGGAGGCAAUGGAGAGAUGCUUGACCAAUGAAUGAACCAAAAACCUCCCAUUUGAUUCUGAUUUCUAGGUUCUUUUAUUUUGGGAGGCUUGAAAUUCAUCUAUUUCUUCAACUUUUAGAAGUCUCCUGAAAUUUAGAGCCCAUGAAGUAGUGGAAGAGUCCCAAAACUCCUUUACAUCUCCAUUAUUAGAGUUCAAAGACAAUCUAAACGAUCUUGAAAAGAAACAACAUCUGCCCAAAAAUCAUUCCAAAAUGCUAUUCUUCAACCAUCACCGAACUUGAACAAUGCCUAGGAAUCCACUUGAAGCUAGCAUCUCGAAAUGCUAAUCCAGGGACUAUGGAGACUGCAAGUGACAAUUCCUUUAGUAUGCCAUCCAAAUUAACUUUCUCCAUGGAUACUCUUCACCACUUUAGCCCAAAGGGAAUUCUUUUCAUUUAUAAAUCUCCAUCCCCAUUUAGCAAGAAGGUUGCAUUUUUUUAACGUUGCACCAUCGACGCCGAUUCCACCAUCCUCUUGCGAACAAGACACCACCUUCCAAUUAAUCACUUUAUGAAUCAUCUUUUCUGGCAUUAAGAAUAUAGACAUAUAGUGUGUAGGUAUAUGUGAAAAAACCGACUUACAAAGUGUGUCCCAACCUCCACUAAAGAGACAAUAUCUUUUCCACUUAUCUAGUUUAACUUGGAUUUUAUCUAUUUCUUGAAAUUACAUAAGGAGUAGAGAGAGGGCUCCAAGCCGAAGCAGUUAUGGAAAACAUCUCCAAUUUACAGCAAGUUAAAGCAAAAAAAAAAAAAAAAAACCGCAGUUCAAAAAAACUAGGCAUCUUGCUUCCUUCUAAUUGAAAGUUCUGCUGUUUCUGUCAAGUCAAAUUGACCACAAAAUGCUCAAAUGAGAUUCUUCAAUAGGAAUACAUAAAAAAAAAGAUAAUAUGUAAAAGAAUUUUCAAUGUUUAAUAUAAUAUGUAAAAUAAUUUUCUUAUAUUGGAAUUGGCAGAUGGCUGAGGGCCUUCGUGAAACGUGGGAGAGAAGCGAUAACAUUAUCGUUCAAAAAAUUCAGGAGUAAGUAUUUAUGUGAAAGGCCAUAUUAUUUGGCCAUUUGACCAUAUUUAUGAUUGAAUUAUUUGGAUGGAAAUGAUAAACUACACAUUAUUGUCUGCUUGAGUUGUGAUCUUGAUUAUGGGCUAUUUUGGUAUUUUGCCUACAAACUGUAUAGUUAAUUAUCUGUUCGCUUUUGUUUUCCUGUCACAGCUUUAUGUUUCUGUGGCUAAUUGUAGCCAAAAGUUUUAUUUAUCGAUCUUAUUUUUCACAGCAUAAAUGAAACCGUGUUUCAAGCAUCAAAUGCUGCUACAUCAUUCAAGGAAAUUCGCCGUAGAGAUCCGUAAGUUUUUUCCUUUGGUGCUGUGAUACUAACCUGUUUGAAUAAAGGAACCUGACUUGGUCUUUUCCUCUUUAAACAUUAUGGAUUAGGUCUUUCUCUUUACCAGAUUUCGUAGUUGAACUUUAAGAAGUAAUCAAACCGGUGUUAACUUCUUAUAUAAAGGUUAGUGCUAACUGCUAAGCUUAUUUCUAAGAUGAAAGAUGCUUUUAUCCCCUCCCCAAAGAAUAUCAUUACUAUUUAUGUUGUAUUUCUGCUAACUAAUUCUUGCAUAGCAUCUGGUUUGAUAAAUAAAGUAAAGUUUCUGACAUGGAGGUUUUCAAGUUGGAAUAUAUAUUUAUGUUUUAGGUAGAUUCCCAAACUUUGAAGAAACGCUGCAGUACUGAGGUAAUUGAACGUUGUAAGGCAGAGCAUUGGGCUUACCAGAGCCAAGGUAUCUUCUUCGAUAACAAGUAAGGAUAGUCCUGAUACUACCUUUCUUUUGUUAUUGAAGUUUAUUGUUCCUUCUCUCUUGUUUGGUGGUUGUGCACCUAUAUUGAUUUGUACUUCUGUUAAUUAAUUAUAGUCCUUCUCUUGUUUGAGUAAUUAUUGUCUACCAUUUUGUUAGCAAAGGCUUCCCGUGGAAAUUUAGUUUGUUGUGCUGCAUGUCCAAGAUGAUUUUCGUGAUUUUAGUUUUAGAUACAUAAAAGGGAUUUUGCAUCACAACAUGAAUGACUAUUUCUAAAUAUGAACCUACAAUAACCCCAAAUGAAUACCUGAUUAAAUUGGAAACAGGGCAGAUAGAGAGUGAGAUGGAGAGUGUUUGUGUGUGCUUUAGAGUAGUUUUAAGCACAUUUUUUAGAUUUGUUUAAGACUAAGUUUGUUUCACUUGCACAAUUGGUUGCCAUUUUAGGUCUCAAAGUGCAUUUUCACUCAUUUUGAACUUUUUGUUAGUUUGUGAGUUACGAACUUACACUUAAGCAUUGUUAGGUCGUUUCAAACACAUUUUGUGUUUGUUUGGAACUAAGUUUGUUUAGACAUUUGAUUGACAUGUUGGGUCUCCAAGUGCUUUUUUCCACACUUUUUGAAAUUUUGGUAGGUUGUGAGUUACGAACUUACGCUUGAGUAUUGUUUGGUCCGUUUGAAAGCUUAGACACAUUUUGAACUCUUUUUAAGAUAACUUGAAACUAAGUUCAUUGCACUUACAUACUUCGUUGCCGUUUUGGGUCUUGAAGUACCUUUUUCACACUUUUUGAAAUUUUGGUAGGUUGUGAGUUACAAACUUACCCUUAAGCAUUGUUUGGUUGUUUUGAAAAUUCAAGUGAUAGUUACACACGUUUUGAAUACAUUUUAGGUUAGAUUGAGUUUGUUGCACUUGGUUGUCAUUUUUGGUCUUGAAAUGCUUUUUUCAAACUUUUUGGUAGAUUAUGAGUUACGAACUUACACUUAGGAUUUGCUAGGUCGUUUUGAAAACUCAAGUAAUACAUAGACACGUUUUGAGCACGUUUUAGGUUGGUUUGAACUAAGUUUGUUGCACUUACACACUUGGUUGCCAUUUUUGGGUAUUGUAGUGCUUUUUUCACAAUAUUUGAACUUUUUUCGUAGGUUAUGAGUUACGAUCCUACACGUAAGCUGUUUUAGGACAUUUUGAAAGUUCAAGUGAUACUUAGACACGUUUUAAACUCGGUUUAGGUUAGUUCGAAACUAAGUUUGUUGACCUUAUCCAAUUGGUUGCCAUUUUCGGUCUUGAAGUGCCCUUUUCACACUUUUUGAACUUUUUGGUAGGCUAUGGGUUACCAACUUACACUUAAACUUUGUUAGGUUGUUUUGAAAGUCCAAGUGAUACUUAGACACGCCUUGACCACUUUUUAGGUUGGUUUGGAACUAAGUUUGUUGCACUUGCGCACUUGGUUGCCAUUUUGGGUCGUGUAGUGUUUCCUUUUUUUCCAUACUUCUUGAACUUUUUGGUAGGUUAUGAGUGAUGAAUUUACAAAUAAACAUUCUUAGGUCGUUCUGAAAGUUCAAGUGAUACUUAAACACGGUUUGAAAUUUUUUUAGAUUUGUUUAAGACUAAGUUUGUUUCACUUGCAUACUUGGUUGCCAUUUUAGGUCUCAAAGUGCAUUUUUCACGCAUUUUGAUUUUUUUGUUAGUUUGUGAGUUACGAACUUACACUUAACGAUUGUUAGGUCGUUUUAAACACAUUUUGCGUUGGUUUGAAACUAAGUUUGUUGCACUUACACAUUGGAUUGAAAUGUUGGGUCUUGAAGUACUUUUUUUCACACUUUUUGAAAUUUUUUUAGGUUGUGAGUUACGAACUUACGCUUGAGUAUUGUUUGGUCGGUUUGAAAUCUUAGACACGUUUUGCACUCUUUUUAGGAUGGCUUGAAACUAAGUCCGUUGCACUUACAUACUUCGUUGCCAUUUUGGGUCUUGAAGUGCUUUUUUUACACUUUUUGAAAUUUUGGUAGGUUGUGAGUUACAAACUUACACUUAAGCAUUGUUUGGUGGUUUUGAAAGUUUAAGUGAUACGUACACAUGUUUUGAAUACAUUUUAGGUUAGAUUGAUUUUGUUGCACUUGGUUGUCAUUUUUGGUCUUGAAAUGCUUUUUUCAACCUUUUUGGUAGAUCAUUACGAACCUACAUUUAGGAUUUGCUAGGUCGUUUUGAAAACUCAAGUAAUACCUAGACACGUUUUGAGCACGUUCUAGGUUGGUUUGAACUAAGUUUGUUACAAUUACACACUUGGUAGCCAUUUUGGGUCUUGUAGUGCUUUUUUCACACUAUUUGAACUUUUUUCGUAGGUUAUGAGUUACGAAUCUCAACGUAAGCUGUUUUAGGUCGUUUUGAAAGUUCAAGUGAUACUUAGACACAUUUUGUUCAAGUGAUACUGUUUUAGGUCGUUUUGAAGUGAACUUUUUUCUUCUUGUAUUGACUGUUUUACUAUUUCUUCAUGGUUUGUAUUCAUGGUAUUUAUUUUCGUAAUUGGGCAUCUUGCUUCUUUCUUAUUGAAAGUUUGGCCGUUUCUUUCAAGUCAAAUUGACCAGAAAAUGCUCAAAUGAGAUUCUUCAAUAGGAAUAUGUAAAAAAAAUAUAAUAUGUAAAAGAAUUUUUGUGAAACGUGGGAGAGAAGCGGUAACAUUAUCCUUCAAAAAAUUCAGGAGUAAAUAUUUAUGUGAAAGGACAUAUUAUUUGGCCAUUUGACCUUAUUUGUUAUUGAAUUAUUUGGUUGGAAAUGAUAAACUACACAUUAUUGUUUGCUUCAGUUGUGAUCUUGAUUAUGGGCUAUUUGGUAUUUUGCUUACAAACUGUAUAGUUAAUUAUCUGUUAGCUUUUGUUUUCCUGUCACAGCUUUAUGUUUCUGUGGCUAAUUGUAGCCAAAAGUUUUAUUUAUCGAUCUUAUUUUUCACAGCAUAAAUGAAACUGUGUUUGAAGAAUCAGGUGCUGCUACAUCAUUCAAGGAAAUUCGUCGUAGAGGUCCGUAAGUUUUUUUCCUUUGGAGAUGUGAUACUAACCUGUUUGAAUAAAGGAAUCUGACUUGGUCUUUUCCUCUUUAACAUUAUGGAUUAGGUCUUUCUCUUUACCAGAUUUCGUAGCUGAACUUUAAGAAGCAAUCAAACCGGUGUUAACUUCUUAUAUAAAGGUUAGUGCUAACUGCUAAGCUUAUUUCUAAGAUGAAAGAUGCUUUUAUCCCCUCCCCAAAGAAUAUCAUUACUAUUUAUGUUGUAUUUCUGCUAACUAAUUCUUGCAUAGCAUCUGGUUUGAUAAAUAAAGUAAAGUUUCUGACAUGGAGGUUUUCAAGUUGGAAUAUAUAUUUAUGUUUUAGGUAGAUUCCCAAACUUUGAAGAAACGCUGUAGUACUGAGGUAAUUGAACGUUGUAAGGCAGAGCAUUGGGCUUACCAGAGCCAAGGUAUCUUCUUCGAUAACAAGUAAGGAUAGUCCUGAUACUACCUUUCUUUUGUUAUUGAAGUUUAUUGUUCCUUUUGUUGGGGGCUUGGUGGUUGUGCACCUAUAUUGAUUUGUACUUCUGUUAAUUAAUUAUAGUCAUUCUCUCUUGUCUGAGUAAUUAUUGUCAACCAUUUUGUUAGCAAAGGCUUCCCAUGGAAAUUCAGUUUGUUGUGCUGCAUGUCCACGAUGAUUUUCGUGAUUUUAGUUUUAGAUACAUAAAAAGGGCCUUUGCAUCACGACAUGAAUGACUACUUUUUAAUAUGAACGUACAAUAACCCAAAUGAAUGCUGAAGUAAGUUUAUUGAUGUAUGUAAUUUACAACAAUCUUUUUGAACUUUUUGGUAGGUUAUGAAUUACGAACUUGUAUUGAAUAUUUGUUAGGUCGUUUUAAUAAUUCAAGUGAUGCUUAGAAAAUGCAACCGAGCUUAAACAAUUGUGCACAUUUUUCUAAAAUUUUUAGUUUAACCUCUUUAAUAAAAUUCGAAGGAAAUUCUUGUUUUUCUUUUUGUAGGAAUAAAGGAAAAUGAAAUAUAACCAAACUUGGGAUCUUUGCAAGCAAGCUUCCAUGAAGAAACUAGGUUACAAGGGGAGGUCUUCUGUUCUCCUUUUUUUUUCUUUCCAUCCGUAGAAUCUUGCUUAAAAUGCUUUGAGGACAAUGCAAAUUUUUAAGUGGGGGUGGGGUUGUAGCCUUGCACAUUCCAUGUCCUUUGGGAAAUUUUCAUUUUGCAAAUUUUGCUAAAAAUGUCAAAAUUUAGAAACUUUUGCAAUGCUCUAUGCUUAGAAUAAGUACCAUGUCUACUUCGCUUUUUAGCAUAAAAAAGCAUAUAUGCCUAAACCCAUGAGAACAGAGCUCGGAUUUGUGAUUGUAUUUGUUAUUUGAAUAUGUUACAUAUGUUGAAAAAUGCAUAUAUUGAUAGCUUAGAAAUGAGUAGAACACUUGGUUCAUUUUCUGAAUAUUGUGAAUUAUGUACAUAAUAAUAUGUGCGGUUGCCUUUUUUAUCUCAAUUUUAAUCCCCUUUUUUGCCAUCUUCUACUGCCUUUUUUAUAUUAAUUUUAAAUCCCUCUUUUGGCCAUACACAUUUGUAUAAGAUUGUUUGAAAGCAAAAUAUGAUUGUUAGGUUCUUAGAGUUCUUCACCCAACAUAACAGCCGAUAAAAACAAAACAAUACGACCAAGCUGCUUAGAGUUGCAGAACCCGACCCCCGCCUAGUGGGUCACUAGAGUUCUUCACCCAGCAUGGCAGCCGGUAGAGAGGGAGAGAGAAAAAAAAGAGGGAACCAAGCCAGCCGCUUAGGUCAAGUAAAAUGCGCGCCGAGAUCCCCCGGUUUCAGAAUUUUCGUGGGGAUCCUCUCCGCUUUUCUUGCCUAAGCAAAACCCGACCCCGGCUAGUAGGUUCUUAGAGUUCUUCACCCAUCAUGGCAGCCGGUAGAGAGGGAGAGAAAAAAAAGAGGGAGCCAAGCCAGCCGCUUAGGUCAAGUAAAAUGCGCGCCGAGAUCCCCCGGUUUCAGAAUUUUCGUGGGGAUCCUCUCCGCUUUUCUUGCCUAAGCAAAACCCGACCCGCCUAGUAGGUCCUUAGAGUUUUUCACCCAGCAUGGCAGCCGGUUAGAGAGGGAGAGAGAAAAAAAAGAGGGAGCCAAGCCAGCCGCUUAGGUCAAGUAAAAUGCGCGCCGAGAUCCCCCGGUUUCAGAAUUUUCGUGGGGAUCCUCUCCGCUUUUCUUGCCUAAGCAAAACCCGACCCGCCGCCUAGUUGGUUCUUAGAGUUCUUCACCCAUCAUGGCAGCCGGUAGAGAGGGUGAGAGAAAAACAAAGAGGGAGCCAAGGCAACCGCUUAGGUCAAGUAAAAUGCGCGCCGAGAUCCCCCGGUUACAGAAUUUUCGUGUGGAUCCUCUCCGCUUUUCUUGCCUAAGCAAAACCCGACCCGCCUAGUAGGUCCUUAGAGUUUUUCACACAGCAUGGCAGCCGGUAGAGAGGGCGAGAGAAAAAAAAAGAGGGAGCCAAGCCAGCCGCUUAGGUCAAGUAAAAUGCGCACCGAGAUCCCCCUGUUUCAGAAUUUUCGUGGGGAUCCUCUCCGCUUUUCUUGCCUAAGCAAAACCCGACACGCCUAGUAGGUCCUUAGAGUUUUUCACCCAGCAUGGCAGCCGGUAGAGAGGGAGAGAGAAAAAAAAGAGGGAGCCAAGCCAGCCGCUUAGGUCAAGUAAAAUGCGCGCGGAGAUCCCCCGGUUUCAGAAUUUUCGUGGGGAUUCUCUCCGCUUUUCUUGCCUAAGCAAAAACCGACCCCGCCUAGUAGGUUCUUAGAGUUCUUCACUCAGCAUGGCAGCCUGUAGAGAGGGAGAGAGAAAAAAAAGAGGGAGCCAAGCCAGCCGCUUAGGUCAAGUAAAAUGCGUGUCGAGAUCCCCCGGUUUCAGAGUUUUCGUGGGGAUCCUCUCCGCUUUUCUUGCCUAAGCAAAACCCGACCCCGCCUAGUAGGUCCUUUUAGUUCUUCACCUAGCACGGCAGCCGGUAGAGAGGGAGGGAGAAAAAAAGAGGGAGUCAAGCCAGCUGCUUAGGUAAAGUAAAAUGCGCGUCGAGAUUGCCUGGUAUCAGAGCUUGCAUGGGCAACCUCUCCGCUUUUGAUGGAAUUUGAUGAAAUGCUUAUGUCGAAAGUAGGCAUUUCUCUAUAGAGUCCUAAUGGUCAUAGAAAUUUAAUAUGUUUUGUAUUUAUUUUACUUUGUUGUCAAGAAUCAACUUCUUUUCUGAUUUGUAUGUUUAUGUAUAUGUUGCAUCUCUGUCUUGUUAUCAUGUUGUAUUUCAUUGUACUCAAUAGUGUGAUUUGCAUUUUUUAUUUGUGUUAAUAAGUGUUCGUGUAAUUGCAAUUUUGUUCUUGAAGAUAUUUUGCUUGAAUCAAGUUAGUUCUUUAAGGAUCAUUUUCUUGUAAGGUUAUAACUUCUUGUCCAAUUUUUCCAACUCACAUUUCAACUUGUAACAGGUGAAUCUCUUCCAAAUAAGAGCUUAAAAAGAAAAAAACAAUUGGAACCUUUAACCAUAAAAUCAAGGUACUGCAUCUUAUUUGCAAUGAAUUGCUAUAAUUUUGUAGAGACUCCACAAAUAAAAUACUAAAUUACCCAAACAGUUGGCAAACAGAGACAGCACUCUGUAGAUCUUUAUUUAUAUAUAAAUGCCAAAAGAUACAGUAGAAGGAAAUAUAAAAGAAAGCAAUAAAGGUGAUAAUAUCAUGUCAAACCUCCCUAGGAAAAGAUAGUAGUCCUUCCUAGACCUAGCAGCCUCUACAGACCAAAUGAAGACAAAAAGUUAACCUAGCCCCCAAUCCCGAUAAAUAAAUAAGAGCUUAAAAAGAAAAAACAAUUGGAACCUUUAACCAUAAAAUCAAGGUACUGCAUCUUAUUUGCAAUGAAUUGCUAUAAUUUUGUAGAGACUCCACAAAUAAAAUACUAAAUUACCCAAACAGUUGGCAAACAGAGACAGCACUCUGUAGAUCUUUAUUUAUAUAUAAAUGUCAAGAGAUAUAGUAGAAGGAAAUAUAAAAGAAAGCAAUAAAGAUGAUAAUAUCAUGUCAAACCUCCCCAGGAAAAGAUAGUAGUCCUUCCUAGACCUAGCAGCCUCUACAGACCAAAUGACGACAAAAAGUUAACCUAGCCCCCAAUCCCGAUAAGGCCUUAUUUAUAGCUCUUUUCUCAUUCUUCCCUGUGGGCCCCACUCUCAUGUUCUUUUCCUAAUAUUCUCCCCUUUUCUACUUCGUGAGCUUUUACGUUUUUACCCCUCAUACGGCCCAUAAAAUUUUGGGGAUAGCUUUUCACAUUUCUUCCGAGCUAGUGAUCUUUGUCGAUAGGGUCGUAGUUUCAAAUACACUUCAUCCCCAAUUUUGAAUUUGAGCUCCCUGCGGUUUCGGUCUGCCAUUUUCUUCAUUCUAUUUUGAGCUAUGCAUAGGUUUUCCUCCAGUGCAUUGAGUGCUAAAUCUCUCUCCUUCAACAUGACUUCUACGUCAUUGUUAGGAGAUUGCUUCCAUCCAUAUGACAGCAGUGGCGGGGGAGUUCUUCCAAAAACAGAUUGGUAAGGAGUAGUUUUGGUGGAUGCGUGGAAGGUUGUGUUAUACCAUAAUUCCGCCCAAGGGAUCAGUUUAUCCCAUUUCUUCGGUUGUUCAUUGCAAAAGCAUCUCAAAUAGGUCUCUAGGCAUCUGUUUACCCUCUCGGUUUGUCCAUCGGUUUGGGGAUGGAAUGCCGUGCUUCUCUUCAAAAUGGUGCCCAUGGUAGUGAACAACUCCUUCCAGAAAUUGCUAAGGAAGAUCUUAUCACGGUCGGUAAUAAUGGACUUGGGUAUUCCAUGUUUGCUGACCACUUUUUCCAAAAAAAUUGAAGCCACUUGCUUGGCUGUGUACGGGUGUUUCAGAGGCAAGAAGUAGGAGUACUUACUUAGGCGGUCGACGACUACCAUAAUCACGUUGUAACCUCCUGCUAUUGGCAGCCCUUCAAUAAAAUCCAUGGUCCAAUCCUCCAAUAUCUUGUCGGGGAUAGGAAUGGGUUGCAGAACUCCCGCAGGCUUAGUAGCUUCGAACUUAUUACGUUGACAAGUGUCACAUUCUUCUACAUAUCUCUUGAUAUCAGCCUUCAUUCCUUUCCAAAAUAGUUCCCCACUCAUUCUUUUAUAGGUUCUCAAGAAUCCCGAGUGCCCUCCUAAUAUGGAAUCAUGGAACGUGUGUAGAAGACUCGGAAUGAGGGAGGAAUUUCGCGGCAGCACCAUCCUUCCUUUAUAUAGCAGCCUGCCAUUGUUCCACUGGUAUUUCCCACCUUGAUCCACCUCUCCCUUAAGUUCGGCAAUAAUUUUCUGAAGUUCUUGAUCCAUUUCAACUUCCUUCUCUAUUAUCUCUAUAUCAACUAUGCCUGUGGUUGUCAUUGUAUUUAACUCCACCGAAUGGUCCUUCCUUGAGAGAGCAUCCGCCACCUUAUUCUGCAGACCCGGCUGGUAUAAGAUCUCAAAGUCAUACCCCAAAAGUUUUGUGAGCCACUUUUGGAAUUGAGGCUGAACUUCCCUCUGUUCUAACAGAAAUUUCAGAGCCUUCUGAUCUGAAACAAUUGUGAACUUUCUGCCCAGGAGAUAAUGUCUCCAUUUUUGCACCGAAAGGACAACCGCCAUCAAUUCCCUUUCAUAGAUCGACUUACCCUGGGCUCUUGGGGACAGUUUCUGGCUGAAGAAUGCGAUGGGAUGACCAUCUUGUGAUAAAACUGCACCUAAACCUACUCCUGAAGCAUCAGUUUCGAUUGUGAAGGGCUGAGACCAAUCCGGCAAUGCUAAUACCGGUAAGGUUGUCAUUGCUAGCUUCAGCUGGUCAAACGCUAUUGUAGCUUCCUCAUUCCAAUGGAAUGCAUUUUUCUGAAGUAAUUUGGUUAAGGGUGCAGCUAUUUCUCCAUAGCUUUUCACAAAUCUUCUAUAAUACCCAGUCAGUCCAAGGAAUCCCCUCAGCCCAGUUAUAUCUUUCGGCCGUGGCCAAUUUACCAUACUGCGAAUCUUGUCCUCAUCAGCCUCCACUCCUCUGCUGGAAAUCAGAUGACCCAAAUAUUGAACUUGGGAAUGAGCAAUGACACAUUUAGACCUAUUUGCAAACAAUUCAUGGUCCCUCAAGAUAGCAAAAACCAUUCCUAAAUGUUUCAUGUGUUCAUCUAUGUCCACACUAUAAACUAGAAUGUCAUAAAAAAAAACCAGGACACACCUUCGAAGGAAUGGUUUGAACACCUCGUUCAUGAGAGAUUGGAAGGUGGCAGGAGCAUUCGUAAGGCCGAAAGGCAUCACCAAGAACUCAUAAUGUCCUUCAUGCGUGUGGAAAGCUGUUUUCUCCACAUCUUCCUCCCUCAUCCUAAUCUGGUGGUAUCCAGAUUUAAGGUCUAACUUUGAGAAAGCUGUCGCACCAUGAAGUUCAUCUAAGAGUUCUUCGAUCACGGGAAUUGGAAAUUUAUCAGCCACCGUUACUUGAUUGAGUUUCCUGUAAUCUACACAAAAUCUCCACCCUCCAUCUUUUUUCUUCACUAAGAGGACCGGGCUCGAAUAUGGGCUGCGGCUUGGACGAAUCACCCCAGCUUGUAACAUUUCUAACACCAAUUUUUCAAUCUCUUCCUUUUGUACAUGGCCAUACUUAUAUGGUCUUACAUUAAUUGGUUUCUGAUCGGCCACGGUCAGAAUGCGAUGGUCUAUGGCUCUCCUUGGCGGUAAACCCGUGGGCAACCUAAAGACAUCUGCAUAUUGCUCGAGCAAUCGCUGAACCAUGGGUAAUCCUUCUUCCUUUCCCUUCAAUUCAGCUUCUGUUUCCGAUUCUCCUUCAUAGUUUACUUCAUAGUUUUGGAAUUCCAAGAGGAAUCCUUGGUCCCCGGAUUGCCACGUUUUCUCUAAGGUUCUCAAUGAACAUUCUGACUUCGUUAGAGAAGGGUCACCUUUUAGGAUUAUUCUUCUACCUUCAUCCAAAACGUCAUGGUUAGGGAUGGCCAGUGAACCUUCAUGGUUCCUGUCGAAUCUAGCCAUUGCAUCCCAAGCACCAAGUCUACCGUUCCUAACUCUACCGCUAGGAAAUCUGCUACGAUUGUUAACUCUUUUAACUUCACCUUCACCCUCUUGCAAAUCCCACUUCCUUCACAUUGGUUGCCAUUCCCAAUGGUAACUCCAAAACGAGUUCCCGGAUCGAUGCUCAGCUGUAGUUCAUCUACCAACACUUAGCUGAUGAAGUUAUUGGUCGCCCCGCUGUCAAUCAGAAUAUACUACUUCCCUUCCGUUCACAUGUCCUUUUAAUUUCAUCGUCCCCUUUGAUGUAACUCCCGUGAUCAACCUCAAUUCAAUAGGGUUAUCCAUAUUCAAUUCCAGAUGAUUCAGUUCUAUUACUUCGCUUGCCUCAUCCUCUGUAUCCUCUUCCCUUUUGUGGUCUUCUUCCUCAUUUAGUAUAAGGAGCAUCAACUCUCUUUUUUCUCUCCCUUUACAUCGAUGGCCUGGGGCGUACUUUUCAUUACAUCUGAAACAAAGCCCCUUAUCCAGCCUUGCUCUAAAUUCCGUAUCCGACAGCCGUUUAAUUGGGAGAUCUUUUUUCUGGUAAUCAUUUUUCAAUGGAAUAGUUACCUGCUUCAUCACAAACUCUGUCUUUUUACUUUCUGUCUUCUCAUUUUUUCCUUGAAAUUUGCUGCUGUUCUCAUUCCUUUUGGGCUCAACUAUAUCCAACUCUUCCAUCGCCAGUUUUAAUGCUAUAUUCCUAUCAUUCGCCAGCUGAGCUUCCUUCAUACAUUCCUCUAAAGUUUGAGGGUGUCUGCUGAUUACUUCCGCUUGCAGUGAGGGUUCCAGACCCGUUAAAAACGCAUCCAGCAGAACACUUUCUGCCAUGUCCGGGAGGGGGCUGAGUAUGUAACAAACUUCUUAACGUACUCGCUGUAUGAGCCUUCUUGCUUAAUACGGAUUAAUCUUGCCCCCAAGCUCUGCUGUCCUGUAUCAUUAAAGAAAUCAAACAUCCUUUCCUUCAAGUCCUCCCAAGAUUCCACCCUCUUUCUACGAUUACUCCAUCUAAACCAGUCUACCUCUUCCUGUCCAAAACUCACGACUGCUACUUUGACCUUCUCAGCUUCCGGUAAGUCAUUUAUAUCAAAAAAAUGUUCUGCUCGGUACGCCCAGGAUUCAGGGUUCACCCUGUAAACAGUGGCAUUUCUAAUUUUUUGUACUUACUUCGGUCUGCGCUGCUUCCACCCGACUCGACUGUGGUUCCGGCCUCUUCCAGUUUUCCCUUCAGUUUCAACCUGAUGUCGUCCGUAGUCCCUGCUUCUUCUUUUUUCUUAGCACCAUGGUUUUCUCUUAGCUCGCCUGUCAUUCGAUCCAUCGAUUUCUUCAUUUCCAGCAUCAUCUCCUUCAGACUCAUAAUUUCCUUUUCAGUACCUUCUACCCGUUCUUCUAUCUGUCUUUGAGCCAUCAGACGCGUGAUCACCCCCAGUGUGGAGGCUCUGAUACCAAUAUAUAAGGAUUCAACUUGCUUACUUCACUAUUUCUCCCUUACAAUGGCCAAAAACAGAGGUAGCCCUCUGCUAUCUUUAUUUAUAUAUAGCCAAAAUGAGUACAGAAAAACAUAAAGAUUCAAGAAAAACAAGGAAUAAUGAAGACAAACCCAGCUUCCUCUAGGGAAAGACUGGAUAUUCCUCUAGGCUAAGCAGCCGCCAACUUCAGGAUAAAAAUAAAACCUACCUCCCCUAGACCUAAAAAACCUAUUUAUAUUCCUUCUCUCAUCUUUCUCUUAUUUCUGUGCCUGGGCCCCACCUGCACGAUCUCCUCCUCUUUUCCUUCCUCAUUAUUAAUUUGUCCAAUUACUUUUCUGCCCCUCCUUUGAUAUGUAUGAAUAAUUGGAGGUCUUACACUAUAUCCCACGUUUUUUCCAAUGUCUUCAAAGAACAUUCAGGUUUCACUAAGGAUGGAUCUCCUCUUAACACGAUUUGCUUGUCUUUUGCCCAAAAGGUCAUGGUUAAUGAUGGCCAAUGUACCUUCAUUGUGCCGGUGGUAUCUAGCCAUUGCAUCCCUAAAAUCACGUCAAUAUUUCCUAGUUCCACCACUAGAAAAUCAGUUAUAACUGUCAUUUCUUUCAAUCUCAGUUCCACCUUUCUGCAAAUACCUUUCCCUUUACAGCGGGUCCCGUCUCCAAUAGUCACUCCAAAUUGUGUACCGGGUUCAAUGUUCAACCCUCCUUCCAUUGCCACUGCUUCGGAUGAUGAAAUCACCACCUCCCUUCCUUUUACAUGCCCCUUCAGUUUCAUUGUCCCUUUGGAUGUUAACCCCGUGAGUGUCUUCAAUUCAAUUUCGGUGGUUUCAGCAACAACUAACUGGUUCAGCUCCAUUACUUCUUCGGUCUCUUCCAUUUUGACUUCCUCCCCGCCACUCUCUUCUUCGUUAAGUAUAAAUAACAUUAAUUCCCUUUUCUCUCUCAUCUUGCAUCGGUGUCCCGGUGAGUACUUCUCAUUGCAUCUAAAACACAAACCCUUGUCCAAUCUUGCUCUGAAUUCCGUGUCCAAGAGUCUUUUAACUGGAGGUUCAUUUUUCUGGUAGUUUCCUUUAAUGGGAAUAGUGACUUGCUUCAUGGGGAACUCAGUCUUCUUUGGUGAACUUUUAUCUUGACUGCUUUGUCCCUUGCUUGAGCCUCCUCCUUCCCUAGUCACACUGUUUACCCAUUCUGCCUUGGCUAAUUUCAAGGCUAGGUUUCUGCCACUUACCAGUUGUGCCUCCUUCAUACAUUCCUCUAAGGUUUGAGGAUGUCUACUAAUAACUUCUGCUUGAAGAGCCGGUUCUAGACCAGUCACGAAUGCAUCUAAGAGCACGCUUUCAGCCAUGUGCGUAGUGGUGCAGAAUAUUGUACGAAUUUCUUGACAUAAUCAUUAUAGGAUCCAUCUUGUUCUAUUCGAAUCAGCCUUGCACCUAAGCUCUUCUGCCCAGAAUCUCGAAAAAAUUCAAACAUCCUUACCUUCAAAUCUUCCCAUCCUUCCACCUUCUUUCUAUGGUUACUCCAACGGUACCAAUCGAUUUCAUCUUGUCCGAAACUAACCACUGCUACUUUCACUUUUUCUGCUUCCGGUAGGCUAUUAAUUUCGAAAAAAUGCUCAGCUCUAAACACCCAUGACUCAGGAUUUUCCCCGGUGAAAAUCGGCAUUUCCAGUUUCUUAUAUUUGCUUCGGUCGACAGUUACUACAUUGUUUUCCCCUGGAUUGUCGGCUUCUUCCCAUUUUCCUUUUAACUUCAUGACUGAUCCAUCAGAAGUUCCGGAUUCAUCUCGCCUUUUGUAGCUGCUGUUUUCUUUCAUUUCAUCAGCCAGUCUAUCCAUGGAUUUCUUCAUUUCCAGAAUCAUUUCCUUCAAGCCCAGUAUUUCUUUCUCGGUUCCAUCUAUUCUUUCUUCUAUUUGCCUUUGCGCCAUCAGUCGCGUCACCACCCCAGCGUUUGGGCUCUGAUACCAGUUGUAGAGACUCCACAAAUAAAAUACUAAAUUACCCAAACAGUUGGCAAACAGAGACAGCACUCUGUAGAUCUUUAUUUAUAUAUAAAUGCCAAGAGAUACAGUAGAAGGAAAUAUAAAAGAAAGCAAUAAAGAUGAUAAUAUCAUGUCAAACCUCCCCAGGAAAAGAUAGUAGUCCUUCCUAGACCUAGCAGCCUCUACAGACCAAAUGAAGACAAAAAGUUAACCUAGCCCCCAAUCCCGAUAAGGCCUUAUUUAUAGCUCUUUUCUCAUUCUUCCCCGUGGGCCCCACUCUCAUGUUCUUUUCCUAAUAUUCUCCCCUUUUCUGCUGCGUGAGCUUUUACGUUUUUACCCCUCCUUUUGUAUGUAUGGAUAAUAGGGGGCCUUACAAAUUUCUUCCAACACUAUGAAACAUUUAUGUUAUAGUUUUAUUAUUGUAAACAUUUUUGCUAAACAUCAUUGUAAUUUCCAAACACAACUCUGCCAAAGUUCCCAAGAUAGUUCUAUAGCAAUGUUCCACAGGCUAUCUUGCAAGUGAUGUGGAACUCCUUUGCUUUUUUGAAUAGUAAGCUGGCCUUCCUCUUUUGUUAUGCUUUGUUUUGUUCUUAAUACUUGCUUUUAUCUUCGCCUAUUUCAUUCCUAGUUGAUAUAUUACAUAGUCCUCUUAAAUCUACAUUCUUUUUCUGUUUUAUGAUUCGCUUGAGUUUAAUGACUAACUUUGGCAAAAUAAUGUUGAACUAUAUUACAUGUUUUGCAUCUAAACCUCAAUUGAAAAGGUUUGUUACCUGUAUCAUUAUAAGGUUUCCAUCCAUCUUUCUUAGGCCAUCAAUGAAUGAAGUUUUUGCUUAGAUCUAUCUUAGUUCGGCCUCUUUAAAAUGUUACUCCAUACAAGGAAGAUCGAAAGUUGUGAUUACAAAGUGUAGAUUUGUAUUGUAUAGUUGCCUUAGUUAUUUUUUUAAUUAUUCUUUUUAGACGUUAUUUCCUUUUAUAAUUAGUUCUCUUUAGUUAGAAUUUCUAUUAAAUUAUACUUGCCUAUUAUCAAGUCCUUUUUCAUUAAUAAGAGAAAAUGGAGUUUUUCUCAAAUAACAAAAAGUGAUUAUUUAAGAUACUAUGCUAAAGGGAACACAUCCAAUUACCAUGUUGAGAAUAUUAUCUUUGCCUAUUGAAGGUCUUGGAUUCUUGGUCAACUUUGAAUGCGAAUUUUUCUUAGUUGAUUAUUAAAUAUCAGGGUAAAAAGAUCUUAUAUUGUAAUGUUGUUUUGCUUCACUUGCAUCAUACACUAAAACACAAGAUUAAAAAAAAAAGUUAUAUUUAGACUUUUGUAUGGUAGAUUAGGUGUUCUCUUUGAAUUGGUGUUGGUAUUGGCUUUCUAAUUAUGAUAUGAUUUUGGGAACCUUUGAAUUAUGUUCUUCAAACCUUCUCUCUUCGAUUGAAGCUUAUUAUAUUUUAUCGUUGUUAGUAUGUUUUUUUUUUCCAUUUUUUCCCUUCUAAUAUUUUUAUUUGAUAUAUAAUGUGCAUAAAAGAGAAAGUAGUUAAUGUGUUUUACAUUGUUGUGUUGUGCAAAGUUGGUGCUGUUGGUUCAAAUAUUUAAGAUUUGGUGAAGCACUUGGAAUAAGUUCAAACUUUUAAUCUGUAGGAUAAUUUACUUUAUAAGAAUCACACAUUUACCUUUUUUUUCUUUUUUGAAGUAGGAAAGGAGCCUCUUCAUUAAGCUGAAAAUGAAUAGACAAGACAAAAGGUAAUACAAAGAAGCCCUAGGAUCAGUGAGUGCACUAGGACAUCUCAUCUAUGUUGACACCUACUUAGCAUUCUCACCAUAUCGAGACUUAAACCAAAAGACUAAACCAACGACAAGGUUUAGAAUAGAUCAUACAAACUGCCCAAUAACUAUACAACAUAGAUUUAAGACCACUAGAAAUCCAAAAGAAAUAAAAUAAGAGUACAGUAGUGGACUAAGAAUUAAAAAUGAAAGUCGGCCAAUUAUGACUUAUAUCUUGUAUGGAGAAAUCUUUGAAGUCUUUUGAAAGAGAGCAUCAAGAAGAAGCAUUGAUUCUAGCCAUUUCGACUCGAGUUGUCCAAGAGGAAGCUUUAUUUUAAAAUGUUAGUUGAUUAUGUUCAAACCAAAUUUCUGGUAAAAUGGCCUUUACUGCAUUUAACCAAAUCAAUCUUGGUUUCUUCUUGAGAAUGGGACAUGAAAUAAGCUGGACCGCGUUCUCCUAAAUCUAUAGUCGAAAACCCAAUUCAAAUGAAGAUAGCCAAGUAAGUCAAACCAACACUUCUUUUCAUGUAAGCAGGAGAAGAAAAUAUGAUGUAAAUCUUCUAAAGCAUGCAAACACAAGGGACAAAUAUGAGGAGAUAAACUGUGAGAGGAAGGUUUCAUUUGCAAAACUUCUGCACAGUUCAUAGUCCAUUUCGCUUUCUCCAAAGCGUGAUAUUCACUCUUUCUAGGGCUUUUUUGUCUUCCAAAUUGUCGAGUAUAAAUGUUUUUCAAUUGGGGAGGCAAUGGAGAGAUGCUUGACUAAUGAAUGAACCAAAAACAUCCCAUUUGAUUCUGAUUUCUAGGUUCUUUUAUUUUGGGAGGCUUGAAAUUCAUCUAUUUCUUCAACUUUUAGAAGUCUCCUGAAAUUUAGAGCCCAUGAAGUAGUGGAAGAGUCCCAAAACUCCUUUACAUCUCCAUUAUUAGAGUUCAAAGACAAUCUAAACGAUCUUGAAAAGAAACAACAUCUGCCCAAAAAUCAUUCCAAAAUGCUAUUCUUCAACCAUCACCGAACUUGAACAAUGCCUAGGAAUCCACUUGAAGCUAGCAUCUCGAAAUGCUAAUCCAGGGACUAUGGAGACUGCAAGUGACAAUUCCUUUAGUAUGCCAUCCAAAUUAACUUUCUCCAUGGAUACUCUUCACCACUUUAGCCCAAAGGGAAUUCUUUUCAUUUAUAAAUCUCCAUCCCCAUUUAGCAAGAAGGUUGCAUUUUUUUAACGUUGCACACAUCGACGCCGAUUCCACCAUCCUCUUGCGAACAAGACACCACCUUCCAAUUAAUCACUUUAUGAAUCAUCUUUUCUGGCAUUAAGAAUAUAGACAUAUAGUGUGUAGGUAUAUGUGAAAAAACCGACUUACAAAGUGUGUCCCAACCUCCACUAAAGAGACAAUAUCUUUUCCACUUAUCUAGUUUAACUUGGAUUUUAUCUAUUUCUUGAAAUUACAUAAGGAGUAGAGAGAGGGCUCCAAGCCGAAGCAGUUAUGGAAAACAUCUCCAAUUUACAGCAAGUUAAAGCAAAAAAAAAAAAAAAAAACCGCAGUUCAAAAAACUAGGCAUCUUGCUUCCUUCUAAUUGAAAGUUCUGCUGUUUCUGUCAAGUCAAAUUGACCACAAAAUGCUCAAAUGAGAUUCUUCAAUAGGAAUACAUAAAAAAAAAGAUAAUAUGUAAAAGAAUUUUCAAUGUUUAAUAUAAUAUGUAAAAUAAUUUUCUUAUAUUGGAAUUGGCAGAUGGCUGAGGGCCUUCGUGAAACGUGGGAGAGAAGCGAUAACAUUAUCGUUCAAAAAAUUCAGGAGUAAGUAUUUAUGUGAAAGGCCAUAUUAUUUGGCCAUUUGACCAUAUUUAUGAUUGAAUUAUUUGGAUGGAAAUGAUAAACUACACAUUAUUGUCUGCUUGAGUUGUGAUCUUGAUUAUGGGCUAUUUGGUAUUUUGCCUACAAACUGUAUAGUUAAUUAUCUGUUCGCUUUUGUUUUCCUGUCACAGCUUUAUGUUUCUGUGGCUAAUUGUAGCCAAAGUUUUAUUUAUCGAUCUUAUUUUUCACAGCAUAAAUGAAACCGUGUUUCAAGCAUCAAAUGCUGCUACAUCAUUCAAGGAAAUUCGCCGUAGAGAUCCGUAAGUUUUUUCCUUUGGUGCUGUGAUACUAACCUGUUUGAAUAAAGGAACCUGACUUGGUCUUUUCCUCUUUAACAUUAUGGAUUAGGUCUUUCUCUUUACCAGAUUUCGUAGUUGAACUUUAAGAAGCAAUCAAACCGGUGUUAACUUCUUAUAUAAAGGUUAGUGCUAACUGCUAAGCUUAUUUCUAAGAUGAAAGAUGCUUUUAUCCCCUCCCCAAAGAAUAUCAUUACUAUUUAUGUUGUAUUUCUGCUAACUAAUUCUUGCAUAGCAUCUGGUUUGAUAAAUAAAGUAAAGUUUCUGACAUGGAGGUUUUCAAGUUGGAAUAUAUAUUUAUGUUUUAGGUAGAUUCCCAAACUUUGAAGAAACGCUGCAGUACUGAGGUAAUUGAACGUUGUAAGGCAGAGCAUUGGGCUUACCGGAGCCAAGGUAUCUUCUUCGAUAACAAGUAAGGAUAGUCCUGAUACUACCUUUCUUUUGUUAUUGAAGUUUAUUGUUCCUUCUCUCUUGUUUGGUGGUUGUGCACCUAUAUUGAUUUGUACUUCUGUUAAUUAAUUAUAGUCCUUCUCAGUUGUUUGAGUAAUUAUUGUCUACCAUUUUGUUAGCAAAGGCUUCCCGUGGAAAUUUAGUUUGUUGUGCUGCAUGUCCAAGAUGAUUUUCGUGAUUUUAGUUUUAGAUACAUAAAAGGGAUUUUGCAUCACAACAUGAAUGACUAUUUCUAAAUAUGAACCUACAAUAACCCCAAAUGAAUACCUGAUUAAAUUGGAAACAGGGCAGAUAGAGAGUGAGAUGGAGAGUGUUUGUGUGUGCUUUAGAGUAGUUUUAAGCACAUUUUUUAGAUUUGUUUAACACUAAGUUUGUUUCACUUGCACAAUUGGUUGCCAUUUUAGGUCUCAAAGUGCAUUUUCACUCAUUUUGAACUUUUUGUUAGUUUGUGAGUUACGAACUUACACUUAAGCACUGUUAGGUCGUUUCAAACACAUUUUGUGUUUGUUUGGAACUAAGUUUGUUUAGACAUUUGAUUGACAUGUUGGGUCUCCAAGUGCUUUUUUCCACACUUUUUGAAAUUUUGGUAGGUUGUGAGUCACGAACUUACGCUUGAGUAUUGUUUGGUCCGUUUGAAAGCUUAGACACAUUUUGAACUCUUUUUAAGAUAACUUGAAACUAAGUUCAUUGCACUUACAUACUUCGUUGCCGUUUUGGGUCUUGAAGUACCUUUUUCACACUUUUUGAAAUUUUGGUAGGUUGUGAGUUACAAACUUACCCUUAAGCAUUGUUUGGUUGUUUUGAAAAUUCAAGUGAUAGUUACACACGUUUUGAAUACAUUUUAGGUUAGAUUGAGUUUGUUGCACUUGGUUGUCAUUUUUGGUCUUGAAAUGCUUUUUUCAAACUUUUUGGUAGAUUAUGAGUUACGAACUUACACUUAGGAUUUGCUAGGUCGUUUUGAAAACUCAAGUAAUACAUAGACACGUUUUGAGCACAUUUUAGGUUGGUUUGAACUAAGUUUGUUGCACUUACACACUUGGUUGCCAUUUUGGGUAUUGUAGUGCUUUUUUCACAAUAUUUGGACUUUUUUCGUAGGUUAUGAGUUACGAUCCUACACGUAAGCUGUUUUAGGACAUUUUGAAAGUUUAAGUGAUACUUAGACACGUUUUAAACUCGGUUUAGGUUAGUUUGAAACUAAGUUUGUUGACCUUAUCCAAUUGGUUGCCAUUUUCGGUCUUGAAGUGCCCUUUUCACACUUUUUGAACUUUUUGGUAGGCUAUGGGUUACCAACUUACACUUAAACUUUGUUAGGUUGUUUUGAAAGUCCAAGUGAUACUUAGACACGCCUUGACCACUUUUUAGGUUGGUUUGGAACUAAGUUUGUUGCACUUGCGCACUUGGUUGCCAUUUUGGGUCGUGUAGUGUUUCCUUUUUUUCCAUACUUCUUGAACUUUUUGGUAGGUUAUGAGUGAUGAAUUUACAAAUAAACAUUCUUAGGUCGUUCUGAAAGUUCAAGUGAUACUUAAACACGGUUUGAAAUUUUUUUAGAUUUGUUUAAGACUAAGUUUGUUUCACUUGCAUACUUGGUUGCCAUUUUAGGUCUCAAAGUGCAUUUUUCACGCAUUUUGAUUUUUUUGUUAGUUUGUGAGUUACGAACUUACACUUAACGAUUGUUAGGUCGUUUUAAACACAUUUUGCGUUGGUUUGAAACUAAGUUUGUUGCACUUACACAUUGGAUUGAAAUGUUGGGUCUUGAAGUACUUUUUUUCACACUUUUUGAAAUUUUUUUAGGUUGUGAGUUACGAACUUACGCUUGAGUAUUGUUUGGUCGGUUUGAAAUCUUAGACACGUUUUGCACUCUUUUUAGGAUGGCUUGAAACUAAGUCCGUUGCACUUACAUACUUCGUUGCCAUUUUGGGUCUUGAAGUGCUUUUUUACAGUUUUUGAAAAUUUGGUAGGUUGUGAGUUACAAACUUACACUUAAGCAUUGUUUGGUGGUUUUGAAAGUUUAAGUGAUACGUACACAUGUUUUGAAUACAUUUUAGGUUAGAUUGAUUUUGUUGCACUUGGUUGUCAUUUUUGGUCUUGAAAUGCUUUUUUCAACCUUUUUGGUAGAUCAUUACGAACCUACAUUUAGGAUUUGCUAGGUCGUUUUGAAAACUCAAGUAAUACCUAGACACGUUUUGAGCACGUUCUAGGUUGGUUUGAACUAAGUUUGUUACAAUUACACACUUGGUAGCCAUUUUGGGUCUUGUAGUGCUUUUUUCACACUAUUUGAACUUUUUUCGUAGGUUAUGAGUUACAAAUCUCAACGUAAGCUGUUUUAGGUCGUUUUGAAAGUUCGAGUGAUACUUAGACACAUUUUGUUCAAGUGAUACUGUUUUAGGUCGUUUUGAAGUGAACUUUUUUCUUCUUGUAUUGACUGUUUUACUAUUUCUUCAUGGUUUGUAUUCAUGGUAUUAUUUUCGUAAUUGGGCCAUCUUGCUUCUUUCUUAUUGAAAGUUUGGCCGUUUCUUUCAAGUCAAAUUGACCAAAAAUGCUCAAAUGAGAUUCUUCAAUAGGAAUAUGUAAAAAAAAUAUAAUAUGUAAAAGAAUUUUUGUGAAACGUGGGAGAGAAGCGGUAACAUUAUCCUUCAAAAAAUUCAGGAGUAAAUAUUUAUGUGAAAGGACAUAUUAUUUGGCCAUUUGACCUUAUUUGUUAUUGAAUUAUUUGGUUGGAAAUGAUAAACUACACAUUAUUGUUUGCUUCAGUUGUGAUCUUGAUUAUGGGCUAUUUGGUAUUUUGCUUACAAACUGUAUAGUUAAUUAUCUGUUAGCUUUUGUUUUCCUGUCACAGCUUUAUGUUUAUGUGGCUCAUUGUAGCCGAAAGUUUUAUUUAUCAAUCUUAUUUUUCACAGCAUAAAUGAAACUGUGUUUGAAGAAUCAGGUGCUGCUACAUCAUUCAAGGAAAUUCGUCGUAGAGGUCCGUAAGUUUUUUCCUUUGGAGAUGUGAUACUAACCUGUUUGAAUAAAGGAAUCUGACUUGGUCUUUUCCUCUUUAACAUUAUGGAUUAGGUCUUUCUCUUUACCAGAUUUCGUAGCUGAACUUUAAGAAGCAAUCAAACCGGUGUUAACUUCUUAUAUAAAGGUUAGUGCUAACUGCUAAGCUUAUUUCUAAGAUGAAAGAUGCUUUUAUCCCCUCCCCAAAGAAUAUCAUUACUAUUUAUGUUGUAUUUCUGCUAACUAAUUCUUGCAUAGCAUCUGGUUUGAUAAAUAAAGUAAAGUUUCUGACAUGGAGGUUUUCAAGUUGGAAUAUAUAUUUAUGUUUUAGGUAGAUUCCCAAACUUUGAAGAAACGCUGCAGUACUGAGGUAAUUGAACGUUGUAAGGCAGAGCAUUGGGCUUACCGGAGCCAAGGUAUCUUCUUCGAUAACAAGUAAGGAUAGUCCUGAUACUACCUUUCUUUUGUUAUUGAAAUUUAUUGUUCCUUUUGUUGGGGGCUUGGUGGUUGUGCACCUAUAUUGAUUUGUACUUCUGUUAAUUAAUUAUAGUCAUUCUCUCUUGUCUGAGUAAUUAUUGUCAACCAUUUUGUUAGCAAAAGGCUUCCCAUGGAAAUUCAGUUUGUUGUGCUGCAUGUCCACGAUGAUUUUCGUGAUUUUAGUUUUAGAUACAUAAAAAGGGCCUUUGCAUCACACAUGAAUGACUACUUUUUAAUAUGAACGUACAAUACCCCAAAUGAAUGCUGAAAGUAAGUUUAUUGAUGUAUGUAAUUUACAACAAUCUUUUUGAACUUUUUGGUAGGUUAUGAAUUACGAACUUGUAUUGAAUAUUUGUUAGGUCGUUUUAAUAAAUUCAAGUGAUGCUUAGAAAAUGCAACCGAGCUUAAACAAUUCUGCACAUUUUUCUAAAAUUUUUAGUUUAACCUCUUUAAUAAAAUUCGAAAGGAAAUUCUUGUUUUCUUUUUGUAGGAAUAAAGGAAAAUGAAAUAUAACCAAACUUGGGAUCUUUGCAAGCAAGCUUCCAUGAAGAAACUAGGUUACAAGGGGAGGUCUUCUGUUCUCCUUUUUUUUUCUUUCCAUCCGUAGAAUCUUGCUUAAAAUGCUUUGAGGACAAUGCAAAUUUUUAAGUGGGGGGUGGGGUUGUAGCCUUGCACAUUCCAUGUCCUUUGGGAAAUUUUCAUUUUGCAAAUUUUGCUAAAAAUGUCAAAAUUUAGAAACUUUUGCAAUGCUCUAUGCUUAGAAUAAGUACCAUGUCUACUUCGCUUUUUAGCAUAAAAAAGCAUAUAUGCCUAACCCAUGAGAACAGAGCUCGGAUUUGUGAUUGUAUUUGUUAUUUGAAUAUGUUACAUAUGUUGAAAAUGCAUAUAUUGAUAGCUUAGAAAUGAGUAGAACACUUGGUUCAUUUUCUGAAUAUUGUGAAUUAUGUACAUAAUAAUAUGUGCGGUUGCCUUUUUUAUCUCAAUUUUAAUCCCCUUUUUUGCCAUCUUCUACUGCCUUUUUUAUAUUAAUUUUAAAUCCCUCUUUUGGCCAUACACAUUUGUAUAAGAUUGUUUGAAAGCAAAAUAAGAUUGUUAGGUCAAGUAGAAAGCAAAGUCGGCAAGUUCUUAGAGUUCUUCACCCAACAUAACAGCCGAUAAAAACAAAGCAAUACGACCAAGCUGCUUAGAGUUGCAGAACCCGACCCCCGCCUAGUGGGUCACUAGAGUUCUUCACCCAGCAUGGCAGCCGGUAGAGAGGGAGAGAGAAAAAAAAGAGGGAGCCAAGCCAGCCGCUUAGGUCAAGUAAAAUGCGGACCGAGAUCCCCCGGUUUCAGAAUUUUCGUGGGGAUCCUCUCCGCUUUUCUUGCCUAAGCAAAACCCGACCCGCCUAGUAGGUUCUUAGAGUUUUUCACCCAGCAUGGCAGCCGGUAGAGAAGGUGAGAGAAAAAAAAGAGGGAGCCAAGCCAGCCGCUUAGGUCAAGUAAAAUGCGCGCCGAGAUCCCCCGGUUUCAGAAUUUUCGUGGGGAUCCUCUCCGCUUUUCUUGCCUAAGCAAAACCCGACCCGCCUAGUAGGUCCUUAGAGUUUCUUCACCCAGCAUGGCAGCCGGUAGAGAGGGUGAGAGAAAACAAAGAGGGAGCCAAGGCAGCCGCUUAGGUCAAGUAAAAUGCGCGCCGAGAUCCCCCGGUUUCAGAAUUUUCGUGGGAUCCUCUCCGCUUUUCUUGCCUAAGCAAAACCCGACCCGCCUAGUAGGUCCUUAGAGUUUUUCACCCAGCAUUGGCAGCCGGUAGAGAGGGUGAGAGAAAAAAAAGAGGGAGCCAAGGCAGCCGCUUAGGUCAAGUAAAAUGCGCGCCGAGAUCCCCCGGUUUCAGAAUUUUUCGUGGGGAUCCUCUCCGCUUUUCUUGCCUAAGCAAAACCCGACCCCGCCUAGUAGGUCCUUAGAGUUUUUCACCCAGCAUGGCAGCCGGUAGAGAGGGGAGAGAAAAAAAAGAGGGAGCCAAGCCAGCCGCUUAGGUCAAGUAAAAUGCUCGCCGAGAUCCCCCCGGUUUCAGAAUUUUCGUGGGGAUCCUCUCCGCUUUUCUUGCCUAGGCAAAACCCGACCCGCCUAGUAGGUCCUUAGAGGUUUUCACCCAGCAUGGCAGCCGGUAGAGAGGGAGAGAGAAAAAAAGAGGGAGCCAAGCCAGCCGCUUAGGUCAAGUAAAAUGCGCGCCGAGAUCCCCGGUUUCAGAAUUUUCGUGGGGAUCCUCUCCGCUUUUCUUGCCUAAGCAAAACCCGACCCCGCCUAGUAGGUCCUUAGAGUUCUUCACCCAUCAUGGCAGCCGGUAGUGAGGGUGAGAGAAAACAAAGAGGGAGCCAAGGCAGCCGCUUAGGUCAUGUAAAAUGCGCGUCGAGAUCCCCCGGUUUCAGAAUUUUCGUGGGGAUCCUCUCCGCUUUUCUUGCCUAAGCAAAACCCGACCCGCCUAGUAGGUCCUGCUUCCAAUUCUUGGCGCUUUCUUGGACUCUUAUCUUAUUAUCCCUUUGUAUAUUCCGUCGGACUUUAUCAAGCUUUUAGCCUCCAUUCCAUUUCGGGGGGAAAGAACCGUCUUUGCAUCUGGGAUCUUAGUAGAUUGAAAUGGAGCAACUUCCGGGCGGUACCUUUGUGGAGGGGAUUCACUUCAGAAAGUAGAAGUCGAAAUUCAGUAGAAGUCGAAGGAAGAGAUAGGGUUUCAGGUAAAUUUAUGGGCAGCUUCUAAAUCUACAUUUUGAGAGAAUAAAUAGCUUGACUCAACGACAACAACUGAAACUGAAGAAAGAGCUGCUACUGGUCUCGCCUUUGCCUGGGCCUAGCCCUCGUACUCUGACUCAGCAGCUAGAUAGGGUUGAUGAAGACUUAUCCGUUGAGUCUGCUCUUUCAUGGGUUUCCUGAUCGGGGUUAGGAGCUUUACCAUUGCAAGAACUAUUCUUCUGAGUUUUUCACCCAGCAUUGCAGCAGGUAGAGAGGGUGAGAGAAAAAAAAGAGGGAGCCAAGGCAGCCGCUUAGGUCAAGUAAAAUGCGCGCCGAGAUCCCCCGGUUUCAGAAUUUUCGUGGGGAUCCUCUCCGCUUUUCUUGCCUAAGCAAAACCCGACCCCCUAGUAGGUCCUUAGAGUUUUUCACCCAUCAUGGCAGCCGGUAGAGAGGGAGAGAAAAAAAAGAGGGAGCCAAGCCAGCCGCUUAGGUCAAGUAAAAUGCGCGCCGAGAUCCCCCGGUUUCAGAAUUUUCGUGGGGAUCCUCUCCGCUUUUCUUGCCUAAGCAAAACCCGACCCGCCUAGUAGGUCCUUAGAGUUUUUCACCCAGCAUGGCAGCCGGUAGAGAGGGAGAGAGAAAAAAAAGAGGGAGCCAAGCCAGCCGCUUAGGUCAAGUAAAAUGCGCGCCGAGAUCCCCCGGUUUCAGAAUUUUCGUGGGGAUCCUCUCCGCUUUUCUUGCCUAAGCAAAACCCGACCCCGCCUAGUAGGUCCUUAGAGUUCUUCACCCAUCAUGGCAGCCGGUAGAGGGGAGAGAAGAAAAAAGAGGGAGCCAAGCCAGCCGCUUAGGUCAAGUAAAAUGCGCGCCGAGAUCCCCCGGUUUCAGAAUUUUCGUGGGGAUCCUCUCCGCUUUUCUUGCCUAAGCAAAACCCGACCCGCCUAGUAGGUCCUUAGAGUUUUUCACCCAGCAUGGCAGCCGGUAGAGAGGGGAGAGAGAAAAAAAAGAGGGAGCCAAGCCAGCCGCUUAGGUCAAGUAAAAUGCGCGCCGAGAUCCCCCGGUUUCAGAAUUUUCGUGGGGAUCCUCUCCGCUUUUCUUGCCUAAGCAAAACCCGACCCGCCUAGUAGGUCCUUAGAGUUUUUCACCCAGCAUGGCAGCCGGUAGAGAGGGGAGAGAAAAAAAAGAGGGAGCCAAGCCAGCCGCUUAGGUCAAGUAAAAUGCGCGCCGAGAUCCCCCGGUUUCAGAAUUUUCGUGGGGAUCCUCUCCGCUUUUCUUGCCUAAGCAAAACCCGACCCGCCUAGUAGGUCCUUAGAGUUUUUCACCCAGCAUGGCAGCCGGUAGAGAGGGAGAGAGAAAAAAAAGAGGGAGCCAAGCCAGCCGCUUAGGUCAAGUAAAAUGCGCGCCGAGAUCCCCGGUUUCAGAAUUUUCGUGGGGAUCCUCUCCGCUUUUCUUGCCUAAGCAAAACCCGACCCGCCUAGUAGGUCCUUAGAGUUCUUCACCCAUCAUGGCAGCCGGUAGUGAGGGAGAGAGAAAAAAAAGAGGGAGCCAAGCCAGCCGCUUAGGUCAAGUAAAAUGCGCGCCGAGAUCCCCCGGUUUCAGAAUUUUCGUGGGGAUCCUCUCCGCUUUUCUUGCCUAAGCAAAACCCGACCCGCCUAGUAGGUCCUUAGAGUUUUUCACCCAGCAUGGCAGCCGGUAGAGAGGGAGAGAGAAAAAAAAGAGGGAGCCAAGCCAGCCGCUUAGGUCAAGUAAAAUGCGCGCCGAGAUCCCCCGGUUUCAGAAUUUUCGUGGGGAUCCUCUCCGCUUUUCUUGCCUAAGCAAAACCCGACCCGCCUAGUAGGUCUUAGAGUUUUCACCCAGCAUGGCAGCCGGUAGAGAGGGAGAGAGAAAAAAAAGAGGGAGCCAAGCCAGCCGCUUAGGUCAAGUAAAAUGCGCGCCGAGAUCCCCCGGUUUCAGAAUUUUCGUGGGGAUCCUCUCCGCUUUUCUUGCCUAAGCAAAACCCGACCCCGCCUAGUAGGUUCUUAGAGUUCUUCACCCAUCAUGGCAGCCGGUAGAGAGGGAGAGAAAAAAAAAGAGGGAGCCAAGCCAGCCGCUUAGGUCAAGUAAAAUGCGCGCCGAGAUCCCCGGUUUCAGAAUUUUCGUGGGGAUUCUCUCCGCUUUUCUUGCCUAAGCAAAACCCGACCCCGCCUAGUAGGUUCUUAGAGUUCUUCACUCAGCAUGGCAGCCUGUAGAGAGGGAGAGAGAAAAAAAAGAGGGAGCCAAGCCAGCCGCUUAGGUCAAGUAAAAUGCGUGCCGAGAUCCCCGGUUUCAGAGUUUUCGUGGGGAUCCUCUCCGCUUUUCUUGCCUAAGCAAAACCCGACCCCGCCUAGUAGGUCCUUUAUUUCUUCACCUAGCACGGCAGCCGGUAGAGAGGGAGGGAGAAAAAAAAGAGGGAGUCAAGCCAGCUGCUUAGGUAAAGUAAAAUGCGCGUCGAGAUUGCCUGGUAUCAGAGCUUGCAUGGGCAACCUCUCCGCUUUAGAUGGAAUUUGAUGAAAUGCUUAUGUCGAAAGUAGGCAUUUCUCUACAGAGUCCUAAUGGUCAUAGAAAUUUAUUAUGUUUUGUAUUUAUUUUACUUUGUUGUCAAGAAUCAACUUCUUUUCUGAUUUGUAUGUUUAUGUAUAUGUUGCAUCUCUGUCUUGUUAUCAUGUUGUAUUUCAUUGUACUCAAUAGUCUGAUUUGCAUUUUUUAUUUGUGUUAAUAAGUGUUCGUGUAAUUGCAAUUUUGUUCUUGAAGAUAUUUUGCUUGAAUCAAGUUAGUUCUUUCUAUAAGGAUCAUUUUCUUGUAAGGUUAUAACUUCUUGUCCAAUUUUUCCAACACAUUUCAACUUGUAACAGGUGAAUCCCUUCUAAAUAAGAGCUUAAAAAGAAAAAACAAUUGGAACCUUUAACCAUAAAAUCAAGGUACUGCAUCUUAUUUGCAAUGAAUUGCUAUAAUUUUGUAGAGACUCCACAAAUAAAAUACUAAAUUACCCAAACAGUUGGCAAACAGAGACAGCACUCUGUAGAUCUUUAUUUAUAUAUAAAUGCCAAAAGAUACAGUAGAAGGAAAUAUAAAAGAAAGCAAUAAAGAUGAUAAUAUCAUGUCAAACCUCCCCAGGAAAAGAUAGUAGUCCUUCCUAGACCUAGCAGCCUCUACAGACCAAAUGAAGACAAAAAGUUAACCUAGCCCCCAAUCCCGAUAAGGCCUUAUUUAUAGCUCUUUUCUCAUUCUUCCCCGUGGGCCCCACUCUCAUGUUCUUUUCCUAAUAUUCUCCCCUUUUCUGCUGCGUGAGCUUUUACGUUUUUACCCCUCCUUUUGUAUGUAUGGAUAAUAGGGGGCCUUACAAUACCCCUCGGUUCCAGGUUCACCUUGUCCUCAAGGUGAAAGUCAGGGAAUUGUUGGUUCAUUUGGAAAACAGAUUCCCAAGUUGUUUCACUGUCCGGCAGCCCUUUCCACUUAAUUAACCAUUCAUUUCCUCCCAAUUCCCGAUUCCAACGGACUCCCAACACUGUUUCCGGCCAUAAUUGUAACUCAAACUCUUCCGUUAGCCUAGGUUGCUGGUGUUGAACAGCUUGUUGACUACCCAGUUUCAGUUUUAACUGAGAAAUAUGGAACACAUUGUGGAUACUGGCUUCCGGCGGUAACAUCAAUCUGUACGCAACUGCUCCUAUUUCUUCAGUAAUUUUGUAGGGUCCGUAAUAUUUAGGUGCUAACUUUUCACACUUCUUCCGAGCCAAGGAGCGUUGCCGGUAAGGUCUCAAUUUCAAGUAGACUUCAUCUCCUACCUUAAAUUUUAACUCUCUUCUAUUUCGAUCAGCCAUUUUCUUCAUCCUGUUCUAGGCUACACACAGGUGUUCUUUUAAGGCAUUGAUGGCUAAGUCACGUUCCUUCAGCAGCGUGUCAACCUCAUUAUUAGGAGUUUUCUUGUAACCAUAAUAGGAUAACAGGGGAGGAGGCGGUCUGCGGUAUACCGUCUGGAAAGGGGUCAUUUUGGUGGAUGCAUGGAAGGUGGUAUUAUACCACAAUUCUGCCCAUGGAAUCAGUCUAUCCCAUUUUUUUGGUUGUUCAUUACAGAAGCAUCGCAGAUAAGUUUCGAGACAUCUAUUUACCCUUUCUGUCUGCCCAUCAGUUUGUGGGUGAAACGCGGUACUCCUCUUUAGAAUAGUUCCCAUGGUUGCAAACAGUUCCUUCCAAAAAUUACUAAGAAAGAUUUUAUCCCGAUCUGUGAUAAUCGACUUAGGAAUGCCGUGCUUGCUUACUAUUCUGUCGAUGAAUAUGGAAGCAACUUGCUUGGCUGAAAACGGAUGUCUCAAUGAUAUAAAGUAAGAAUACUUACUCAGCCGAUCAACUACCACCAUGAUCACAUUAACCCCUCCAGCUAGUGGCAACCCCUCAAUAAAGUCCAUGGUCCAAUCUUCUAAGAUUCUGUCAGGAAUUGGAAUUGGUUGAAGUACCCCAGCUGGUUUGGUUGCUUCGUAUUUGUUUCUCUGGCAGAUCUCGCAUUGUUCCACAUAUUUCUUUAUUUCAGCCUUCAUACCCCUCCAAUAUAGUUCUCCACUGAUCCUCUUGUAAGUUCUUAAAAAUCCAGAAUGUCCCCCGAGGAUAGAAUCGUGGAAAGUAUGUAGGAUCUUGGGUAUAAGUGUAGAAGUUUGAGAUACUACCAUUCUCCCCUUAUAGAGCAAUCUUCCUUUUUCCACUUGAAACUUGCUUCCUUCUUCUGCAUUUUUCUUCAGAUUUUCCAUAAUUUUCUUAAGUUCAGCAUCAUUCUCAACUUCCUGCUCGAUUAGUUUCACAUCAAUGAUUCCAGUAGUUGUCAAGCUGUGCAGCUCCACCGGUUGCUCCAUUCUAGAUAGGGCGUCCGCUGCCUUGUUCUGAUGUCCGGGUUGAUAUAAAAUCUCGAAAUCAUAUCCAAGGAGCUUUGUCAACCAUUUCUGGAAUUGGGGCUGUACCUCUCUCUGUUCAAGCAAGAAUUUAAGAGCCUUUUGAUCUGAAAGUAUGGUGAACUUCCUGCCCAGCAAAUAAUGCCUCCAUUUUUGAACUGAUAGAACUACAGCCAUCAACUCUCUUUCAUAGAUGGAUUUGUUUUGAGCCCUUGUGGAUAACUUCUGACUGAAAAAGGCAAUCGGGUGGCCAUUUUGAGAGAUCACCGCUCCUAACCCUACGCCAGAUGCAUCAGUUUCGAUAAUAAAGGGAAUGUUCCAAUCUGGUAAUGCCAACACUGGUAGAGUAGUCAUUGCUAGCUUCAAAUUUUCGAAGGCAGUAUUUGCUUCUUCAUUCCACUUAAAAGCAUUCUUCUGUAAUAACUUGGUUAGCGGUGCAGCGAUCUCUCCAUAACCCUUGACAAACCUCCUAUAAUAUCCUGUCAGUCCUAAGAAGCCCCGCAGACCAGAUAUAUUCGUUGGUGGUGGCCAAUUAAUCAUCUUCUUGAUCUUAUCCUCAUCUGCCUCAACUCCUCUUUUGGAUAUCAUAUGUCCCAAGUACUGUAUUUGAGAAUGGGCUAUAACGCAUUUUUUUUUGUUAGCAAACAGCUGGUUAUCCUUCAAAACAUUGAAUACCAUGCCCAAAUGCUUUGCGUGUUCAUCUAUAUCCGCACUAUAAACCAGUAUAUCAUCAAAGAACACCAAAACACAGCGCCGAAGGAAAGGUUUAAAUACCUGGUUCAUCAAAGAUUGGAAGGUUGCCAGAGCAUUCGUGAGACCAAACGGCAUUACUAGAAACUCAUAGUGCCCUUCAUGUGUGCGGAACACAGUUUUCUCCACAUCUUCCUCUUUCAUUCUAAUCUGGUGAUAACCAGAUUUCAGAUCUAAUUUCGAGAAAACCGUUGCCCUAUUCAGCUCAUCUAAUAAUUCCUCUAUCACAGGAAUUGGGAACUUAUCCGAUACUGUCGCCUGAUUUAACUUGCGGUAAUCGACACAAAAUCUCCAUCCACCAUCUUUUUUCUUCACUAACAACACCGGGCUGGAGUAAGGGAUAGGUUUAUGGUCAGGUAGGGUUAAUAUUCGGUGAUCAAUAGCUCUUUUUGGAGGUAAUUUCUUCGGUGUCUCAAAUAUCUCCGCAUAAUACUUGAGCAGGGAUCGGAUCAUAGAUAUUUCCUCCUCAUCUCCUUUUAAUCUUGUCCCCAGUUCAUAUUCAUUCUCUACUUCCAUCUCAUAAUUCUGGAAUUCUAAGAGGAAGCCUUGGUCUUCUAUAUGUAAGGAUUCAACUUGCUUACUUCACUAUUUCUCCCUUACAAUGGCCAAAAACAGAGGUAGCCCUCUGCUAUCUUUAUUUAUAUAUAGCCAAAAUGAGUACAGAAAAACAUAAAGAUUCAAGAAAAACAAGGAAUAAUGAAGACAAACCCAGCUUCCUCUAGGGAAAGACUGGAUAUUCCUCUAGGCUAAGCAGCCGCCAACUUCAGGAUAAAAAUAAAACCUACCUCCCCUAGACCUAAAAAACCUAUUUAUAUUCCUUCUCUCAUCUUUCUCUUAUUUCUGUGCCUGGGCCCCACCUGCAGGAUCUCCUCCUCUUUUUCCUUCCUCAUUAUUAAUUUGUCCAAUUACUUUUCUGCCCCUCCUUUGAUAUGUAUGAAUAACUGGAGGUCUUACACUAUAUCCCACGUUUUUUCCAAUGUCUUCAAAGAACAUUCAGGUUUCACUAAGGAUGGAUCUCCUCUUAACACGAUUUGCUUGUCUUUUGCCCAAAAGGUCAUGGUUAAUGAUGGCCAAUGUACCUUCAUUGUGCCGGUGGUAUCUAGCCAUUGCAUCCCUAAAAUCACGUCAAUAUUUCCUAGUUCCACCACUAGAAAAUCAGUUAUAACUGUCAUUUCUUUCAAUCUCAGUUCCACCUUUCUGCAAAUACCUUUCCCUUUACAGCGGGUCCCGUCUGCAAUAGUCACUCCAAAUUGUGUACCGGGUUCAAUGUUCAACCCUCCUUCCAUUGCCACUGCUUCAUGGAUGAAGUUGUUCGUAGCUCCACUGUCGAUGAGAAUCACCACCUCCCUUCCUUUUACAUGCCCCUUCAGUUUCAUUGUCCCUUUGGAUGUUAACCCCGUGAGUGUCUUCAAUUCAAUUUCGGUGGUUUCAGCAACAACUAACUGGUUCAGCUCCAUUACUUCUUCGGUCUCUUCCAUUUUGACUUCCUCCCCGCCACUCUCUUCUUCGUUAAGUAUAAAUAACAUUAAUUCCCUUUUCUCUCUCAUCUUGCAUCGGUGUCCCGGUGAGUACUUCUCAUUGCAUCUAAAACACAAACCCUUGUCCAAUCUUGCUCUGAAUUCCGUGUCCAAGAGUCUUUUAACUGGAGGUUCAUUUUUCUGGUAGUUUCCUUUAAUGGGAAUAGUGACUUGCUUCAUGGGGAACUCAGUCUUCUUUGGUGAACUUUUAUCUUGACUGCUUUGUCCCUUGCUUGAGCCUCCUCCUUCCCUAGUCACACUGUUUACCCAUUCUGCCUUGGCUAAUUUCAAGGCUAGGUUUCUGCCACUUACCAGUUGUGCCUCCUUCAUACAUUCCUCUAAGGUUUGAGGAUGUCUACUAAUAACUUCUGCUUGAAGAGCCGGUUCUAGACCUGUCACGAAUGCAUCUAAGAGCACGCUUUCAGCCAUGUGCGGUAGUGGUGCAGAAUAUUGUACGAAUUUCUUGACAUAAUCAUUAUAGGAUCCAUCUUGUUCUAUUCGAAUCAGCCUUGCACCUAAGCUUUUCUGCCCAGAAUCUCGAAAAAAUUCAAACAUCCUUACCUUCAAAUCUUCCCAUCCUUCCACCUUCUUUCUAUGGUUACUCCAACGGUACCAAUCGAUUUCAUCUUGUCCGAAACUAACCACCGCUACUUUCACUUUUUCUGCUUCCGGUAGGCUAUUAAUUUCGAAAAAAUGCUCAGCUCUAAACACCCAUGACUCAGGAUUUUCCCCGGUGAAAAUCGGCAUUUCCAGUUUCUUAUAUUUGCUUCGGUCGACAGUUACUACAUUGUUUUCCCCUAGAUUGUCGGCUUCUUCCCAUUUUCCUUUUAACUUCAUGACUGAUCCAUCAGAAGUUCCGGAUUCAUCUCGCCUUUUGUAGCUGCUGUUUUCUUUCAUUUCAUCAGUCAGUCUAUCCAUGGAUUUCUUCAUUUCCAGAAUCAUUUCCUUCAAGCCCAGUAUUUCUUUCUCUGUUCCAUCUAUUCUUUCUUCUAUUUGCCUUUGCGCCAUCAGUCGCGUCACCACCCCCAGCAUUUGGGCUCUGAUACCAGUUGUAGAGACUCCACAAAUAAAAUACUAAAUUACCCAAACAGUUGGCAAACAGAGACAGCACUCUGUAGAUCUUUAUUUAUAUAUAAAUGCCAAGAGAUACAGUAGAAGGAAAUAUAAAAGAAAGCAAUAAAGAUGAUAAUAUCAUGUCAAACCUCCCCAGGAAAAGAUAGUAGUCCUUCCUAGACCUAGCAGCCUCUACAGACCAAAUGAAGACAAAAAGUUAACCUAGCCCCCAAUCCCGAUAAGGCCUUAUUUAUAGCUCUUUUCUCAUUCUUCCCCGUGGGCCCCACUCUCAUGUUCUUUUCCUAAUAUUCUCCCCUUUUCUGCUGCAUGAGCUUUUACGUUUUUACCCCUCCUUUUGUAUGUAUGGAUAAUAGGGGGCCUUACAAAUUUCUUCCAACACUAUGAAACAUUUAUGUAUAGUUUUAUUAUUGUAAACAUUUUUGCUAAACAUCAUUGUAAUUUCCAAACACAACUCUGCCAAAGUUCCCAAGAUAGUUCUAUAGCAAUGUUCCACAGGCUAUCUUGCAAGUGAUGUGGAACUCCUUUGCUUUUUUGAAUAGUAAGCUGGCCUUCCUCUUUUGUUAUGCUUUGUUUUGUUCUUAAUACUUGCUUUUAUCUUCGCCUAUUUCAUUCCUAGUUGAUAUAUUACAUAGUCCUCUUAAAUCUACAUUCUUUUUCUGUUUUAUGAUUCGCUUGAGUUUAAUGACUAACUUUGGCAAAAUAAUGUUGAACUAUAUUACAUGUUUUGCAUCUAAACCUCAAUUGAAAAGGUUUGUUACCUGUAUCAUUAUAAGGUUUCCAUCCAUCUUUCUUAGGCCAUCAAUGAAGUUUUUGCUUAGAUCUAUCUUAGUUCGGCCUCUUUAAAUGUUACUCCAUACAAGGAAGAUCGAAAGUUGUGAUUACAAAGUGUAGAUUUGUAUUGUAUAGUUGCCUUAGUUAUUUUUUUAAUUAUUCUUUUUAGACGUUAUUUCCUUUUAUAAUUAGUUCUCUUUAGUUAGAAUUUCUAUUAAAUUAUACUUGCCUAUUAUCAAGUCCUUUUUCAUUAAUAAGAGAAAAUGGAGUUUUUCUCAAAUAACAAAAAGUGAUUAUUUAAGAUACUAUGCUAAAGGGAACACAUCCAAUUACCAUGUUGAGAAUAUUAUCUUUGCCUAUUGAAGGUCUUGGAUUCUUGGUCAACUUUGAAUGCGAAUUUUUCUUAGUUGAUUAUUAAAUAUCAGGGUAAAAAGAUCUUAUAUUGUAAUGUUGUUUUGCUUCACUUGCAUCAUACACUAAAACACAAGAUUAAAAAAAAAGUUAUAUUUAGACUUUUGUAUGGUAGAUUAGGUGUUCUCUUUGAAUUGGUGUUGGUAUUGGCUUUCUAAUUAUGAUAUGAUUUUGGGAACCUUUGAAUUAUGUUCUUCAAACCUUCUCUCUUCGAUUGAAGCUUAUUAUAUUUUAUCGUUGUUAGUAUGUUUUUUUUUUUCCAUUUUUUCCCUUCUAAUAUUUUUAUUUGAUAUAUAAUGUGCAUAAAAGAGAAAGUAGUUAAUGUGUUUUACAUUGUUGUGUUGUGCAAAGUUGGUGUUGUUGGUUCAAAUAUUUAAGAUUUGGUGAAGCACUUGGAAUAAGUUCAAACUUUUAAUCUGUAGGAUAAUUUACUUUAUAAGAAUCACACAUUUACCUUUUUUUUCUUUUUUGAAGUAGGAAAGGAGCCUCUUCAUUAAGCUGAAAAUGAAUAGACAAGACAAAAGGUAAUACAAAGAAGCCCUAGGAUCAGUGAGUGCACUAGGACAUCUCAUCUAUGUUGACACCUACUUAGCAUUCUCACCAUAUCGAGACUUAAACCAAAAGACUAAACCAACGACAAGGUUUGGAAUAGAUCAUACAAACUGCCCAAUAACUAUACAACAUAGAUUUAAGACCACUAGAAAUCCAAAAGAAAUAAAAUAAGAGUACUGUAGUGGACUAAGAAUUAAAAAUGAAAGUCGGCCAAUUAUGACUUAUAUCUUGUAUGGAGAAAUCUUUGAAAUCUUUUGAAAGAGAGCAUCAAGAAGAAGCAUUGAUUCUAGCCAUUUCGACUCGAGUUGUCCAAGAGGAAGCUUUAUUUUGAAAUGUUAGCUGAUUAUGUUCAAACCAACUUUGAAUGACUAUUUCUAAAUAUGAACCUACAAUAACCCCAAAUGAAUACCGGAUUAAAUUGGAAACAGGGCAGAUAGAGAGUGAGAUGGAGAGUGUUUGUGUGUGCUUUAGAGUAGUUUUAAGCACAUUUUUUAGAUUUGUUUAACACUAAGUUUGUUUCACUUGCACAAUUGGUUGCCAUUUUAGGUCUCAAAGUGCAUUUUCACUCAUUUUGAACUUUUUGUUAGUUUGUGAGUUACGAACUUACACUUAAGCAUUGUUAGGUCGUUUCAAACACAUUUUGUGUUUGUUUGGAACUAAGUUUGUUUAGACAUUUGAUUGACAUGUUGGGUCUCCAAGUGCUUUUUUCCACACUUUUUGAAAUUUUGGUAGGUUGUGAGUCGCGAACUUACGCUUGAGUAUUGUUUGGUCCGUUUGAAAGCUUAGACACAUUUUGAACUCUUUUUAAGAUAACUUGAAACUAAGUUCAUUGCACUUACAUACUUCGUUGCCGUUUUGGGUCUUGAAGUACCUUUUUCACACUUUUUGAAAUUUUGGUAGGUUGUGAGUUACAAACUUACCCUUAAGCAUUGUUUGGUUGUUUUGAAAAUUCAAGUGAUAGUUACACACGUUUUGAAUACAUUUUAGGUUAGAUUGAGUUUGUUGCACUUGGUUGUCAUUUUUGGUCUUGAAAUGCUUUUUUCAAACUUUUUGGUAGAUUAUGAGUUACGAACUUACACUUAGGAUUUGCUAGGUCGUUUUGAAAACUCAAGUAAUACAUAGACACGUUUUGAGCACGUUUUAGGUUGGUUUGAACUAAGUUUGUUGCACUUACACACUUGGUUGCCAUUUUGGGUAUUGUAGUGCUUUUUUCACAAUAUUUGAACUUUUUUCGUAGGUUAUGAGUUACGAUCCUACACGUAAGCUGUUUUAGGACAUUUUGAAAGUUCAAGUGAUACUUAGACACAUUUUAAACUCGGUUUAGGUUAGUUUGAAACUAAGUUUGUUGACCUUAUCCAAUUGGUUGCCAUUUUCGGUCUUGAAGUGCCCUUUUCACACUUUUUGAACUUUUUGGUAGGCUAUGGGUUACCAACUUACACUUAAACUUUGUUAGGUUGUUUUGAAAGUCCAAGUGAUACUUAGACACGCCUUGACCACUUUUUAGGUUGGUUUGGAACUAAGUUUGUUGCACUUGCGCACUUGGUUGCCAUUUUGGGUCGUGUAGUGUUUCCUUUUUUUCCAUACUUCUUGAACUUUUUGGUAGGUUAUGAGUGAUGAAUUUACAAAUAAACAUUCUUAGGUCGUUCUGAAAGUUCAAGUGAUACUUAAACACGGUUUGAAAUUUUUUUAGAUUUGUUUAAGACUAAGUUUGUUUCACUUGCAUACUUGGUUGCCAUUUUAGGUCUCAAAGUGCAUUUUUCACGCAUUUUGAUUUUUUUGUUAGUUUGUGAGUUACGAACUUACACUUAACGAUUGUUAGGUCGUUUUAAACACAUUUUGCGUUGGUUUGAAACUAAGUUUGUUGCACUUACACAUUGGAUUGAAAUGUUGGGUCUUGAAGUACUUUUUUUCACACUUUUUGAAAUUUUUUUAGAAUUGUGAGUUACGAACUUACGCUUGAGAGUAUUGUUUGGUCGGUUUGAAAUCUUAGACACGUUUUGCACUCUUUUUAGGAUGGCUUGAAACUAAGUCCGUUGCACUUACAUACUUCGUUGCCAUUUUUGGGUCUGAAGUGCUUUUUUUACACUUUUUGAAAUUUUGGUAGGUUGUGAGUUACAAACUUACACUUAAGCAUUGUUUUGGUGGUUUUGAAAGUUUAAGUGAUACGUACACAUGUUUUGAAUACAUUUUAGGUUAGAUUGAUUUUGUUGCACUUGGUUGUCAUUUUUGGUCUUGAAAUGCUUUUUUCAACCUUUUUGGUAGAUCAUUACGAACCUACAUUUAGGAUUUGCUAGGUCGUUUUGAAAACUCAAGUAAUACCUAGACACGUUUUGAAGCACGUUCUAGGUUGGUUUGAACUAAGUUUGUUACAAUUACACACUUGGUAGCCAUUUUGGGUCUUGUAGUUACUUUUUUCACACUAUUUGAACUUUUUUCGUAGGUUAUGAGUUACGAAUCUACACGUAAGCUGUUUUAGGUCGUUUUGAAAGUUCAAGUGAUACUUAGACACAUUUUGUUCAAGUGAUACUGUUUUAGGUCGUUUUUGAAGUGAACUUUUUUCUUCUUGUAUUGACUGUUUUACUAUUUCUUCAUGGUUUGUAUUCAUGGUAUUUAUUUUCGUAAUGAAUCUUUCAUGUUCUGGUAAACAUUGCAGAACACACAUAAUUUCAUCAAUCUGUCAAAGAGUUGAAGGAGAAGACAGAAGAACUUAAAGGUCACAUGAAAACCUAAAAGUUAGGUAAUUUUUUGAAAACUUUUUUCUUUGUCUUGCUUAGUUUUAGUGGUAUUUUGUUAACAGUGCUGAGACAUACUCUUGUAUGCCAAGGCUGGGUGGCCAAUUCAAUGGAUGGCCUGAGACGGUGAAAUGACGUGUGUAGAACAAAGUAGACAAUCGAGCAGAUUUACAAGUAGGAGGAUGGUGUUUGGUCUUACUCAAAAGCUACUGCUAGAAAGGUGAUUCUCCCUUUAUUUACACAUGUUAUCUAUAUUUAAUUACUGUUUUUAUGUGAUGGUGAAUAAAUAUUUAAGUUGUUUCAAGUUUGUACAUCAUGCUUGAGUUAAUACAUUUCUCAACUCGCACUAAUUUUAAAGUUGAGACUAAGUUUGUUGCACUUACACACUUGGUUGCCAUUUUGGAUUUUGGAGUGCUUUUUCUACAUUUUUUGAACAUUUUGGUAGGUUAUGAUUUAUGAAGUAAGACUAAAGCAUUAUUAGGUCGUUUUUUAAAGUUCGAGUGAUACUUAAACAUUUUUUGAACACCUUUUAGGUUGUUACAAACUAAGUUAGUUUUACAUACAGCCAUGGUUGCCAUUUUGAGUCUUGAAAGAUUUUUUUUCACACUUUUUGAAAUUUUUGGUAAGUUAUGAGUUAUAAACUUACACUUAAGCGUUGUUAGGUUGCUUGAAAACUUAUACGUGUUUUGAAUACUUGUUAGGUUUGUAUAGAACUAAGUUCGUUGCACUUACACACUUGACAUUUUGGGUUUUGGAGUGUCUUUUUAAAAAAUUUUGAACUUUUUGCUAGUUUAUGACUUAUGAACUUGUAUUGAAUAUUUGUUAGGUCGUUUUGAUAAUUCAAGUGAUACUUAGAAAAUGCAACCGAGCUUAAACAAUUCCGCUCAUUUUUCUAAAAUUUUUAGUUUAACCUAUUGAAUAAAAUUCGAUGGAAAUUCUUGUUUUCUUUUUGUAGGAAUAAAAGAAAUGAAAUAUAACCAAACUUGGGAUCUUUGCAAACAAUCUUCCAUGAAGAAACUAGGCUACAAGUGGUUUGGGGUUUGGGUUUUUAGGGCUUAGGGCUUUUUGGGCUUAUGGCUUAGGGCUUUUAGGGCGCUUAGGGCUUUUAGGUUUUAGGGCUUAGGGCUUUUAGGGCUUAUGGCUUUAGGGUUUAGGGUAUAGGGUUUAGGGGUUUAGGGUUUAGGGUUUAGGGCGCUUAGGCUUUUAGGGAUUUUAGGGCGCUUAGGGAUUUUAGGUUUUAGGGCUUAGGGCUUUUAGGGAUUAUGGCUUAGGGCUUAGCGCUUUUAGGGCUUAGGGCUUAGGGCUUAGGGCCUUAAGGGCUUUAAGGGUAUUUAGGGAUAAGGGAUUUUAGGGCUUUUAAAGCAUUUAGGGCUUUUGGGGCUUUUAGGGCUUUUAGGGCUUAGGGAUUAGGGCUUGGGCUUUUAGGGCUCGGGCUUUGGGCUCUUUGGGCUUUUAGGACUUUUAGUGCUCUUAGGGCUUUUUGGGCGCUUAGGGCUUAUGACUCUUAAGGCUUAGGGCUUUGGGCUUUUAGGGCUUUUAGGGCUUUUAGGGCUUUUAGGGCUUUUAGGGCUUUUAGGGCUUUUAGGGCGCUUAUGGCUUUUAGCUUUUAGGGCUUAGGGCUUUUUGGGCUUUUAGGGCUUAGGGCUUAGGGCUUAGGCUUUUAGGGCUUUUAGGGCUUGGGCUUUGGGCGUUUAGGGCUUUUAGGACGCUUAGGGCUUUUAGGUUGUAGGGCUUAGGGCUUUUAGGGCUUAUGGCUUUUAGGGCUUAGCGCUUAGGGCUUAGGGCUUUUACGGGUUUUACGACUUUUAGGGCUUUUAGGGCUGAGGCCUUAGGGCUUAGGCCUUAGGGCUGAGGGCUCAGGGCUCAGGGCUUAGGGCUUAGGGUUUAGUGGCUUAGGGCUUAGGGCUUAGGGCUUAUGACUUUUAAGGCUUUGGGCUUUGGGCUUUUCGGGCUUUUAGGGCUUUUCGGGCUUUUAGGGCUUUUAGGGCUUUUUGGGCUUUUAGGGCUUAGGGCUUAGGGCUUAGGCUUUUAGGGCUUUUAGGGCUUGGGCUUUGGGCGUUUAGGGCUUUUAGGGCUUUUAGGACGCUUAGGGCUUUUAGGACGCUUAGGGCUUUUAGGUUGUAGGGCUUAGGGCUUUUAGGGCUUUUAGGACGCUUAGGGCUUUUAGGACGCUUAGGGCUUUUAGGUUGUAGGGCUUAGGGCUUUUAGGGCUUAUGGCUUUUAGGGCUUAGCGCUUAGGGCUUAGGGCUUUUACGGCUUUUACGGCUUUUACGACUUUUAGGGCUUUUAGGGCUGAGGCCUUAGGGCUUUUAGGGCUGAGGCCUUAGGGCUUAGGCCUUAGGGCUGAGGGCUCAGGGCUUAGGGCUUAGGGUUUAGGGUUUAGGGUUUAGGGUUUAGGGCUUAGUUCUUGUGCUUUUAUUGCUUAGAGCUUAGGGCUUGUAGGGCUUAGGGCUGAUGGCUUAGGGCUUGGGCUUUUAGGGCUUGGGUUUUUAGGGCUUGGGCUUUGGGCUUUUAGGGCGUUUAGGGCUUUUAGGGCGCUUAAGUCGUUUAGGGCUUAGGGCUUUUAGGGCUUAGGGGUUUUGGCUUAUGACUUAGGGCUUGAGAUUUUAGGGCUUAGGGCUUGGGCUUUGGCCUUUUAGGGCUUUUAGGGCUUUUACGACGCUUAGGGCUUUUAGGUUUUAGGGCUUAGGGCGCUUAGGGCUUUUAGGUCUUUUAGGGAUUAGGGUUUGGGCUUUUAAGGCUUGUGCUUUGGGCUUUUGGGAUUUUAGGGUUUAGGGCUUGUGCUUUGCGCUUUUAGGACUUUUAGGGCUUUUACAGCGCUAAGGGCGCUUAGGACUUAGGGCUUAGGGCUUAAGGCUUAGGGCUUUUAGGGCUUAGGGCUCAUUGAGGAACUGGAUUUAUCUAAUGAGUAUAGGUAAAAUGGUUUUUUAUAUUGGAUUUGAUCAAUGCAAUGAAUUGUUUUAUCAUAAGACCGAUCCCUAAUUAAAUUGAUGAUCCCCAUCCUAACGAAAUGAAUUUGAUUCAUACAUGUACACACACGAACUGAACAUAUAUACAUUCACCGAAUCAUUGAUAAAGCAAUUCUACUUGGCGAGGAAAAAAUUUUCAAUAACUUGUUGAUCCCUAUCCCCAAAUUUUAAAAUUUAUCGCUCUUGAAUUUUUUGGCUUAGUGUGAAAUCGAAAUAUACCUAACAUAAUCUUAACAAUGAGUUAAUCAAUGAGCGCCGAGAUCCCCCUGUUUUGAGAAUUUCGUGGGGAUCCUCUCCGCUUUUCUUGCCUAAGCAAAACCCGACACGCCUAGUAGGUCCAUAGAGUUUUUCACCGAGCAUGGCAGCCGGUAGAGAGGGAGAGAGAAAAAAAAGAGGGAACCAAGCCAGCCGCUUAGGUCAAGUAAAAUGCGCGCCGAGAUCCCCCGGUUUCAGAAUUUUCGUGGGGAUCCUCUCCGCUUUUCUUGUCUAGGCAAAACCCGACCCGCCUAGUAGGUCCUUAGAGUUUUUCACCCAGCAUGGCAGCCGGUAGAGAGGGAGAGAGAAAAAAAAAGAGGGAGCCAAGCCAGCCGCUUAGGUUAAGUAAAAUGCGCGCCGAGAUCCCCCUGUUUCAGAAUUUUCGUGGGAUCCUCUCCGCUUUUCUUGCCUAAGCAAAACCCGACCCCGCCUAGUAGGUCCUUAGAGUUCUUCACCCAUCAUGGCAGCCGGUAGAGAGGGAGAGAAAAAAAAUAGAGGGAGCCAAGCCAGCCGCUUAGGUCAAGUAAAAUGCGCGCCGAGAUCCCCCGGUUUCAGAAUUUUCGUGGGGAUCCUCUCCGCUUUUCUUGCCGAAGCAAAACCCGACCCGCCUAGUAGGUCCUUAGAGUUUUUCACCCAGCAUGGCAGCCGGUAGAGAGGAGAGAGAAAAAAAAGAGGGAACCAAGCCAGCCGCUUAGGUCAAGUAAAAUGCGCGCCGAGAUCCCCCGGUUUCAGAAUUUUCGUGGGGAUCCUCUCCGCUUUUCUUGCCUAAGGCAAAACCCGACCCGCCUAGUAGGUCCUUAGAGUUUUUCACCCAGCAUGGCAGCGGUAGAGAGGGGGAGAGAAAAAAAAGAGGGAGCCAAGCCAGCCGCUUAGGUCAAGUAAAAUGCGCGCCGAGAUCCCCCGGUUUCAGAAUUUUCGUGGGGAUCCUCUCCGCUUUUCUUGCCUAAGCAAAACCCGACCCCCCUAGUAGGUCCUUAGAGUUUUUCACCCAGCAUGGCAGCCGGUAGAGAGGAGAGAGAAAAAAAAGAGGAACCAAGCCAGCCGCUUAGGUCAAGUAAAAUGCGCGCCGAGAUCCCCCGGUUUCAGAAUUUUCGUGGGGAUCCGCUCCGCUUUUCUUGCCUAAGCAAAACCCGACCUGCCUAGUAGGUCCUUAGAGUUUUUCACCCAGCAUGGCAGCCGGUAGAGAGGGAGAGAGAAAAAAAAAGAGGGAGCCAAGCCAGCCGCUUAGGUCAAGUAAAAUGCGCGCCGAGAUCCCCCGAUUUCAGAAUUUUCGUGGGGAUCCUCUCCGCUUUUCUUGCCUAAGCAAAACCCGACCCGCCUAGUAGGUCCUUAGAGUUUUUCACCCAGCAUGGCAGCCGGUAGAGAGUGAGAGAAAAAAAAAGAGGGAGCCAAGCCAGCCGCUUAGGUCAAGUUAAAUGCGCGCCGAGAUCCCCCGGUUUCAGAAUUUUCGUGGGGAUCCUCUCCGCUUUUCUUGCCUAAGCAAAACCCGACCCGCCUAGUAGGUCCUUAGAGUUUUUCACCCAGCAUGGCAGCCGGUAGAGAGGGAGAGAGAAAAAAAAAAGGGAACCAAGCCAGCCGCUUAGGUCAAGUAAAAUGCGCGCCGAGAUCCCCCGGUUUCAGAAUUUUCGUGGGGAUCCUCUCCGCUUUUCUUGUCUAGGCAAAACCCGACCCGCCUAGUAGGUCCUUAGAGAUUUUCACCCAGCAUGGCAGCCGGUAGAGAGGGAGAGAGAAAAAAAAAGAGGGAGCCAAGCCAGCCGCUUCGGUCAAGUAAAAUGCGCGCCGAGAUCCCCCGGUUUCAGAAUUUUCGUGGGGAUCCUCUCCGCUUUUCUUGCCUAAGCAAAACCCGACCCCGCCAGUAGGUCCUUAGAGUUCUUCACCCAUCAUGGCAGCCGGUAGAGAGGGAGAGAAAAAAAAAAGAGGGAGCCAAGCGAGCCGCUUACGUCAAGUAAAAUGCGCGCCGAGAUCCCCCGUUUUAGAUUGGUUUCAAACUAUGUUUUAAACACAUUUCAUUGACAUGUUGGGUCUUGAAGUACUUUUUUCACACUUUUUGAAAUUUUGGUAGGUUGUGAGUUACAAACUUACACUUAAGCAUUGCUUGGUCGUUUUGAAAAUUCAGGUGAUACUUACACACGUUUUGAAUACAUUUUAGGUUAGAUUGAGUUUGUUGCACUUGGUUGUCAUUUUUGGUCGUGAAAUGCCUUUUUCAACCUUUAUGGUAGAUUAUGAGUUACGAACUUACACUUAGGAUUUGCUAGAUCGUUUUGAAAACUCAAGUACUACCUAGACACGUUUUGAGCAUGUUUUAGGUCGGUUUGAACUAAGCUUGUUGCCCUUACACACUUGGUUGCCAUUUUGGGUCUUGUAGUGCUUUUUUCACACUAUUUGAACUUUUUUCGUAAGUUAUCAGUUAGGAAUCUACACGUAAGCUGUUUUAGGUCGUUUUGAAAGUUCAAGUGAAACUUAGACACGUUUUGAACUCGUUUUAGGUUUGUUUGAAACUAAAUUUUAAACACAUUUCAUUGACAUGUUGGGUCUUGAAGUACUUUUUUCACACUUUUUGAAAUUUUGGUAGGUUGUGAGUUACAAACUUACACUUAAGCAUUACUUGGUCGUUUUGAAAAUUCAAGUGAUACUUACACACGUUUUGAUUACAUUUUAGGUUAGAUUGAGUUGUUGCACUUGAUGGUCAUUUUUGGUCUUGAAAUGCUUUUUUCAACCUUUUUGGUACAUUAUGAGUUACGAACUUACACUUAGGAUCUGCUAGGUCGUUUUGAAAACUCAAGUAGUACCUAGACACGUUUUGAGCAUGUUUUAGGUUGGUUUGAACUAAGUUUGUUGCACUUACACACUUAGUUGCCAUUUUGGGUCUUGUAGUGCUUUUUUCACACUAUUUGAACUUUUUUCGUAAGUUAUGAGUUAUGAAUCUACACGUAAGCUGUUUUAGGUUGUUUUGAAAGUUGAAGUGAAACUUAGACACCUUUUGAACAUGUUUUAGGUUGGUUUGAAACUAACUUUUAAACACAUUUGAUUGACAUGUUGGGUCUUGAAGUACUUUUUUCACACUUUUUGAAAUUUUGGUAGGUUGUGAGUUACAAACUUACACUUAAGCAUUACUUGGUGGUUUUGAAAAUUCAAGUGAUACUUACACACGUUUUGAUUAGAUUUUAGGUUAGAUUGAUUUGUUGCACUUGAUGGUCAUUUUUGGUCUUGAAAUGCUUUUUUCAACCUUUUUGGUAGAUUAUGAGUUACGAACUUACACUUGGGAUUUGCUAGGUCAUUUUUAAAACUCAAGUAAUACCUAGCCCCGUUUUGAUCAUGUUUUAGGUUGGUUUGAUCUAAGUUUGUUGCACUUGCACACUUGGUUGCCAUUUUGGGUCUCGUAGUGCUUUUUUCACACUAUUUGAACUUUUUUCGUAAGUUAUGAGUUAUGAAUCUACACGUAAGCUGUUUUAGGUCGUUUUGAAAGUUGAAGUGAAACUUAGACACGUUUUGAACUCGUUUUAGAUUGGUUUCAAACUAUGUUUUAAACACAUUUGAUUGACAUGCUGGGUCUUGAAGUACUUUUUUCACACAUAUUGAAAUUUUGGUAGGUUGUGAGUUACAAACUUACACUUAAGCAUUGCUUGGUAGUUUUGAAUAUUCAAGUGAUACUUACACACGUUUUGAAUACAUUUUAGGUUAGAUUGAGUUGGUUGCACUUGGUUGUCAUUUUUUGUCUUGAUAUGCUUUUUUCAACCUUUUUGGUAGAUUAUGAGUUACGAACUUACACUUAGGAUUUGCUUGGUCGUUUUGAAAACUCAAGUAAUAGCUAGACACGUUUUGAGCACGUUUUUGGUUGGUUUGAACUAAGUUCGUUGCAUUUACACACUUGGUUGCCAUUUUGGGUCUUGUAGUGUUUUUUUCAAAAAUUUUGAACUUUUUGCUAGGUUAUGACUUAUGAACUUGUAUUGAAUAUUUGUUAGGUCGUUUUGAUAAUUCAAGUGAUACUUAGAAAAUGCAACCGAGCUUAAACAAUUCCGCUCAUUUUUCUAAAAAUUUUAGUUUAACCUAUUUAAUAAAAUUCGAUGGAAAUUCUUGUUUUCUUUUUGUAGGAAUAAAAGGAAAUGAAAUAUAACCAAACUUGGGAUCUUUGCAAGCAAUCUUCCAUGAAGAAACUUGGCUACAAGUGGUUUGGGGUUUGGGUUUUUAGGGCUUAGGGCUUUUUGGGCUUAUGACUUAGGGCUUUUAGCGCUUUUAGGGCUUUUAGGGCUUAUGGCUUUAGGGUUUAGGGUAUAGGGUUUAGGGGUUUAGGGUUUAGGGUUUAGGGCGCUUAGGCUUUUAGGGAUUUUAGGGCGCUUAGGGCUUUUAGGUUUUAGGGCUUAGGGCUUUUAGGGAUUAUGGCUUAGGGCUUUUAGGGCUUAGCGCUUUUAGGGCUUAGGGCUUAGAGCUUAGGGCUUUAAGGGCUUUAAGGGUAUUUAGGGAUAAGGGAUUUUAGGGCUUUUAGGACAUUUAGGGCUUUUGGAGCUUUUAGGGCUUUUAGGGCUUAGGGCCUUUGGCUUAGGGCUUAGGGAUUAGGGCUUGGGCUUUUAAGGCUCGGGCUUUGGGCUCUUUGGGCUUUUAGGGCUUUUAGUGCUCUUAGGGCUUUUUGGGCGCUUAGGGCUUUUAGGGAUUAGGGCUGAUAUUUUAAUACUUUUUUCUCAUUCAGUUAAGUUGUUUAUAAUGUGUUUGAUAUUAUAUUUAUAAAUGAUUAAAUUAGUGGAUGUUACUCCCUAAAUAUUAAUGGACAACAAAUUUAUUUAUAAACAUGUUUUAGGUUAAAUAUUUGUUAUAAUUAUAAUACUAGAAUAUUUUAUGAUUUAUAAUAAACUAGGGAAGGUUAAACACAAAUAUUGGAGAAAUAUAAUAUUAAAAUAAAUAAAUUAUUAAAACUAAAAAAUUAUAAGUAUAUAAUUUUUUUUCAAUUUAUUGUUAUCUUACAAAUACUAGUAGACUAUAAAAUUUUUUUUUAGAGCAAUGGUCAAAAAUAGAAAAUUUCACAAAAAUAUUAUAUAUAGCUCAAUUUGAUUUUCAUUUUUCUAAAAUUUAAAAAAUUCACGUUAAUACAUUAAAAAAAGCAUAAAUUAUUCUGUGUAAAUAAGAGUUGGUAAAUUGCUACAUUAUUAUUUAAUUUAUAAUGUCAUUUACAUUGCAUUGUAAUUUACAACAUCCUUUUUUAUUUAUUUUUAUAAAUGGUAUGGGUGAGUACUCAGUGCGGUUUAAUGGAAAGAUUAAUUAUAAUAAAGCUUUAGCCAGCUGUCUUAGUUUGAAACUUAAUGGCGUCAACGGCAUCCAACGGCUACAUUUUUAGGUUUACUUACUUCAUUAUUUAACUUUACAGAUAACCUCCAUCGCAAACCAAUUUUCUCCAGAAUUUUCUUUUUCCGCCUCAGUGCACGCUGGUCUAACCUCUGAACCCUAAUACUGAUUUUCCUUUUCCUUUUCCUUUUCUUCUUCUCAUUAUCAGACGUUUGUGAAUUCUACGGCCUUUGUGAUUCAGGUGAUGCGGCUUUCUAAAUUCUGGGCACUAUCUUUCUACAUCGUUUUUGCUUCGUGUCUUUUUUUUUUUUUUACUGUUUUUUCGCUAAAUGUCAAAUUUAGGGCUCGUUUGACAAGCUUUUGAUGCGUAUUGUUUCCUAAUCACUUUUGAUUACAUAGUAUUGGCAAUUGAUUCAGAUUAAAUGUUUGUUUCUUGAAUUCGAAGUGUUCAAUUUUUAUAAUUUCUGCAGCGUUUUUAUCUAGAUGAUUUUUUUUUAAUAAAUGAUAUUUACUGUUAAUUUCUGGCGAAUUUAAACGAGAUAAUGAGUAGAGGUAUUAUAUUCUAGUCUCUUUUAGUGACAAAGGAUUGGGAGUUGCUUCAGAUUUAAUGUUUUUUCCUUGAAUUCGAGAUCCUGGAAUUGUUUUCAAAUACACUUACCGACUUACGUUUAUUUUAAUUAGACAGUAACUGGUGUGUACCAGGAUCGGUUUUCUAUUUCAAUUCUUCUCUGAGAGUUGGGAUUUACUAUCGUUUUAUGACGAAGCUUCUCAUAUAUUUUAAACUUUGAUUACUACUUUUUCAGGUGAGGAAAUUUUUUGUCUGUAUGGACAUCCUAAUGAAACAUGGGAAAUGGUUCUUCCAGUAGGCAGAGGUUCCACCGGAGCUUCUAGAGCCUGCACUUGGAAUUAAUUUUGCAACAGAUGGCAUGGACAGAAAAUAUUGGCGACCUCUUGUUGCUGUACAUGGUGAUUCCUGUUUGCUCUCUGUGGCUUUCUAUUUUGGAGCAAGACUUGACCGAAGCAAAAGGUACAACUGUUCCACUUUUGAAUUUUUGCUUGUGAGCUUUAAGUUAGGUUCUGUUAAAUGCAAUUCUUUUUAAUCGUGCAUUUAUGUGAACUUUUAUAGGUAAUGUCAUUUUACUUUUCUAAUGUUUCUUUUGGCAUCAUUACCAAAUACUCUUUCUGACAUGUAGGUGAUAAGUUCAUAACCAACUUACACAAUCACACAACUUCCUUGUGUUUCCCAGUUUAUUAAGGUUGAUUUACCUUCAAUAACAUUGUUACUGUCUGAGUAAUUGUGGUUUUAGGAGGAUGAAGAACUACAUAACUGUUUAUUCGAUAUGAUUACAUAAUCUUCUUUUAUGUGAAGGUGUGCACUAACUUUAUCCAUCUUACUAAUCAUAUAAUGACAGAACACUUUUCUAAAAGGUCUUUCCAGCAGAUUUUUUCUUCCUCUUUUCUUCUAGAAACUCUUUCCAGAACAUAUGUAUAUACACAUAUGUAUAUAUAUAUAUAUAUUUGCAAAAUCUCUUGUUUGAAAGGUCUAUUCAAAAGAAUUUUCUAAAAGUUUUCUCGAUUCAUAUUCUGUUUUCGAACACUUCCCAAAAUAUUUCUUGAACUUUUGUCUUUCUUUUUGUUUUUGUUUUUUUGUUCUAAAAAAGAAAACAUUUCACAAAACUUUCAGAAAACCGCAUGAGCAAGGGUGUUGGCCAGAACACACAGGGCAAUGAGCAACAAGGCAACAUGCACACGGUGCGUGGAAGAUGUUGUCUUGGUGCCAUCUUUGCACAUGUGGAAGCAAACUUUCAAAUGUCAUUUACAAAACAUUUAGCAAACUUUUUUUUUCUUCCUCUUUUCUUCUAGAAACUCUUUUCAGAACAUAUGUAUAUAUGUGUGUUUAUAUACAUAGAUAUUUGCAAAAUCUCUUGUUUGAAAGGUCUAUUCAAAAGAAUUUUCUAAAAGUUUUCUCGAUUCAUAUUCUGUUUUCAAACUCUUUCCAAAAUAUUUCGUGAACUUUUGUCUUCCUUUUUGUUUUUGUUUUUUGUUCUAAAAAAGAAAACAUUUCACAAAACUUUCAAAAAACCGCAUGAGCAAGGGUGUUGGCCACAACACACAUGGCAAUGAGCAACAAGGCAACAUGCACACGGUGCGCGGAAGAUGUUGUCUUGGUGCCAUCUUUGCACAUGUGGAAGCAAACUUUCAAAUGUCAUUUACAAAACAUCAUUGCAAACUUUUUUUUUCUUCCUCUUUUCUUCUAGAAACUCUUUUCAGAACAUAUGUAUAUAUGUGUGUUUAUAUACAUAGAUAUUUGCAAAAUUUCUUGUUUGAAAGGUCUAUUCAAAAGAAUUUUCUAAAAGUUUUCUCGAUUCAAAUUCUGUUUUCGAACUCUUUCCAAAAUAUUUCUUGAACUUUUGUCUUCCUUUUUGUUUUUGUUUUUUUUGUUCUAAAAAAGAAAACAUUUCACAAAACUUUCAGAAAACCGCAUGAGCAAGGGUGUUGGCCACAACACACAGGGCAAUGAGCAACAAGGCAACAUGCACACGGUGCGCGGAAGAUGUUGUCUUGGUGCCAUCUUUGCACAUGUGGAAGCAAACUUUCAAAUGUCAUUUACAAAACAUUUAGCAAACUUUUUUUCUUCCUCUUUUCUUCUAGAAACUCUUUUCAGAACAUAUGUAUAUAUGUGUGUUUAUAUACAUAGAUAUUUGCAAAAUCUCUUGUUUGAAAGGUCUAUUCAAAAGAAUUUUCUAAAAGUUUUCUCGAUUCAUAUUCUGUUUUCGAACUCUUUCCAAAAUAUUUCGUGAACUUUUGUCUUCCUUUUUGUUUUUGUUUUUUGUUCUAAAAAAGAAAACAUUUCACAAAACUUUCAAAAAACCGCAUGAGCAAGGGAGUUGGCCACAACACACAGGGCAAUGAGCAACAAGGCAACAUGCACACGGUGCGCGGAAGAUGUUGUCUUGGUGCCAUCUUUGCACAUGUGGAAGCAAACUUUCAAAUGUCAUUUACAAAACAUCAUUGCAAACUUUUUUUUUCUUCCUCUUUUCUUCUAGAAACUCUUUUCAGAACAUAUGUAUAUAUGUGUGUUUAUAUACAUAGAUAUUUGCAAAAUUUCUUUUUUGAAAGGUCUAAUCAAAAGAAUUUUCUAAAAAGUUUUCUCGAUUCAAAUUCUGUUUUCGAACUCUUUCCAAAAUAUUUCUUGAACUUUUGUCUUCCUUUUUGUUUUUGUUUUUUUGUUCUAAAAAAGAAAACAUUUCACAAAACUUUCAGAAAACCGCAUGAGCAAGGGUGUUGGCCACAACACACAGGGCAAUGAGCAACAAGGCAACAUGCACACGGUGCGCGGAAGAUGUUGUCUUGGUGCCAUCUUUGCACAUGUGGAAGCAAACUUUCAAAUGUCAUUUACAAAACAUUUAGCAAACUUUUUUUCUUCCUCUUUUCUUCUAGAAACUCUUUUCAGAACAUAUGUAUAUAUGUGUGUUUAUAUACAUAGAUAUUUGCAAAAUCUCUUGUUUGAAAGGUCUAUUCAAAAGAAUUUUCUAAAAGUUUUCUCGAUUCAUAUUCUGUUUUCGAACUCUUUCCAAAAUAUUUCGUGAACUUUUGUCUUCCUUUUUGUUUUUGUUUUUUGUUCCAAAAAAAGAAAACAUUUCACAAAACUUUCAAAAAACCGCAUGAGCAAGGGUGUUGGCCACAACACACAGGGCAAUGAGCAACAAGGCAACAUGCACACGGUGCGCGGAAGAUGUUGUCUUGGUGCCAUCUUUGCACAUGUGGAAGCAAACUUUCAAAUGUCAUUUACAAAACAUCAUUGCAAAUUUUUUUUUUCUUCCUCUUUUCUUCUAGAAACUCUUUUCAGAACAUAUGUAUAUAUGUGUGUUUAUAUACAUAGGUAUUUGCAAAAUUUCUUGUUUGAAUGGUCUAUUCAAAAGAAUUUUCUAAAAGUUUUCUCGAUUCAAAUUAUGUUUUCGAACUCUUUCCAAAAUAUUUCUUGAACUUUUGUCUUCCUUUUUGUUUUUGUUUUUUUGUUCUAAAAAAGAAAACAUUUCACAAAACUUUCAAAAAACCGCAUGAGCAAGGGUGUUGGCCACAACACACAGGGCAAUGAGCAACAAGGCAACAUGCACACGGUGCGCGGAAGAUGUUGUCUUGGUGCCAUCUUUGCACAUGUGGAAGCAAACUUUCAAAUGUCAUUUACAAAACAUUUAGCAAACUUUUUUUCUUCCUCUUUUCUUCUAGAAACUCUUUUCAGAACAUAUGUAUAUAUGUGUGUUUAUAUACAUAGAUAUUUGCAAAAUCUCUUGUUUGAAAGGUCUAUUCAAAAGAAUUUUCUAAAAGUUUUCUCGAUUCAUAUUCUGUUUUCGAACUCUUUCCAAAAUAUUUCGUGAACUUUUGUCUUCCUUUUUGUUUUUGUUUUUUGUUCUAAAAAAGAAAACAUUUCACAAAACUUUCAAAAAACCGCAUGAGCAAGGGUGUUGGCCACAACACACAGGGCAAUGAGCAACAAGGCAACAUGCACACGGUGCGCGGAAGAUGUUGUCUUGGUGCCAUCUUUGCACAUGUGGAAGCAAACUUUCAAGUGUCAUUUACAAAACAUCAUUGCAAACUUUUUUUUUCUUCCUCUUUUCUUCUAGAAACUCUUUUCAAAACAUAUGUAUAUAUGUGUGUUUAUAUACAUAGAUAUUUGCAAAAUUUCUUUUUUGAAAGGUCUAAUCAAAAGAAUUUUCUAAAAAGUUUUCUCGAUUCAAAUUCUGUUUUCGAACUCUUUCCAAAAUAUUUCUUGAACUUUUGUCUUCCUUUUUGUUUUUUUGUUCUAAAAAAGAAAACAUUUCACAAAACUUUCCGAAAACCGCAUGAGCAAGGGUGUUGGCCACAACACACAGGGCAAUGAGCAACAAGGCAACAUGCACACGGUGCGCGGAAGAUGUUGUCUUGGUGCCAUCUUUGCACAUGUGGAAGCAAACUUUCAAAUGUCAUUUACAAAACAUUUAGCAAACUUUUUUUCUUCCUCUUUUCUUCUAGAAACUCUUUUCAGAACAUAUGUAUAUAUGUGUGUUUAUAUACAUAGAUAUUUGCAAAAUCUCUUGUUUAAAGGUCUAUCCAAAAGCAUUUUCUAAAAGUUUUCUUACUUCGAAUCCUGUUCACAAUCUCUUUCCAAAAUAUUUCUUGAACUUUUGUUUUCCUUUUUUUCUUUCAAAAAGAAUACAUUUCAUAAAACUUUCGAAAAAUUGAAAGAGCAAGGGUGUUGGUCACUCACAGGGCAAAAUUUUAGUUUAAAAGGCCUAUUCAAUAACAUUUUCUAAAAGUUUUCUCACUUCAAAUUUUGUUUGUAAACUCGUUUCAGAAUAUUUUCUUGAACUUUUGUCGUCAACUUUUCUUUUAGAAUGAAAAAAGGCAUUUCAUUGAACUGUCAGUAUAUUCCACGAGCAAGACAGCAUACAAUCGAUGCAUGGAAGACACAGCCUUGGUGCCAUUGUGGCACAGGCGGUCAAACAAACUUUAAAAGGCCCCUUACAUAAUAUUGUCUUAAUUUUCUUCUCUUUUUUCUCUUUAAAAAACUCUUCCUGAAACACAUUUUCAAUUUAUAAAAAACACAUUUUCUCUCCAAUGUAGAUUUUGCAUAAUAAAUUCCCUGUUUAAAUAAUAUUUAAGAGUGAAUUUUCACUUUUGUGUAUUAUUCUCUAUCUUACAUGUAUCUCUUCAUAAUUAUUGGAUCUGUUCUAUAACUUUUCUUGUAAAUUUCUAUAUAAAUUGCAAUCGUUGUAUAACAUUUAUCAAUUUAGAAAAAUCUUAGGUGAUUAAAGGAAAUCUGAUUGUCCGAAAAUCACUUUUUUCUAUUUCAUCAUCACCCGACCCAAAUCCCCCUAUGGUUGCCGUUUGGCUUUUCUAUUUUUUUUUUCUUGAAAUUAAGUCUAUAAACACUCAUUCUAUCUUCAGUUAUAUGUUCCAGAAUUAUAUUAUAUUUUAGUUUGACUUCUUUGUAUAUUAUUAUUGGUACAUUUCUAUGUUUUAUUUGCACAAAAUUAUAUGUUUUUUUUAUAACGAUGGAUAACUUCUUUGUUACAAUGUCCAGUAAUUAUUUGACUAUCAUUAAUUUCUAAUUCUGAUUGAUUUUUCUAUGUUAGCACUGGACGCUUUACAUGUAUUUUUAUUUUACUUCCUUUGAUGGAUUUAUUUUUCUUUUAGUUUUUCUUUCAACAUUUUCUUCUUUCUUGAAUUUUUCUACUUUUGUAGAGUAGAUUGUCAAAUUUUAUAUCUUUGUUAUCUUGGUAGAAGUUAUUUAUUUUUGCCGUAUGGGUGAUUUUUUGUUUUUUUGCCCAUUCUAUUCUCUUGGUUCUCUUUUCUUUUUCGGUUCAUAUAUUUAUUAGUUUAGGGUUUGAGUUGAUACAACCCUCAAAAUUGAAGAAUAUAAAUUGAUAUUUAGCCAAAGAAUUUCUUUAGAUGUUUUGAGGCCAUGCGUGACAGUACUUGACCCUGGAUUUUAAACAGCAUCCAAGGUUUGUUGACUUUUGCCCUACCUAUAUCUGAAAAUUAAAAAACAAUCAAUUGUGUAAUAUUGGCUGAAAGAUUCUUCAUAUGCAAAUAAUGGACAAUUUUUCGGUUUCUACAUUGCCUCAAGGAUGCUAACAUCUUACUACAGUGGGUCUUGGACCGGACCUUUUCUGCAGAGCUCCUUCCAUUGCCUGCCAUGAACUUUUGCAUUUUUGACUUAUAGGCACUCGUUAUUUCUUUCUUGUGUUGUAUUCAAUAAAAAUAAAUACCAUGUUCCUUGACUAUAAUUUUGUGUAUACAAGGGUAACUGAAACAUUCAAAGCCUUGCUUUCGGCUUCCCUAGCUAAGCCACAAUGAUGUUUUUCUAUCCUUUGGGCACUGAGAAAAGGCAGAUGCUGCAAAUGAAGGGGGUACACCUUACAAGACAAUGUUUGAUGCUUUUGCAGGUAAAAUUUGUAUUAGUUGUUAUGUCUGGAAGUGAUUUUAUAUUAUUAUAGUUGGUUAUUAGUUGUUAUAAGUAAUUCUGAAGUGUGGCAAUGAUUAUUUAGAGUGAAAUCUGGGCUCUGACAUACAUGAUUUAUGUUCUUUGUAAUUCUGUGCUCAUUAUCUAUGUGAGUAUGCGUUCUUGUCCUCAAUCUUUUUGCAACCUUUUCAUGUCUUUCAUAUUUUGAACUAUACGCAUUUGUGGUUUUCGUAGAACUUUAACAGACACUCCUAUACUUCUACUGCGAAACCACUUUUAAUUAUCUAUUUGCAAUAUGCUGAAUGUUCUAUCAUUAGAAAGCUACUUUCAGGAGUAUUAUAGAUGAUGAAAUAAACAUUAAAAUCCUAACAUUGAAAAAUCAAGCAAAAGGAGGAGAAAAAGUUUGCCGAGGUGUAGUUUAUAGGAAUCAUCAUUUCCUCAAUUUGACGCAGGUAUAUGAGUGAUUUUUUACUUUUGUAUUCAUUUCUCUCUUUACCAUUAUGGGAUCUGUUUUAUGACCUUUUUCGUGAAUUUCUAUGUGAAUUGCAAUUGUUGUAUAACAUCCAAUAUGAUCUUAGAAAGAUAUGAGGUGAUUAAAGAAAACUUGAUGGUUGAAAAAUCAAUUUUUCUUGUUACAUCUCAUGUCGAUGCUCCAAAUUCGAGAACCAUUUAGUUUUUGUUCUCUUAGUUAAACCUUUAAAUUACAUUAUAUUCUUUAGUUUGACUUCUUGUAUAUUAUUAUUUUGGUACAUUUCGUAGUUUUAUUUGCACCAAAUACUUUCUUUCUUUCCUUGUUUGUUGCAUGGGGCGCUUUCAAGGUAUUUUUCCUUUACAUUAUGGAUUUAUUUUUUAGUUUACUUUUUCUUCGUACAUUUUAUUUUUCUUCUCAUCAUUUGCUACUUUAUUUUAAAGUAGAUAAUUAAAUUUUAUUUAUUUACUUUUGGUGGAUGAUUUUUUUCUUUUUCCGUUUAUGAUCUCUUGGUGGUGGUUCAAAAUUUUUUUCUUUUUUUUUUUACUUGUGUAAUUUAUUUUUCUUGGAUGGUUCAAAAUAUUUUCACCAUUUUGCCGUCUGUUUAGUUUCUUUUUAUUACAUUCUUAUUUAUUAUUUUUCUAGCUUUGUUGUUUGGUUUGUCUAGUUUUUGAUGUAAGGUCACUUUUAAAAAUAGCAAAACAAAUUAAAAUAUUUAUAAUAAUAUGGCAAAAUUUUAGAUUUUCUCAAGAUAAAAUUUGAUAGACUUAUAUCAUAAUGUCUAUUAGAAGGGUAAGAAUUGUUGGAAUUUUUUGUCCUAAAACUCGUAGUUUGAUUAUAUUCUGUUUCAAUAAAGUUGUUAUUGAGAAAAAUAUUAUAAUCCUAAAUCCAAUAAAUCAAGUUCCAAGGCUAUUUUUUGAAUAAACUUUGAACUUUAUGUGUAAACAUAAACGUAGAUCAAGUUUUGACAUAUAGCCUAAAUAGUCUAUAGUAUAUGAAUAAAGGUUGGACACCUUAUUUAGAGAAACUAUGGAUGCGACCCACUUUGUAGUACAAACGAUAUUUUGAAUUUAAGGAGCAAGAUGUAAUAUUGGGGGUACAUAUAGCCUAAAUAAGGUUUUAGGAUUUAAGGCUUUUAGCGCUUAGCGCUUUUAGGGCUUGGGCUUUGAACAGCUUGUUGACUACCCAGUUUCAGUUUUAACUGAGAAAUAUGGAACACAUUGUGGAUACUGGCUUCCGGCGGUAACAUCAAUCUGUACGCAACUGCUCCUAUUUCUUCAGUAAUUUUGUAGGGUCCGUAAUAUUUAGGUGCUAACUUUUCACACUUCUUCCGAGCCAAGGAGUGUUGCCGGUAAGGUCUCAAUUUCAAGUAGACUUCAUCUCCUACCUUAAAUGUUAACUCUCAUCUAUUUCGAUCAGCCAUUUUCUUCAUCCUGUUCUGGGCUACACACAGGUGUUCUUUUAAGGCAUUGAUGGCUAAGUCACGUUCCUUCAGCAGCGUGUCAACCUCAUUAUUAGGAGUUUUCUUGUAACCAUAGGAUAACAGGGGAGGAGGCGGUCUGCGGUAUACCGUCUGGAAAGGGGUCAUUUUGGUGGAUGCAUGGAAGGUGGUAUUAUACCACAAUUCUGCCCAUAGAAUCAGUUUAUCCCGUUUUUUUUGGUUGUUCAUUACAGAAACAUCGCAGAUAAGUUUCGAGACAUCUAUUUACCCUUUUUGUCUGCCCAUCAGUUUGUGACUGAAACGCGGUACUCCUCUUUAGAAUAGUUCCCAUAGUUGCAAACAGUUCCUUCCAAAAAUUACUAAGAAAGAUUUUAUCCCGAUCUGUGAUAAUCGACAAAAUUACUUAGGAUAAUCGCCUAGUAGGUCUUUAGAAUAGUUCCCAUCAGCCGUGCUUGCUUACUAUUUUGUCGAUGAAUAUGGAAGCAACUUGCUUGGCUGAAAACGGAUGUCUCAAUGAUAUAAAGUAAGAAUACUUACUCAGCCGAUCAACUACCACCAUGAUCACAUUAACCCCUCCAGCUAGUGGCAACCCCUCAAUAAAGUCCAUGGUCCAAUCUUCUAAGAUUCUGUCAGGAAUUGGAAUUGGUUGAAGUACCCCAGCUGGUUUGGUUGCUUCGUAUUUGUUUCUCUGGCAGAUCUCGCAUUGUUCCACAUAUUUCUUUAUUUCAGCCUUCAUACCCCUCCAAUAUAGUUCUCCACUGACCCUCUUGUAAGUUCUUAAAAAUCCAGAAUGUCCCCCGAGGAUAGAAUCGUGGAAAGUAUGUAGGAUCUUGGGUAUAAGUGUAGAAGUUUGAGAUACUACCAUUCUCCCCUUAUAGAGCAAUCUUCCUUUUUCCACUUGAAACUUGCUUCCUUCUGCAUUUUUCUUCAGAUUUUCCAUAAUUUUCUUAAGUUCAGCAUCAUUCUCAACUUCCUGCUCGAUUAGUUUCACAUCAAUGAUUCCAGUAGUUGUCAAGCUGUGCAGCUCCACCGGUUGCUCCAUUCUAGAUAGGGCGUCCGCUGCCUUGUUCUGAAGUCUGGGUUGAUAUAAAAUCUCGAAAUCAUAUCCAAGGAGCUUUGUCAACCAUUUCUGGAAUUGGGGUUGUACCUCUCUCUGUUCAAGCAAGAAUUUAAGAGCCUUUUGAUCUGAAAGUAUGGUGAACUUCCUGCCCAGCAAAUAAUGCCUCCAUUUCUGAACUGAUAGAACUACAGCCAUCAACUCUCUUUCAUAGAUGGAUUUGUUUUGAGCCCUUGUGGAUAACUUCUGACUGAAAAAGGCAAUCGGGUGGCCAUUUUGAGAGAUCACCGCUCCUAACCCUACGCCAGAUGCAUCAGUUUCGAUAAUAAAGGGAAUUUUCCAAUCUGGUAAUGCCAACACUGGUAGAGUAGUCAUUGCUAGCUUCAAAUUUUCGAAGGCAGUAUUUGCUUCUUCAUUCCACUUAAAAGCAUUCUUCUGUAAUAACUUGGUUAGCGGUGCAGCGAUCUCUCCAUAACCCUUGACAAACCUCCUAUAAUAUCCUGUUAGUCCUAAGAAGCCCCGCAGACCAGAUAUAUUCGUUGGUGGUGGCCAAUUAAUCAUCUUCUUGAUCUUAUCCUCAUCUGCCUCAACUCCUCUUUUGGAUAUCAUAUGUCCCAAGUACUGUAUUUGAGAAUGGGCUAUAACGCUUUUUUUUUUUUUUGUUAGCAAACAGCUGCUUAUCCUUAAAAACAUUGAAUACCAUGCCCAAAUCCUUUGCGUGUUCAUCUAUAUCCGCACGAUAAACCAGUAUAUCAUCAAAGAACACCAAAACACAGCGCCGAAGGAAAGGUUUAAAUACCGGGUUCAUCAAAGAUUAGAAGGUUGCCGGAGCAUUCGUGAGACCAAACGGCAUUACUAGAAACUCAUAGUGCCCUUCAUGUGUGCAGAACGCAGUUUUCUCCACAUCUUCCUCUUUCAUUCUAAUCUGGUGAUAACCAGAUUUCAGAUCUAAUUUCGAGAAAAUCGUUGCCCCAUUCAGCUCAUCUAAUAAUUCCUCUAUCACAGGAAUUGGGAAGUUAUCCGAUACUGUCGCCUGAUUUAACUUGCGGUAAUCGACACAAAAUCGCAAUCCACCAUCUUUUUUCUUCACUAACAACACCGGGCUGGAGUAAGGGCUAUGACUAGGGCGAAUAACCCCGGCUUGAAGCAUCUCGACCACCAGUUUUUCUAUUUCUUCUUUCUGCACAUGACCGUAUUUGUAAGGUCUUACGUUGAUAGGUUUAUGGUCAGGUAGGGUUAAUAUUCGAUGAUCAAUAGCUCUUUUUGGAGGUAAUUUCUUAGGUGUCUCAAAUAUCUCCGCAUAAUACUUGAGCAGGGAUCGGAUCAUAGGUAUUUCCUCCUCAUCUCCUUUUAAUCUUGUCCCCAUUUCAUAUUCAUUCUCUACUUCCAUCUCAUAAUUCUGGAAUUCUAAGAGGAAGCCUUGAUCUUCUAUAUCCCACGUUUUUUCCAAUGUCUUCAAAGAACAUUCAGGUUUCACUAAGGAUGGAUCUCCUCUUAACACGAUUUGCUUGUCUUUUGCCCAAAAGGUCAUGGUUAAUGAUGGCCAAUGUACCUUCAUUGUGCCGGUGGUAUCUAGCCAUUGCAUCCCUAAAAUCACGUCAAUAUUUCCUAGUUCCACCACUAGAAAAUCAGUUAUAACUGUCGUUUCUUUCAAUCUCAGUUCCACCUUUCUGCAAAUACCUUUCCCUUUACAGCGGGUCCCGUCUCCAAUAGUCACUCCAAAUUGUGUACCGGGUUCAAUGUUCAACCCUCCUACCAUUGCCACUGCUUCAUGGAUGAAGUUGUUCGUAGCUCCACUGUCGAUGAGAAUCACCACCUCCCUUCCUUUUACAUGCCCCUUCAGUUUCAUUGUCCCUUUGGAUGUUAACCCCGUGAGUGUCUUCAAUUCAAUUUCGGUGGUUUCAGCAACAACUAACUGGUUCAGCUCCAUUACUUCUUCGGUCUCUUCCAUUUUGACUUCCUCUCCGCCACUCUCUUCUUCGUUAAGUAUAAAUAACAUUAAUUCCCUUUUCUCUCUCAUCUUGCAUCGGUGUCCCGGUGAGUACUUCUCAUUGCAUCUAAAACACAAACCCUUGUCCAAUCUUGCUCUGAAUUCCGUGUCCGAGAGUCUUUUAACUGGAGGUUCAUUUUUCUGGUAGUUUCCUUUAAUGGGAAAAGUGACUUGCUUCAUGGGGAACUCAGUCUUCUUUGGUGAACUUUUAUCUUGACUGCUUUGUCCCUUGCUUGAGCCUCCUCCUUCCCUAGUCACACUGUUUACUCAUUCUGCCUUGGCUAAUUUCAAGGCUAGGUUUCUGUCACUUACCAGUUGUGCGUCCUUCAUACAUUCCUCUAAGGUUUGAGGAUGUCUACUAAUAACUUCUGCUUGAAGAGCCGAUUCUAAACCUGUCACGAAUGCAUCUAAGAGCACGCUUUCAGCCAUGUGCGGUAGUGGUGCAGAAUAUUGUACAAAUUUCUUGACAUAAUCAUUAUAGGAUCCAUCUUGUUCUAUUCGAAUCAGCCUUGCACCUAAGCUCUUCUGCCCAGAAUCUCGAAAAAAUUCAAACAUCCUUACCUUCAAAUCUUCCCAUCCUUCCACCUUCUUUCUAUGGUUACUCCAACGGUACCAAUCGAUUUCAUCUUGUCCAAAACUAACCACUGCUACUUUCACUUUUUCUGCUUCCGGUAGGCUAUUAAUUUCGAAAAAAUGCUCAGCUCUAAACACCCAUGACUCAGGAUUUUCCCGGUGAAAAUCGGCAUUUCCAGUUUCUUAUAUUUGCUUCGGUCGACAGUUACUACAUUGUUUUCCCCUGGAUUGUCGGCUUCUUCCCAUUUUCCUUUUAACUUCAUGACUGAUCCAUCAGAAGUUCCGGAUUCAUCUCGCCUUUUGUAGCUGCUGUUUUCUUUCAUUUCAUCAGCCAGUCUAUCCAUGGAUUUCUUCAUUUCCAGAAUCAUUUCCUUCAAUCCCAGUAUUUCUUUCUCUGUUCCAGCUGUUCUUUCUUCUAUUUGCCUUUGCGCCAUCAGUCGCGUCACCACCCCCAACGUUUGGGCUCUGAUACCAGUUGUAGAGACUCCACAAAUAAAAUACUAAAUUACCCAAACAGUUGGCAAACAGAGACAGCACUCUGUAGAUCUUUAUUUAUAUAUAAAUGCCAAAAGAUACAGUAGAAGGAAAUAUAAAAGAAAGCAAUAAAGAUGAUAACAUCAUGUCAAACCUCCCCACGAAAAGAUAGUAGUCCUUCCUAGACCUAGCAGCCUCUAUAGACCAAAUGAAGACAAGAAGUUAACCUAGCCCCCAAUCCCGAUAAGGCCUUAUUUAUAACUCUUUUCUCAUUCUUCCCCGUGGGACCCACUCUCAUGUUCUUUUCCUAAUAUUCUCCCCUUUUCUGCUGCCUGAGCUUUUACGUUUUUACCCCUCCUUUUGUAUGUAUGGAUAAUAGGGGGCCUUACAAAUUUCUUCCAACACUAUGAAACAUUUAUGUUAUAGUUUUAUUAUUGUUAAACAUCAUUGUAAUUUCCAAACACAACUCUGCCAAAGUUCCCAAGAUAGUUCUAUAGCAAUGUUCCACUGCUAUCUUGCAAGUGAUGUGGAACUCCUUUGCUUUUUUGAAUAGUAAGCUGGCCUUCCUCUUUUGUUAUGCUUUGUUUUAUUCUUAAUACUUGCUUUUAUCUUCGCCUAUUUCAUUCCUAGUUGAUAUAUUACAUAGUCCUCUUAAAUCUACAUUCUUUUUCUGUUUUAUGAUUCACUUGAGUUUAAUGACUAACUUUGGCGAAAUAAUGUUUAACUAUAUUAGAUGUUUUGCAUCUAAACCUCAAUUGAAAAGGUUUGUUACCUGUAUCAUUAUAAGGUUUCCAUGAUUUGUUACCUGUAUCAUUAAAAAUAUUGGGUCGGGUGCAUUUGCUUACACACCAUUCCAUGGCCAGCAGCAGAGGUUGUACUCUACGAUUCAAUUCCUUUCCUAAUCACAAUUUUGAUAGAUUUGUUUCUGAAAAACAAUAUUUAACUUCCUAUUUUUUUGUUUUUUGAUAAAUCUAUUAGUAUAUUUGAUGUAAACUAUAGCUAGUUAGUUAGUAAAAAUCCCUAACUAAUUAGAAAUACAGCUGUAACUAACUUCCUAAAACAGUCUUGUAACUAACUAAAUAAAACAACCUUGUAACUAACUUGUAACUAACCUUGAGAUAUCAAUAUAUAACAGUCUCCUAGCCUGAAAUAUGGCAGAGAAUUCUUUUGAAAAAUCAAUCCAACUUGAAUUACAUCAAAUUGGUAUCAGAGCAGCCCCGAUUCUUGGACGGAAUGGCUGGCCGAAGAGUUAACAACCCUGCCACGGGGGAAAACCGUGUGCAAGAAGCGGCGGAGGAAAUCACCGUCCUCUCUCCAAAGACAUCAACAGUUCGCUUGCUGGCUGUUGAAGAAUCUUUGGGAGAUCUCCACAACAAAUUUGAUAGGUUGAUGGAAAGUGUCGAACUGUUAAACCGAAGAGGAGAAUUCCCACAGCCACCACCACGGAAUGAAAUUAACUUCCAAAACGACCAACGUUUUGGUGAAGCAAGAGGCCGGCGAGCAAGGGGAUACAUUAGAAACAUGAACAACCCACGAGGACUUCAAAGAAGGAGACCCGGUUACGCUAUACAGCAACAACUUGACGAAGACUUUCAAGAAGAUCAAGAAGCUUGGCAAGAAACCCAAGAAGAUGAUUCUUCAAGCGGGGAUGAACAAGGAAACAUGUGGAACUUCAAUGAUGAAGCACGAGCAGGAAGAAAUAACCGAAGAAUUGAGGCCAGAAGAGGAGAAUACCACGAUUAUAAGAUGAAGAUUGACCUUCCCAUGUAUGAUGGCAAACGAAACAUAGAAGCAUUCUCGGACUGGAUAAAGAGUACUGAAAACUUCUUCAACUACAUGGAUACGCCUGAACGCAAGAAAGUCCACCUGGUAGCCUUAAAAUUAAGGGCUGGUGCAUCAGCUUGGUAGGAUCAGUUAGAAAUCAAUAGACAAAGAUGCGGGAAACAACCGGUUCGCUCAUGGGAAAAGAUGAAAAAAUUGCUGAAGGCAAGAUUCUUACCACCAAACUACGAACAAACUUUAUACAAUCAGUACCAAAACUGCCGCCAAGGUGUCCGGACAGUAGCUGAGUACAUUGAAGAAUUCCACCGCCUGAGUGCAAGAACAAACCUAAGCGAAAAUGAACAGCACCAGGUUGCAAGAUUUGUGGGAGGCCUUCGAUUCGACAUCAAGGAAAAGGUCAGACUACAACCAUUCCGUUUCCUAUCUGAAGCAAUAUCAUUUGCAGAAACGGUAGAGGAGAUGAUUGCAAUCCGAUCCAAGAAUCUAAAUAGAAGAUCAGCAUGGGAAACAAAUUCGACAAAAAGCAAAACAAACGACCAACCUUCAACCUCAACAAAAGCAAAAGGGAAAGAGAUUGAUAAUCAAGAAGUAGCCGUUGAAAGAAAGAAAGAACAGACGUUCAAGCCUAGUGGUCAGAACAGCUACUCCCGCCCGUCAUUAGGAAAAUGCUUCCGAUGUGGCCAAACUGGCCACCUGUCCAACAACUGUCCGCAAAGAAAAACCAUUGCAAUAGCCGAAGAAGGAGGACAGACAAGUGAAGACAGUAUAGAAGCAGAGGAAGAAACUGAACUGAUUGAAGCAGAUGAUGGGGAAAGGGUCUCUUGUGUUAUCCAACGGUUACUAAUUACGCCCAAGGAAGAAAAGAACCUGCAACGCCACUGUCUUUUCAAGACAAGAUGCACCAUAAACGGAAGAGUAUGUGAGGUAAUCAUAGACAGCGGCAGCAGCGAAAACUUCGUAGCAAAGAAAUUAGUAACAGUCUUGAAUCUAAAGGCUGAAGCACAUAUGAGUUUCAAUGGAUGGGAAGAAAGGUAGUCUUACUCCCUAUAACGAAAAAGAUUAACGAAGGGUUAAGAGGUGAGAAACAGUUAUUCAUCACUGUUAGUGGGAAAAACAUGCUUAAAGAAAGGGAAGAAGACAUCCUAGGACUGGUUGUUAUUGAAAAAACCAAAGAAAAACAGGUUGAAGACAUAGAACCCAAAUUACAGCAGCUCCUUCAUGAGUUCCCUCAUAUAAAGGAAGAACCGAAGGGACUCCCACCCCUUCGAGAUAUACAGUACCACGUAGACUUGAUUCCGGGAGCAUCACUACCAAAUUUGGCUCACUAUAGGAUGAGCCCCCAGGAGUACAAAAUACUUCAUGAUCAUAUUGAGGAAUUACUAAAGAAAGGGCACAUCAAACCUAGCCUCAGCCCGUGUGCAGUACCAGCACUUCUCACGCCAAAGAAAGAUGGAAGCUGGAGAAUGUGCGUUGACAGCAGAGCCAUCAACCGCAUCACGGUAAAGUAUAGAUUUCCCAUUCCAAGGAUUAGUGACCUGCUAGAUCAACUCGGUAAAGCCAGUAUCUUUUCGAAAAUUGACUUGAAAAGUGGCUAUCAUCAAAUACGGGUAAGACCUGGCGACGAAUGGAAGACAGCCCUCAAGACAAACGAAGGAUUAUUUGAAUGGAUGGUCAUGCCAUUCGGCCUUUCUAAUGCACCCAGCACCUUCAUGAGAUUGAUGAACCAGGUACUUCACCCAUUUCUCAACAAAUUCAUAGUAGUUUACUUCGAUGACAUACUUGUUUACAGCACAAACAAUGAUGAGCAUUUACUACACCUAAGGAAGCUGUUUCAAGUCUUAACAGAGGCGGAACUCUACAUAAAUACUAAGAAAAGCAUGUUUAUGAAAAAAGAAAUUGCAUUCCUCGGCUUUAUAAUCAAACAAGGAAGCAUAAGCAUGGAACCAAAGAAAAUCGAAGCCAUCCAUACAUGGCCGACUCCUGCCUCCAUUAAAGAAAUACAAGCCUUCCUCGGCCUGGCUUCGUUUUACAGGAAAUUCAUCAGAAAUUUCAGCUCUUUAGCCGCACCACUAACUGACUGUCUAAAGAAAGGAAACUUCAAAUGGACCCCAUUACAACAAGAAAGCUUUGAAGAUAUCAAAAAGAAGCUCACAUCCAGCCCUAUCCUUAAAUUACCAGAUUUCUCUUCACCUUUUGAAGUAGCAGUUGAUGCAUGCUGUACAGGGAUUGGAGCUGUCCUAGUACAACAAGGACAUCCUAUCGAAUACUUCAGUGAAAAACUCAGCACCGCAAGACAGACCUGGAGCACAUACGAACAAGAGCUGUAUGCCCUCGUCCGAGCACUAGAACAAUGGGAACACUACCUGAUCUCUAAAGAAUUUGUACUCCUAACUGACCAUUUCUCACUAAAAUACUUUCAAGCUCAAAAGAAUAUCAGUAGGAUGCAGCACGCUGGAUAUCCUUCCUCCAAAGGUUUGACUUCGUGAUCAAACACCAAUCAGGCAAAGAGAACAAGGUGGCCGAUGCUCUAAGCAGAAAAGGCUCCCUACUCACAAUACUGUCCUCGGAAAUCAUAGCAUUCAAACAUUUACCCGACUUAUACGAAGGUGAUACUGACUUCAAGGAUAUCUGGUACAAAUGCUCCAACUUCUUAGACGCUGAUGACUACCACAUUGUUGAAGGAUAUCUAUUUAAAGGAGAACAAUUAUGCAUCCCGCACACCUCACUACGUGAAGCCUUAAUAAAGGAAGCACAUUCUGGAGGGCUAGCUGGACAUUUCGGACAGAACAAGACAUUGGAGAUCACUUCCAAACGAUACUACUGGCCGCAAAUAAGAAAAGACUCCAAUAAUUUCGUAAAAAGAUGCCCCAUCUGCCAAAGAACCAAAGGCUCCAGCACGAAUCCAGGAUUAUACUCGCCACUACCCAUCCCGACCUCAAUUUGGGAAGAUUUAUCAAUUGACUUCGUGAUUGGAUUACCAAAAACACAAAGACAAUUUGACUCAAUAAUGGUCAUAGUGGACAGAUUCAGCAAAAUGACACAUUUCGUAGCAUGCAAAAAGACAAAUGAUGCAAUCUACAUAGCCAACCUCUUCUUUAAAGAAGUAGUACGACUACAUGGAGUACCUAAAAGCAUAGUAUCAGACAGAGAUGUCAAGUUCCUGAGUCACUUUUGGCGAACACUGUGGAAGAAGUUUGACACAACACUGAAAUUCAGCACCACAGCCCACCCACAGACAGAUGGACAAACUGAAGUAACAAACAGGACCCUCGGUAAUCUGCUACGCUGCCUUAGCGGGUCAAAACCAAAACAAUGGGAUCUAGCAUUGGCUCAAGCUGAAUUCGCCUUCAAUAAUAUGAAGAACAGAUCAACAGGAAAGUCCCCCUUCGAAGUAGUUUAUACCAAACUACCACGAUUAACCUUUGAUCUCACUACACUCCCCACAACCGUGGAUCUCAACAACGAAGCAGAAUGCAUGGCAGAAAAUAUCAAAAAACUACCCAAGGAAGUCCAUGAUCAUCUUAUACAGACAACAGACUCCUACAAAAAGGCAGCAGAUAAAAAAGAAGACAAGCCCACUUCAAUAAAGGAGACCUAGUAAUGGUACACCUGAAAAAGAGCAGAUUUCCUACUGGCACCUACAACAAGCUGAAAGACAGACAAAUUGGGUCAUUCCCUAUAUUAGAGAAAUACGGAGAUAAUGCCUUCAAGAUCGAUCUACCACAAGACAUACACAUACACCCAGUCUUCAAUGUUGCUGAUCUAAAGCCAUACCAUGCACCAGAUCGUUUCAGGCUUGCUGACUGAUGGACCCUGGGACAAGUCCAUCCUUAGGGGGGUGGAAUGAUGUAAACUAUAGCUAGUUAGUUAGUAAAAAUCCCUAACUAAUUAGAAAUACAGCUGUAACUAACUUUCUAAAACAGUCUUGUAACUAACUAAAUAAAACAACCUUUUAACUAACUAAAUAAAACAACCUUGUAACUAACCUUGAGAUAUCAAUAUAUAACAGUCUCCUAGCCUGAAAUAUGGCAGAGAAUUCUUUUGAAAAAUCAAUCCAACUUGAAUUACAUCAAUAUUGGUAAAAUGGUCUAUCGAUAAUGAAAAUCUAUAACUAAUACACAAGUGAUGGACUAACAAUUUAAAAUAUCAUCGUAUUUAUAAAUCACGUGGUUUUGUGACAUAUUUGCUAAUGCCAUAGAAACCUAAAUUAUAUAUACAUUUUAGGUUAGUCACGAUUUUGAGUCUAGAGUUUAGACUUUAGAGAAGCGUCGUAAAUGAACUCUUUAAUCUUUCAGGCCUUUGCGUCUGGAUCUAUAAUACAAUUGUUAAUUUCCUCUAUUCGUGAACAAAUUUAACUAUAUGUUAGUGAAUAAUCGCAUAAAUCUCAUUGUCGUUUCUUACCGUUCACAUUUUUACUUUUGAAAAUACUUUUGUUAUCAACUUAUCUAUGACAAUUAUCUUUAAACGAAAGAUUCUUUUUAAGUCGUCAUGUAUGAAACGAAGUGAUCUUUUCGUUCAUAUUCUUAACAGGUCGGUCUCUCUCCUGCUAUUCAAAAUCUUAGUACUGCCACAUCGAUGAAGAUGACCAAGGUUUUCCAAGCGUUUCUCAUGCUCCAACCCCAACUCGUAGACCUUAUCCACGAGAUGCAGCCAGAUUGUAUCGUUUCUGACGUCUUUUACCCAUGGACGAGUGAUGUGGCAGCCGAGCUCAGAAUCCCACGGCUUGCCUUCAACGGUUCAAGCUUCUUCAGUUAUUGUGCGGAACAAUGUAUAAAGGAGCAUAAGCCACAUCUUGAAGUUGAAUCCAACAAUGAAAAGUUCAAACUUCCGGGGUUGCCUGAUGUUAUUGAAAUGGUGAGAUCUGAGUUGCCAAGUUGGAUCACUAGACAUAAACCAGAUGGUUUCUCACAAUUGCUUGAUGUCAUUAGAGAAUCAGAGAAACGAUGCUAUGGAAUGUUGAUGAAUCGCUUUCAUGAAUUGGAAGCCUCAUAUGAAGAACACUUGAAUAAGGUGAGGUUUACCUCAAACCAUUGUAUAUAACUACACAUUACUCGUUUCUUAACGUAAUCUUUUGGUUUUGAAAUUUUGUACUUGAUUUAUGAUCACGAUUUCGUUAGAAUUAUAUUAUUCAUAUUUUUUUAAAAAAAGAGAAUAUUUGAGAACAAAAAUUACAUCUUGAAGUAUAUAUUUGUUUAGAAGCUUGAUUUUUAGAAGUUGUUAAUUAAGCUUAUUCACAUAUUUUUAAAACACACUUGAAUUCUAAGUUAAAGUUUUUCAAGAAAACUACAAAUUUUACUUUAAGAACGUGUUUUUAAAAGGGUUGUUGUCAAAUAAUACAACAUGAGACAAAUUAUUUACUUAUGUAGCAUGAAAUUUUAUUGUCUAAUAAACACUAAUAAUAUAUAGAAAUAGACAUGUGAUAAAUAAAAAAAUUAUCAUUACGUUGGCCUGUUGCACCCAGCCUUGUAUAUCUCCUUCGGUCGCAAAGAAGAAAAAAAUAUUCAAAUUAUCGUUUUUAAAAAAGAGAAGUUUGUCACGUGGUAACGUGUAAUCUGGACAUUGAAUAAGCUAUACAAAAUAGAUGGAGCUCAAGAUGCACCCAAAUAUUUUUGAAUUGAUUCGAGACUUCGAGGAUUUGUUUUUAUUAUUAUUAUUAUUGUUUGAUAGAUUAUAGGGAUCAAAACAUGGAGCAUAGGGCCAGUAUCAUUGUUGGCAAACAAUGAAAUUGAAGAUAAAGAAUCAAGAGGUGGAAACCCCAACAUUCAAACCACCAACUUACUCCAAUGGCUCAAUGAGAAAGAACCAAAUUCAGUUCUCUACAUCAACUUCGGAAGCUUGAUUCAGAUGAGUCGUAACCAAAUAACCGAAAUAGCACAUGCGAUUCAAGAAUCCAGUCAAAGUUUCAUUUGGGUCAUAAAAAAGAACGACGAAGACAACGAUGACGACAUAGUAAACAAAGGGUUACAAAAAGGGUUUGAGGAGAGAAUGAGUAGAACCAAAAAGGGUUUGAUAAUAAAGGGAUGGGCUCCACAAUUGAUGAUAUUAGAGCACAAAAGUGUUGGAGGGUUUUUGACUCAUUGUGGUUGGAACUCAAUUCUUGAAGGAAUAAGUUCAGGCUUACCAAUGAUCACAUGGCCAUUGUUUGCUGAACAGUUUUACAAUGAGAAGUUGUUGAUUGAAGUGGUGAAGAUUGGAGUGGGAGUUGGGUCAAAGAAAUGGUGGCAUUUGGGAGAAGAACCAGAAAUUAUUAAGAGGGAAGAGAUUGGUAAGGCCAUAGCUUUUUUUGAUGGGUGAAAGUGUUGAAGCUUUGGAAAUGAGAGAGCUAAAGAAAUGGGAGAGGCUGCAAAAACAAGUGUGAAUUGUGGUGGUUUCUCUCAUACCAACUUGGUUUUCAUUGUUUGAGGAACUUCAAGAAAUGAAGCUUAAGAGAGUGAGGAAUGGUCAGAAGAAUACUUAGAUGUUUGUCAAAGGAUAAAGUAUUGUUUUUCUUUAGGUCAGUCUAUUCAAUCGAACGGCUAUAGUUUGUUGUAAGGUAAAGUAUUUUUGUUUCUAAAUAUAUUUUGAGUUACUUUUACUAUGCGACUAAGUGAGUUGUACUAUUGUAAAUCUUCUACAUUUAGUUUAUGAGAUGCAUGUUCAUGUUUAAAAAUAUUUUGUGAUUCACCCGAGUGUCAAAUUAUUAAUUAUCCUCUAGUAAACUUUUUUUAAAGAUAAGAAUUAUUUUGUGAUCAAGGAGAUGUACAAAGUUUGUUGGACUAAAGUUGGAUAAUAUAAGAAUUUGUUUUCUUCUAUUGGCUUAAGGCCUUGGUUCCAAUUUAAUUAAGAAUCACUUCUAGAAUCUUAGUUGAGAUUUUCUUAAACAUUUGACGAAGUCUACAAAAUGUGUUAGAAUAGAAUUUGUAAUCGUAACAAAUACUCUAAAUUGAUUCUCAUGUUUUGCAUGAUAUUUUUCAAACCAAGUCCAAGGACGUAAAUUUAUAAGCUUAUGGAAGUUUAUUGAUUAGAUUACUAAAUCCUAUAUUGAUUUAAAUUAUACAACCUUCCAAGCGUAGGGGCAUAAAUUAUUUAAAAGAUAGUGAAUUUGUUAUCAAGCUGUCAAUAUUGAUGUAGAAAAAAGCUUUUUGGAGAAUCUUUAUUUCAAGAAGGAAGCUGCCCUUCCUAGAAUCAAUUUGAGCAUUAACAUGGCUUUUAGAAUCAAUUUGAGCAUUAACAUGGUUUUUAGUCGUUGGAAGCUGCAAAGAGAGCGUUCCUAGAAGAUGAAUGUUGAUGUUGCAUGGUUGGAGAACACUCAUAGAGGGUGGGACUGGUUGAAUUAUUCGUGAUUGGGAACCCAGUUAGGGUUGGGUGCUUUCCAAUGUCUUUCAAUUGGUCAAUCCAUGCAUGAGACGAGUAUCAUAUGCUAAUGUCAUAGUCAAUUACUUAAGUCACACCUUGGUUUUCCAACUUAUGUUGGGGUUUAGUAGAACAAAGUUGUCCUAUAAUCAAGUAGGUUUGUCUUCUUCAUUUGGGAAUUCCUCUUUCUAGGAGAGUUUUUCUCCUUUUAUAUUAUCUCUCAUUCUCGGGAGGGAUUUAUGAUAUAUGUAUGAAGAAAAAACAAGUGAAUACUACUAACAGAGAGUGAACCACGAGUUUUUAAGUACAACAAUCGAGGUAUGAAGGAUCGAACCUCCCAUCUCUAAGAAUUUUCGUGGGGAUCCUCUCCGCUUUUCUUGCCUAAGCAAAACCCGACCCGCCUAGUAGGUCCUUAGAGUUUUUCACCCGGCAUGGCAGCCGGUAGAGAGGGAGAGAGAAAAAAAAAAGAGGGAGCCAAGCCAGCCGCUUAGGUCAAGUAAAAUGCGCGCCGAGAUCCCCCGGUUUCAGAAUUUUCGUGGGGAUCCUCUCCGCUUUUCUUGCCUAAGCAAAACCCGACCCCGCCUAGUAGGUCCUUAGAGUUUUUCACCCAGCAUGGCAGCCGGUAGAGAGGGUGAGAGAAAAAAAAGAGGGAGCCAAGCCAGCCGCUUAGGUCAAGUAAAAUGCGCGCCGAGAUCCCCCGGUUUCAGAAUUUUCGUGGGGAUCCUCUCCGCUUUUCUUGCCUAAGCAAAACCCGACCCGCCUAGUAGGUCCUUAGAGUUUUUCACCCAGCAUGGCAGCCGGUAGAGAGGGAGAGAGAAAAAAAA